UUAACUUGUGCUUAGAUACAUUAAGAAGUAAUAAAAAACUUGAUGGUACAGCUGCAACAACAUUUACAGAUAUAUUGAAUAAAUAUGAAAUAGCAAUAAGAAAUGAAUUUAGUAGUAUGACAACAGAAGUAGAAGAACUCCUAAUAACAUUUCAAUUCACAUGAAGCAGAAUCUUAACAUUAAAGGGUCAGGAUAUGAAGACAGCUCAAACAGCAAAAUCCAGUUAGAUAAGGAAUCUGCCACGUCAAACUUGAAUUAACCUUUCGAACACCAUUAGCAUUUACAAUAUUUUGAAAAGAGGCAACUUAUUCAACGUUGUUUACAAAUGAAAUCAGAAAAGCGGCAAAUCAAGAAACUUCUCAUUAAAACAGAUCUUACAAUAUCUUGAAAGAGAACGUACCUAAUUACGGAAGGACGAGAUUUAGAAGACAAAAAAGCCAAAUAACGAUUGAAACAAAAAAUUGGAGCUCAGCUAGCAACGUGGGAGCAACAACAACCAAACAACUCCACUUUCCGAGUUAUAUCCAAACCCUAACCCCAGCUAAACACUCUAAUUUUGAGCUUUUCGAGUGAUGAAAAAGUUCAUUGAAGGCUCAGCUCUCCAAUUGAAUUUUUAAGCUACUUUCAAUUCUCAACAGCUUUCGUUUCUGUAUUUUUUGAGAGAAAUGCAGUGUAAUAUGAAGAGAGAUUUGUGUGCUCGAGAGAAAAGCAAAAGAAGCGGCUGAGUUUUUCGUUUUGAUGAGGAAGAAGAUCAAGAGCCAAAGGAAUCCUUCUGCGUCGUUCUUCUAUAUGCGUCCAUCUCUCAUUUUUUUAGCUCCCCUUCAGAUAAUGUGUAUUUAGGCUAUAUAGAGGGGAAGGGUUAAUGGGUCAAUAGUCUGGGCUAGGUAGGUAUAAGGUAAUUGGACCAUUGGGUUAAAUUGACUUGGGUUAUGAGAAUUAAAACGAAGCAGCCCGAAAUAUGAUUUCUCUACUUCUUUUUCUUUUUAAUUUUUCUUUCUUUUUCUAAUUUAUUUUAAGUAAAAAUUAAAAUUGACACCCAAAUUAAUUCCUAAUCAAAUUAUUUUAUCAAAUUAAAUUAACUAACUCCAAAUAUUAACUACCAUAAAUAAUUAAGAACCAAAUUAAAGGAAAAACCAUCAAAGUUCAAAAAUUUAAAUUAAAAGUACAAAAAUAACUAUUUUUGUGAUUUUUCAGAUUCUUAUAAAAUAACUAAUUUACUACUUAAUUUAAAAAUGUAAAGUUAAACCCUAAAUGCAAAUGCAGCAUAUUUUUGUAUUUUUUCAUUAAUUAAAUAAGAUAAACAUGCACAGACAAAUGCAAACAAUUGACAGAAAAUGCCACAAAAAUCCACGAAAUGGCAAACAAUGGAAAAAAAUUAUUUUGUUUUGAAUUUGUGGGAGUAAUUCAUAUAGGGCAAAAAUCACGUGCUCGCAGCUGCCCUUCUUUGCACAGAAACACGAAGAGUUUUCGUGCAAAGAUAAAGUGAGCGGAUACGAGCGAUUUUUGCCCGUUUGAAUACUUCGUGGGAAGCAUUUUUGAAAGAUUUGACCGCACCGUGCUCCAGAAGUUGUCUACAUAUCCUUGGCUAUAAAGGAAUCAGGUCAGUGUAGUUCGGAAAGUUUUGGUAGCUGGGACUACCAUGAAGCUGUGAUUUCACUGUUGCUGCUGCUGAUGCUACUGCUUACUGAACUCCUUAUUACACCAUGACAAAAUAAAACAAGCUAUACUAAACUAUGAUAUAUGCAUUACCAUAAUCCUAUCUAUAUCUUCAAACUUGAUCUUGCAGUUACUGUUUCUUUGUCGUCCCGUACUAUCCACGUGAAAUUCCUUUGUUGCUAACUUGAAUUGUAUUCUGAGAUGCUUUUCCUUUUCUCUAGGUGGAUGCUUGACUGCUGAACUUGACCGUCUUCCUUCGAACAUUGCUUCUUUCCCUUCGUUCUUCAGGCGGGCUCCUGAUUAUCAACACUUAAAUUGCAGCUUUGUUCUCUAGGUGGGUUCCUGAUUACCGACACUUGAAUUGCUUUAUUCUACAGAUGGGCUCCUGAUUGCUGAACUUGAACUAUAUUCCCGUGCUCUCCAGGUGGGCGCCUGAUUGCUGAACUUGAAUUGUAUUCCCGUGGUCUCCAGGUGGGCGCCUGACUGCUGAACUCGAAUUGUAUUCCCGUGCUCUCCAUGUGGGCGCCUGAUUGAUGAACUUAAAUUGUAUUCCCGUGCUCUCCAAGUGGGCGCCUGAUUGCUGAACUCGAACUACUUCUCCCUGUUCUCCAAGUGGGCGCUUGAUUUCAACAAAAUAGACAAAACAAAGAAAAUUUUCUGCCCCAGUAUGGUAGCUGGGCACAUCUGUGAGUGUUAAACUGAAUCAUGUUACCAAACAUUAUCAAGAAUUUGAAAGCUAGAUCCCGUUAUCCAGGAGGGUCCUGAUAACUCCUAUUUAAAUGACAAUUUUAAAGCUAAAUUAUGUCUUCUGAAGGAAUGUCUUAUGCUAAGUCUUGUUAUCCAAGCAAGUUUUAAAACUACAUCCCAUUAUCCAGGAGGGUCCUGAAAACUCCUAAUUGAGUCCUAUCUUAAACAUGCAAACUUUGAAGCCAACUUAUAUUCCUUUGGGGUACAUUUAUGAUAGAUUAUGAUACUCAUGAUUGUUUUGAAUUUUAAACUAGGUCCCAUUUUCUAGGAGGGUCCUGAAAAUUUAUGGUCAAACAUGUUUGGUGCUUGCUUUUCCUUACGGAGGGUUUGUUCGAAACAAACGAAAUUUUCUUCCACUGUUUCAAUCAAAGAAAAAUCUUAUUAUUUUAAAAUGCGGUGGUUGGUUUAUGGCCUUGACUUUGAGGGCGAUUGCUCCUCCACUUCCCAUGAUAACUUUGAAUUCCACUCGAAGACCUUGCUAACCACUUUCUAUGUCAUACUUAUCACAGAAAAUACCUCUUCUUCAUUCAGACCCAAUACCCUAUAUCUGUUGCAUUGCUCAUAAACUGACAUUUACCAAACCUUUGUAUCUCACAUGAAUGCCAAAGCACGUCAAUUGCCACCCACUCAGUGCGUAUGCUGUUCUUUCUUGACUUAAACCACUGGCCUUGGCCUUGAGGUCUAUUGCACCUUCACUUGCCAUGUUCGCUUUGAUUUCUGCUUGGAAGAACUUGCCUGUCACUAGUUAGCCACUUUCUUUGUCAAUCUAAUCACAGAGAAUACCUUUUAUCUGUUCACCCUAACCCUCCAUCCGUUGCAUUGUUCAAGAAUUGAUAUAUACCAAGCCUUUGUAUUUCACAAGAAUCCCAAAGCAUGUUGAUUGUUACAAACUCAGUGCGCUUGCUGUUCUUUCCUAACUUAUGCUACUUUGAUGUGCCAGCCAGAUCUUGUUUUGUGCAAUUGGAAAGCUGGUGGCAANNNNNNNNNNNNNNNNNNNNNNNNNUUUUGACCAAACAGACUCAGGAAGAGGAAGUAAACAAGACAAAAGGAACAGAGUAAAGGACAAAGGAAAGAGGUGAUUCCUAACAAGUAAACAACAAAGUAGAAACCUAUCAGAUGUGGAUACCAACUCUAAUGACCAUGACAUGCACCUGUGGCCUAUUCUGUUGAGCAAGUCUGAUGUUCAACUCCUGUCAUACCCCUAAACCGUGAAACUGGGCUUCAAUGCUCCGAUUACCCAAUAUGAUUCAUAAUCCUUAUUCGACUUGUAGUGCCCGAAGAGUUUUUACCAUCAAGCCUCUCUAAUUUUGUUCUUUCUCUCAACUUACCGUCGCCUUACGGUACUAGUGAGGGUUUUCACCAAUAAGACUCUCAUUUUUGAUUUCCCUCAACUCCCGUCGCCUUACGGUGCCCGUGAGGGUUUUAACCAUUAAGACUCUCUCAUUUUCAUUACUUUUCUGCCUGGACCAGAGUGUUGCUCCUGAUAUGAAUUACUUCUCCUUGCUUGACUUGACAUCUCUCGAAGAUUGAUCGGAAGGUCUUUCUUUGGACCGUAACGUGGGCUUUUGGAUAUGAUUAAAAAGAAAGGAUAUCAAAGGCUCAAAACAAUUCACAUGGGUUAAAAAUUACAACUUUUGGAAUCAGAUUUCUUACAACAACCACAACUUCUAUCCUAGUUUCUUGCUUGGGGACUUUUGGAUUUUUAUUUUGAUGGGACCGAACCGUGAGGCUGCCUACGUAUCCUUAAAAGGAAUCAGGUCGAACGUAGUUCAUGUCAUAUGAAUUGCUUUGUUGUUGUGAUUUUUUUUUCUCUUUCUCUUUUAUUUUCUUUUCUUUCUUCCUUUUUCUCUUUUUGUUGUUUUGUUGGUUUUUCUUUAUUCUUUUUCCUUUUUUCGUCUUUUUUUUUUCUUCUUUCUUUUUUUCCAAUUUUCAUAUUUUCUUUUCUCUCUUUUCCUUUACUUAUCUUUCGCGCUUGCGUUUCUGAUCUUUGCUACCGAUUCCAAAAGAGGGGUACGAAAGGUAGUAAAUAAGGCACAAAUGGGGUAACAAAGGAUAAAGUGUUUAUAUAGCAGAACAAAAUGACUUCGUCAUUCUAAUCUUCAAAGCAUGCCAGAUGCAAACGGCACAAUAAAACAAACCAAAGAAAUCACACAUAAUAUCUUUUGACUGCAUCAGAAUUGAUAGCCAUAUCCACACAUUUGCCUUCUACAUUUGUUAAGUACAAAGCACCAUUGGACAACACUCUCACUCUCAUUACCACUAACGGCUCCUGUCAAUUUGGGCAAACUUGUCUUUAGCUUCAAUCCAAUGCGGCAUGAUGCAUUUCAAUAGGGUUUCUUUAUGUUCUAUCUGCCUCAGUUUCACACAAUUCGGGCUUGAACUGAUCUCAACAUGCCUUUACUUAUUUCCCUGAAAUGUCCCUACAUCUUCAACAUUGUUCCACUGCUUCGUGAUUAAAUUAACUUUUAAAAUCGGGAUGAGAAUUACGCAUGCAUGUCAUGUCACUAGAGUCAACAGGAAAAGAACUAUAAAAAGAAAAUAGAACUAAACGAAAAUGACUAGAAAUCACAGAAAAUAGAAAAUUGCAUUAGACAGAUGGUGAAAGGGUUUGGACAACAAAACAAACAAACUAAAUGGGGGUUACAAACCUAGAACAAAACUAGACAACACUAAACGGGCUACUACAACUAAACAAACUACGCAAAAUAAAAGGAUAGAAGGGUUUGAGUCACAAGACAAUAUCCGGACUACAACCCUUAAAUAACCCGGACAGCAGAAAUGACAACAAAAUAAACCACCAAAACUCCUCCCUGGCUAACCAAGAAAAAAGCGUCUUUCCAAUCAUCGAAAUUAACAUCUUAGCCACUGACUUCUGCAUCAACAAUACUAGGACCUUCACAAGUCUCCAUCACAUUGUUCUUAACAGAUUGCCUUUGGGUUCCCUUUGCCUGCUCGUUCUUAGGAUCAACCUCUAAUAGCGCUGAAAGCUUCGUAGCACGUGGACCUCCGAGGAUCCCAGAAGAAUUCUCACAUUCCUUUCAAAAAUAUAUCUUACCCACCAUAUGCGUCUCAUUAUGCACAAGUGACGGACUUUGACUAGUGUCUACUGCAUCUGGAUUUUGCACGAUAAUGUCCCUUGCAUCAAUAAGCUUCUGAAUCGCAUUCUUCAGAUUCCAAUACUUCUCUAUGUCAUUCCCCGGGGCAUAUGAGCAAUAUGCACACCUUUGAGAAAAAUCAAACUUCUUUGUAAGAGGAUUUGGCAUUUUUAUCUGGAUCGGCUUCAACAUGUCCAAUUUCCUUAGCCUCUAGAACAGACUAGCAUAUGACUCUCCAAAUGGAGUGAAGGUUUUUUUCUUCCGCAACCUCUCAUUCUUAAAUGCUUGAUUGGGAUGUAAACAUUAUCCAAGGGGGUUUCAGUAAGCUCGUGGGGGCGGGUAAGACAUUUGGGGAAAUGGUGUGGGCCAUCACGGUCCUUAUGGGUGUGGAGCAUAUGGUGGUGCAUUGUGGACAGGGUACUGGGAAAGUGAUGUACAACUUUGGGAGUUUUGUGAAGAGAAGUAGCAUUGGGGAGGCUCAUCUGGUGCACAAGGAUAUCCACGGGGACGAUGUCGAGGUUGGAAGUGUUGAGCAAGAAAGCCCAUCGGAUCAUCUUUUCUAUUUCUCUUUCUUCCACCCAAACUUACUGGGAUGUUCUGAAUGCCUUUCGUAGUAUCUUUCAAUGCCGAAUAACUCAUGAUUUUGCCUGACUUGAUUCCCUCUUCUACCAUCUCCCCCAUUAUUAACACAUCAUUGAAAGGCUUACCCAAGGCCGGGAUCAAAUGACUGAAGUAGGUGGGCCCCUGGGCUUGUAGGAAAAACUCAACCAUUUCUUUUUCACCAAUCGGGGGACUGACUUGAGCAGCUUGCUCCCUCCAUCUGAGCCCAAACUCCCUAAAGCUUUCCUCCAGCUUUUUUUUCAUUCUAGAUAGUGAAGAGCGGUCUGGGGUAACGCCUAAUUUGUAUUGAAAGUAUCGAAUAAAAUCUUGAGCCAUGUCACCCAAUGUAGGCCAAUUACCAACAUCUUGAUGAUUGUGCCAUUCCAAAGCUGCCCCAGUCAAGCUCUCACCAAAAUACGCCAUCAACAAAUCAUCUUUCUCGCCAUCACUUAUCAUUUUACUACAAAAGACCCUCAAAUGGGCUACCGGAUCCCCACGCCCAUCCUACAAGUUAAAUUUUGGCACUUUAAAUCCCAUGGAAAGGCAAACGUCAGGGGACACAGACAGUUCUUUAUAAGCCAUGCUACCCUAGUCUCCCAUUCCUCGCUUGUUCUCUAAGGACUGUCCUAUGCCUUUUAGCCUCCUGGGUAUCCCAUCUCGCCCUUCUCUUCCUGUGAACUUUUCAUUUUCAACGUGAGGCUCAUCCCGAAGGCCCUACUUGUAUGAGUUGGGGACCUUGUGGGCAACCUCUGAGGGAUAAUGUUGGGCAUAAUGAGCUUUGAGUUGGUGUUCAAUGUUGGGGAUAGUGCAUGUUAUAGGAGUGCACUUUUGGGAAAAGAUAGUUGGAAGACGAGUGAUGGAGCUACUAGGGUGGCUGGGAAAGCUGUGAUAAGCGGGUGGAUCUGGAGAGUAUGGAGGAUCAUCUGACAUUGGGUUCGGAGUUUGGGUAAGGGCAACAUCUAGGAAGCUAGGUGGUGGCGGGGGUGGUGCCUUCCCAGUCAUCCAAGCCUGAUACAUGUCCGCCAUUUGUUGUCUAAACAUAUUUACCUCUUCAACCAACUCAUUGUCCUAUUCAAACAACUGCUUCCGGGCACCGGUAUCAACCAACUCAGUUCUGUUGUUGUCUGCCAUUGCCUUUUGACUUUAUGUUUUAAAGAAGAGUUACCACUUUAAAAACCACAAACCAACCAACUUUCUGCUAUGAAUAUAACUAAAUAAAGCCAUCACGUUAUCGUUAGGGCAUUUAACAUAAGAUAAUCUCACGUUAUGUGCAAUGCACCUAGCCACAGUUAUCGGUUCUAAAGUGACUUUGAGGGUACGAAGGUCAGUUGGCAUCAUCCCAUUUUGUUCAUUUCAAUCCCCUCUUUUCUUUGCUUUUCUAUCACUUUCUUGAUCAUUUUCCUUCCUCUUUUUCUAAUUACACUAUUUUCUUUCCUUCAUUUCUCACAUCCCACAAUUUCAUCUCUUUUUUUUUUCUCUCUUUUCUCCUUUUUUUCUUUUCUUUUAAUAGUAAAAAAAUGAUUCGAUCGAACCCUAUGUAGGUUUCUUACGCAUCAUGACGCCGCAUGAAUCAAAUCUCUGUGUAGUUCUGGAAGAACGGGAAUAAAGUAAACAAACUAACGUUCUUUUUUCUUUUCUAAUUUUCUUUUACCUUAAGGACUACUCUGAUGAGAAGAGAGAAAUAAAAGAAGCAAAUCCNNNNNNNNNNNNNNNNNNNNNNNNNUUAACGAGCAUAUAUUUCUUACUUUUUUUCUUUUUGAAACAAACACUCUAUGGGAAAUUAUUAAGGAAAACCCUAGAAGAGAAAAAAACAUUUUUGAUUCUUUUUUUUAGGAAGAAGAUCGAAAGAAUAAACCAUAUAAAAAUAUUUUGAAUUCUCAUUUGAUAUCCUGAUGCAGGAUUUUGAAACAAGCAAUGAAAAAGAUAAAACAACAUGUUUUUGGAUUUCAAUUUGGUUGCCUAAAGAAAGAAACUUUAAACAAAAGAUAAAAUAUGUUUUUUUUCUAUGUACAAUUUCCUAAAGUUCUUGGGAAAAUAAAAGAAUAUUUUUUUUCAUUUUUCAUUAAGUUCCCAAAGAAGAACCUCAAAAGAAAAUCUUUUUGGAUUUUUGAGAUUAAUGCCUUAAAGAAAACUUUUAAAAAAGUACUAAAAGGAAUUGUUUUUUGAAUUUUGGUCAUAAUAUAGUAAAGGAAAUAUAAAAAUAAUUUUUAUUAAAAUCCUAGAUAUUAUUUUCCUAAAGGAAAAACCACCUCAAAAAUAUCUUUUUUCAUUCCUACAAUUAGUAUUCUAAAGAAAAUUCCUAACGGAAAUAUAAAACACAAUAUUUUAAUUUUUUUUUUGGAUUUUUGAUUCAUUACACACCCUUUCAAAUGCAAAAUAGAAAGUAAAAUAAUAAUAAUAAAGCUCGACAUUACUAUACAAAACUAAAAGGUAAAAGACGAUAUAAAAUAAAAAAAACAGGCUCAAAACAUAAAAAGAAAAGAAAAUCUUCUUUUAAUCCACUCCCAAAUGAGCGAUCCUGACUAGAUGUCCUAGGGCUCUGUCAUGCUCAAACUCCGAUAAGUAAAUCCACGUCUGUAUGAGAAAAUUAAAACCAAAUAUGUUAAAGACCUAGAGCGCUAUGUGAGACAAUAACCCUUCCUACUGGAAACAUGCAAGACAUGAUUUAGGCUAUUUUUGCAAAAUGACAUAUUUGGCCAAAAGACAGCUAGAAGUGCAAAAUUUUGGCUAAGACCCCGCAAAGCCAAGAACCUAAGAUUUACUAGGAAGACCGGACCCUAUGUGGGUUGCCUACGUAUCACGCCCCGAAAGACGAGAAUCAGGUAUGCGUAGUUGAGGCAGAUUGGAUACGGGCGAGAAUUAAAAAAAAACAACUAAUUUAGAGAAAACAUAUUUUUUGUCUUCUUUUUUUUUAAAAGAAAAAUGAUGAGACAAGUAGAUUUUUUUGGAUUUUUUCUUUUUCUUUUUUUUUGAUUUUCUGAUUUACGGAAAAUGAUGAAAAAGUGCAAAAUCUCUUUUUUUUUUGAAUUUUCAAGCUCUUUUUUUUCUCUUAACAAGAAUGUGACAGAAAAUAUAAUCGGGCCCCACUCGCUUUAUCUUCACACUUCAACAUCUUUUUCUUUUUCUUUUUUCUUUUUCAUUUGCCCUCAACUAUUAUUGGUCCGCCAAAUGACCCUUUUACCCUUAAAGAAAUGCAACAUGUAGCACAUAGGAUGCAUCAAGAUGGUCUGUUAUUUUGAGNNNNNNNNNNNNNNNNNNNNNNNNNCUAGGUUCAAAACCUGGGUAUGUGUUCUAGAAUGUGUACCCGAGCGGACAACUCGAGUCGAGGAGGGGGCUACGAAUCGGGAACCAAAAGGCCAUCCAGCUUAGUAACUUGUCCGAACCUCUUUCUUAUUUCAAGGUAUGACACUAACAGAAUAGGGAGUCACAACCAGCGUGCACAUCCCCAAAGAUGAGAAGAGAAGGUUUCGUAGCAGUUUAUAUACGGUUCAGAUAAUAUCAAAGCAGGUAAAAACAACAUUUAGCACAUUAGGCCCAAACAUGUAAUAAAAUCAGAUAACAGAUAAAACAAAAUAUAACAAUUCAUCUAAGCUCGAAUUCUGAACCCUGAACCAGGGAUUUUGGGUUCGAUCCCCAGCAUAGUCGCCAGAGUUAUCACACCUCCUUUUUCACUACACCCCUUGUAAAUGGGGUGUAUAAGGGUGUUUUUUCAAUUUAAGUGACAAUCGAAACGAGAUUUAUUUAUUUAAAGUAUUCAGAGUCGCCACUUGGGAUAAUUUUAUGGUGUACCAAGUCACCGGUUCAAAUCCCGAAUCGAGGAAAGAAUGACUCUGUAUUAUAGUCCGCGAAUCAGAAAUCCGGGUAAGGAAUUCUGUUAACCCGGGAGAAGGUGUUAGGCAUUCUCGAGUUUCGUGGUUCUAGCACGACCGCUCAACUGUUAUUAUUGGCUUAUUAUUUGACUUUAAACACUUUCAAGCCUAUGUACAUUUCUAACUUUAAACCGCUUUUAAUUCAUUUUAGGAGGAUUUCAACGUUAUACAAAACACAUCUUUGGAUCACGGAAUAUUAAAUGCGCCCGCGAUCCGCGACAUAUUUUAUUAAUUUUGUUAGAAUUUGGAUUUAAGUCACAUGAAAUGCACACCCGACUCUAAGGAAAUUAAUUAUUAAAAUAACGCGGCUAAAGCAACUACGCGUUUGCAACUUUGCGAGGGCCAUGGAAAUUCAACUAGGUGGCACGCCUCGAAUUCUAAGAAUCAAAAAAAAAAAUUAAUUAAACGAGGGCCAUGCAAUUGUCAUUUUUGUUCGGCACAACACACCUCGGUUUAUUCUAAUCAAGAGGUUUCUAAAUUAAAUUACGAGAGUCAUACUAUUUGUAUUGUCUAAUAUAGCACACCUCCAAUCUACUUGUGUUUUUUUUUAUUUCCUAUCCCACUCAAAAAUUCCAAAGACCCAAGCUUAUCUUUUGAUUCAGAAUUUCACACCCAUUACUCUAAUUCCAUUUUAAAAAUACUUGAGUUCACUGCCUAUUUUGAUUUUGAUUUUUCAAUUAUUUCUAGCAACAAAACCAAUGCCGCUAACAAGAAAUCAUCGUCCAUAUAAACAAAAGCAAAACCAAAUUUCAUAUCCACCCUAUCAACCUUGCCAUAUCUUUUGAAAAGCUUUCCUUGGCUUAUGCAUCCAAAUUUACAGUACAUGUCAAUAAGCGAGGAAAUCAAAAAGGCAUUGGAUAUAUUUCCAAUAUUAAUCACUUGCGCAUGGGAUACUUCUUUGGUCAAGCACAACGAAAAUACCUCUUAGAACAACCAAAAUGACGAUUUUAGAGUAUGAAUGACAUGUUGGAUAGUACAGCUAACAAUGCUAAAUUAUGCUCUCAAGGAGAAAAUCUGAUCUAAGAAACCAUGGAAACAAACAGUGGCAUGUAGCUCCUUAAACAUUCGGAUAAUUUGUCUUUCACUUAGAAAUCUAAAAAAAUCGAAAGAUCUUCACAAUUUGGUUACAUAUAUAAAUCAGUUGAAGGAAAGCAAAUUAACAAUGCUGAAAAUCCCAUUUCUCUAAAAAUUGUGAAGUAUCAAACUCUAUGUCAUCCUUAAGAUCGACUCGGAAUCGUAUUUGCCAAAAAUGAAGAUUUUAUAUAUAACUUCCCAAUAACUUUUCAAUUAACAUGAAGCAGAAUCUUAACAUUAAAGGGUCGGGAUAUGAAGACAGCUCAAACAGCAAAAUCCAGUUAGAUAGGGAAUCUGCCACGACAAACUUGAAUUAACCUUUCGAACACUGUUAGCAUUUACAAUAUUUCGAAAUCAGGCAACUCAUUCAACAUUGUUCACAAAUAAAAUCAGAAAAAUGGCAAAUCAAGGAACUUCUCAUUAAAACAGAUCUUAGAAUAGCUUGAAAGAGAACGUACCUAAUUACGCAAGGACGAGAUUUAGAAGACAAAGAAGCCAAAUAACGAUUGAAACAAAAAAUUGGAGCUCAGCUAGCAACGUGGGAGCAACAGCAGCCAAACAACUCCCCUUUCCGAGUUAUAUCAAAACCCAAAACCCAGCUAAGCACUCCAAUUUCGAGCUUUUCGAGUGAUGAAAAAGUUCUUUGAAGGCUCAGCUCUCCAAUUGAAUUUUUAAGCUACUUUCAAUUCUCAACAGCUUUUCGUUACUGUAUUUUUUGAGAGAAAUGUAGUGUAAUAUGAAGAGAGAUUUGUGUGCUCGAGAGAAAAGCAAAAGAAGCGGCUGAGUUUUUCGUUUUGAUGAGGAAGAAGAUCAAGAUCCAAAGGAGUCCUUCUGCGCCGUUCUUCUAUAUGCGUCCCUCUCUCAUUUUUUAGCUCCCCUUCUAAUAAUGUGUAUUUAGGGUAUAUAGAGGGGAAGGGUUAAUGGGUCAAUGGUCUAGGUUGGGUAGGUAUAAGGUAAUUGGGCCAUUGGGUACAGCUGACUUGGGCUUUGAGAAUUAAAACGAAGCAGCCCAAAAUCUGAUUUCUCUACUUCUUUUCUUUUUAAUUUUUCUUUCUUUUUCUAAUUUGUUUUAACUAAAAAUUAAAAAUGACACCCAAAUUAAUUCCUAAUAAAAUUAUUUUAUCAAAUUAAAUUAACUAACUCCAAAUAACAAUUACCACAAACAAGUAAGAACCAAAUUAAAAGGAAAAACAACCAAAGUUAAAAAAUUAAAAUUAAAAGUGCAAAAAUAACUAUUUUUGUGAUUUUUCCUAUUCUUAUAAAAUAACUAAUUUACUACUUAAUUCAAAAAUGCAAAGUUAAACCCUAAACGCAAAUGCAACAUAUUUUUGUAUUUUUUAUUUAUUAAAUAAGAUAAACAUGCACAGACAAAUGCAAACAAUUGAUAGAAAAUGCCACAAAAUCCACGAAAUUGCAAACAAUAGAAAAAAAAUUAUUUUGUUUUGAAUUUGUGGGAAUAAUUCAUAUAGGGCAAAAAUUACGUGCUUACACUGUCAACUCCCACUCCUCACACUCAAUCACUCAGCACUGUGUAGUACCUUUGCUCACUGCUAGUUUGUCAAACUGCGGAGGGGCGGAUCCUUCCCAAGCACUAAUAAAACAUAUGACGACGUGCAACCCGAUCCCAUCAUGAAUUAAUAAUAGCUACUGCGGCGUGCAUCCUGAACCCAUCAUGAAUCAGUAAAACUUGUUGCGGCACGCAGCCCGAUCCCUUCAAUAUCACUCACAAUCUGGCCCUCAGGCCCCAACUCAGUCAUCAAUCUCUCUAAUCUCUUGGGCUCAGAAAUCUCAUGCCAAUUCGCCGAAACAAUGAUAACAUGAUCCCAUAAUAAAUAACAACAAAUAAUGAGAUAUGAUAUGCAAAUUAUGGAUGUGACUUAGUAUAACAUUUCUAUUUAAGAAAAUGAUUCAACAGUAGAAAUAACCUCAGCAGGUCCCAACAGAAUAAUCAUAUAGCCUAAACAUGAUUUUUAAUAUGGAUUGCAGCUCAAUUACUCUAACACAUAGGGAUUACAUGAAUAACAAUAUGGUUUGCUAUCUACACAGCACCAUAGAAUCAACCAAGUCACAGUUAGUAGGGUGCACGCUCACACGCCCGUCACCUACCAUGCACGUCACCUCAAAACCAACAAUAUAACACGUAUUUCAGGCAUUCAUACCCUCAGAAUAAUGUUAGAAGUAUUGCUUCCCUUAAACCCUGUAAAUCCCUAAUCCAACAAGCCCUUGCCUUAUGAAUCGGCCUCCGAAUGGCUCUAAUCUAGCCACAAGCAACUUAACACAAUAAAUACAAGCUAUAGGAAUCAAUUCUACACAAUAAAGCUAUGUUCUUUAACAAAAGUCAAAAAGUCAACCCAAAAGGUUAACUCUAGGCCCACGUCUCGGAAUCCAACAAAAUUUUCAAAGUCCAAAAACUCAUUCAAUAACGAGUUCAACCAUACCAAAAUCACACAAUUCCGACCUCAAAUUGCCACUAAAAACCCAAAUCUUACUCUUCAAUACAUGUGCCAAAAAUUCCCAAAUUCCAAAUUAUAUUCAUGAUAAUUAGGUAAAAUAAUUAAUGGGUAUUCAAAUACAUGGAUAAAUGUUAUCAAAAUUCACUUACUUGUUUAAUAUAGGUGAAAACCUCUUCAAAUAUCACCUAAGUCUGCACCCCAAAACACUCAAAAUGAGAAGAAGACUCAAAUCCUCGAUUUCACAUAUCCGCCAAGCCCAUUUUGCUCUUGUGGACUCACCAGCCGCACUUGGAACUCCGCUUCUACAGAAGAAUGUUUGCUUCUAGAGAAAUCACUCAAGCACCCGACAAACCACACCUGCGCCCAAAUAUUUGCACAUGCAAGAUCGCUUCUAUGGGUCAUGCUUCGCUCCUUCACAUCCGCGCCUACGGAUUCCAUGUCGCUUCUACGAGUCCAGCCUCACCUAUCAAAAUCUGCUUAUGCGAAGACUCAUCACCUCUGCAGGCUUGCAGAUGCAGAAAAUGACUCGCACCUGCGACCACUACCAAACACACACCAGACAUUCACGACCCGAAAUUCCUACUCUAAUGACCAUGAUGACGCUUAAUAUUUCACUUGCUCAGCAAGCCCACGUUAGAAGUAUUUUCCAACCAUUUUCAACAAAAUCCAAUUAAAUGAUUCCAAGAGACUAGAUAAAAUGAAAUAAAACUUAAAUAGAUUGAAUAAGAAAAAAUAUCAGCGAUAUCUACAUAAAAUCCAAGAACUAGUGUCACAAUUGCAAGAGUGAGUUGAAUAAUACGAACAAUAGUCUGGAUGAUAGUAAAACUAUAUGAAAUUAAAUAAAUAGCUAUGAUAAGGUAGAAGGUGAUUGCAGGGCUGCGAACGCCAUGCAACUGUACCUCAAGUAUUUGUCAGGCAAUCAAUCCAAGCAAUCUACUAACUACCGCUAAGACCGACUACAAAAGCUACACAAUAAGUGAAGAGUGUAGUAUGAGUACAUCCGACCCCAUAUAAUUUGUAAGUGUCAAGCCUAACCUCGACAAUGUAGUGACGAAGCUAAGGCGGGUCACCUACAAUAACUUAUACUUAGUAAAAUAAUAAUAAUAAGAAGGAAACAUAGGAAAAGUAAGGUAGUUAACAGAUGAAAAUAACUCAAUCCUCGAAAUCAGUAAAACCAGAAACAUCAUUCAUCAAAAUCUCGUAUGAAAACACUAAAAGCAAACACAAUUCAACAAUGGAUACAAAACACACAAUCCAUUGCGGCACAUAACCCAAUCCCACCAUACAAAUAUAAUCCUCCCUUAUUUCACCAUAUCAAUAUCAAGAAUAACAUGUAAAAUCUGUUACGGCGCGCAACUCGAUCCCACCAUAUAAUCAGAAUCAAUAUCAUAAUCCUCCCUUAUUCCAACCGUUGCGCCGUGCAAUCCGAUCGCACCAUAUCAUCAUCAAUCAUCCCUUAUUCCACUCGUUGCAGCGUGCAACUCGAUCCAUAAAUAAAAGUAAUCAAUUCAACAACUCAAUUCAAAAGAAUCUCAACAAUUAAAUAAUCAUGGAAGCAAAUCCACAAAGGAACCUCGUACAAAAUCAAGGAUUGCUACAAUUAAUACAAAGCAACAAGUCAAGCCAAAUAUAUGAUAGUUAAAGUGUGCAAGUAAUACAAUUAAGGCAACUAGCAAUUAAUCAUGGAAACAUGGAAGAAAUAAACAUUUUACUACGAGAAUAAAAAGUGACAAGUAGCAAGUUAAGACACAAGAAGUAAUUUAAAGCAUGCAACAGCUAAGAUAUUGAAUAAAAUAAUUAAAAAACGAGAAAGCAUGAAAACAAUUAUGUUAACAGCGUAUAUACACUCGUCAGCUCGAAUAUACGCCCCAACACAUGUAAUUCACAUCACACAUAUUUCAAUGGUUCUUAAUUCCCUCAAAUCAAGGUUAGACCCAACUCUUACGUCGCUCCACAAGUAAAUCAAAGCUUAACUGGGACCUUUCAUCUAAAAUUCGCCUCCGAACCAACCGAAUCUAGCAAAAAUUGACUUAAUAGUAACAACCAAUGCGAGGAAGAUAAAUUACAAUAUAUAAAGCUAUAUCUUUAUACUUUCUCAAAAAAGUCAACAAAAGUCAAUCCCAAGCGAACUUGGUCAAAACCCGAGAUUCGGAUAAAAUCCCAAUUACCCAUUCACCACUGAGCCCGAUUAUGUGAUUAGUAUCAAAAUCCGACCUCAAUUUGAGGUCUAAAUAUCAAUUUUACAAAACCCCCCUAGUUCUUCCCAAAUCCCUAAUUUUCUACCGUGAAAGAGCAAAGAUUAAAGAUAAAAAUUAAUGGGUGUUGAUGGAAAUCGAAGAGAACAAAUUAAAGUGUACUAACCUAUGAAUUGGUGAUGAAUUUUCUUUUCAAAAUUGCCUCUAGGCCGAGCUCUAAUGAGAAGAUGGCGAAACAUGGGUGAAAUCCCUUUUUGAGAUAUUUCAUUGACUGGGCACCAAGCCUUCUUUGUGUUCACGAAGGGCCUGACGCGUUUGUGAUGAAAAACAGCCAUAAUGGCCUAUGCGUUCGCGAGGUUCCUCACGUGUUCGUGAAGGCUUCUCCCCCAGGCCUUCGCCUUCGUAAGCCAGGGCUCGUGUUCACAUAGAGUAACAACGAUGCUGCCUUCCCAAGCCCAUAACCCUACGUGUUUGCUAGAUGCUGGUCUCGUUCGCGAAUGGUAAAUACCCCAAUGCUACGUGCUUGCGAUCUAGAUAUCGCUUUCGCGAUGAAGAACAACACCCCAAUCCCAAUUUCCUGUUUGCGAUCCUGAAGCACAAAGCAUCAGGCGACAACAACAGUGAAAACCUAAUAAUGACCUAAGUCCAAAAAUCACCUGUAGCCUAUUUGGAACUUACCCAAGGCCCUCGGACUCCAAACCAAACAUGCAAACAAGUGUAAUAACAUCAUACCAACUUGCUCGUGUGAUCAAAACAUCAAAAUAACACCUAGAACCACGAAUUGGAUAGCAAAACAAUAAAAAAAAUCAAAAACAUGAUAUUUUACAACUAGACGUCCGAAUUACGUCUAAUCGACUCCAUUUUGGACCAAAUUUUGCAGACAACUCAUAACUUCUGAAAUGAAACUAUACCAAGUUCUAGAAUCAAAAUCUGAACCUGGUAGUAACUUAUUCAACCUACGGUAAAACUUAGAAAUUCUUUAAAACUUUAAAUUACUAGUUUUCAAAUCAAGUUAUGAACAUCCGAAUUCGAUUUCGAGCAUACGACCAAGACCCAAUCAUGAUACAGACCCGUCAGGGCCGUCAAAACACUGAUACAGGUCCAUUUACACAAAAUGUUGACCAUAGUUACCUCAAAUGUGUUUUAAGGCUAAACUUUUACGUUUUCAUAAAUUUUUCACAUAAACGUUUUCCAAAAACAUGACACGCUAAACGGAGCUAUUCAAGGUCUCAGAACACAAAAAUGAAGGGUAAUACUAUAAAUGACAUGUUGGGUCAUCACAUUCUCCACCUCAAAAUCAAAUGUUCGUUCUCCAGCGGACAUAGAAAGGUACCUGACUGGUGAAUAGGUGUGGAUUCCUACUGUGCAUGUCUGACUCAGACUCCCACAUGGAUGCAUCGAUCUGCUGGCCUCUCCACUACACUCGAACUGAAGGAUAGCUCUUAGACCUCAACUGCCAAGCCUGCCGGGCUAGAAUAGCCAUCGUUUCCUCGUCAUAAGUCAAACAUUUGUUCAAUUGGACUGAGCUAAAAUCUAACCCAUAAGACGGAUCACCGUGAUACUUUUAGAGCACAGACACAUGAACAUUAGAUUGCAUGUGGAUAAACUAGGUGGCAAUGCCAGCCUGUAGGCCAGCUGCCGCGCCCACAUUUUUCCUCCGUGAAGAAAGUCCGGGUUUUGAGAUUCAUGGGGGUAAUAACUCAUUUCCUUUUGGGAUUUGGGUAUUUUUGAAGAGUCGCCACCUAACGGAUUAUGGUGCGUUAGACACCUAGAGAGAUUAACUCUUAGACUAGUUUGCAUUACCAGAGAUUAUGGUAAGGGCUUGAAAUAACCUUGAGGGGAAGGUGUUAGGCACUCAUCUCGAUCCACAAAGGUGGGUCCCCGGCUGAACUUAUACUUAUUAAUUAGUCCAUUUACAAAUAAGUAGUUAAAUAAAAUAAUUUGCAAGUAAAGCACGUUGGACAUUAUAUAACGCAAAUAAUAAGACAUUGGUUAUGAACAAGUUUUAUACAUAAAACAAAGUUUUAAAAAGAAGGGAUUUGGUAAAGGAGGGGUCCUAGGUUGUUUAGCCUACAAGAUCACCCCACACAAUGUCAGGUAAACACUGCUCAAUAAGGGGCUACACGUGACAUUAACGCGUAGUCAUCAUAUCCCAUAUCUACCUUUCCCAUCCCGUGGUAAUAGCCUAAAAUGCGCUAGUAAACUUGACGAUGCCUAUGCAUGCACUACCCGUCCCUUCCUAUGGACCUAGAGGUGUUUUAUUACCUCUAAAUCUGGGCAGUUCUAGACGACCCCUAAGGUGCUUAAAAGGAGAAAAUUCUAAGGCGACAGGCAAGAACAAAUAGGACCUUAGCACAAAAGGUAGAAAGGAAGCAAUUAGAGGCUCAAGUUUACCUCUACAGAUAAUGCAUGUAAACAGCAUGACUCAAACACAAAUAAGGGCAAUAUUGUUAAAUAGUAUUUUAAGACAUGAUGUCUAGGCGAAGAACAUAACAAAUGAGAUAUGCAGUUUUUAUUUUAUAAACUCAGAAGUAAUGGCCCUAUCCGUUUGCCUACUAAUUUUAAGCCUGUUUAAAGUCAGAACAACAUUAAGUAGCAGAAAUAGUUUCAAAGCUGCAAUAUUUGAAAACGCCCUAUAGGCUUGCCUACACGCUGAAUAGUGGUGUCCUAAAAACAUGAUAACUACGUUUGACAUAGUAAAACAGUGGAAAGAUUUUAAAAUAGACUCUUGAGUUCCUAUAGGCAGUCAUUCUAAUAGUGAAUUAGGGCUAACUCAAAAGAAUUCAUUUCUGGGAAAACAAACCACUAAUUGGACCAGUUUCGAAGAAAACUAAUCAUGAACUGCACUAACUUAUUUAAACUAAAUUUAUUUUAGAUCUAUAGGCUGGAUUUCUGAUGUUGUUCCCUAUAGGCAUGGUAUCUAAUUAUUAAGAGCUGAUGUUAGAAACUUAUAGGCAUGAUAACAAAUGAAAACAUAUGUAAAUACCCUUUAUAACAAAAGUUGAACCGAAUCAUAUCCUAUACGCAUGGUAUCUACUUGUGAAGUUGAUUUUAAGACCUAUAAACAUGAUUUCUAUUAUUGGAACCACUUGAGACCUAUAGGCAUGAUUUCUAACACGGUAAGGCAUAACAAAUAUAUAAUCCACGUCGUGCCAAAGGAUAUGUCAAAGGAUUUUAACAUCAAUAAUACUUCAUCCACGCUGUGCCGAUGCGAGCACGUGUCCCGAUACAUUAGCAUCAUGACCAACAUACAAAUAGUGAGGACAGACUGCCGAUGGAGCAAGGAAGUGGGGGUGGAGAUUCCUGGUCCCAAAGAGAAUAUAACGGACUAUAAGGCCAGUUUUCUUUACGUGUAUACCUACCCGUUCACCUUGGGUCCUGAUAAUUCUUCCGAAUCCUCUCCCCCGGAGAUAGACCCGGUUAUCCUUGACUUUUGUGACAAGUACCAAGUGACGCUUGGUCAGAUCUACACUUGUUCUCGAGGAUAGUAUUGAUGUUCCGCCAUUUUACCAAAGGGGUUGGGGUGAUACCUUUACACUCAAUUAUUUGAUCAUGAUGUAUAUCCCUCGAUUUUAUCGAGGUUUGAUCAAGCUCCAUCAUCGAUCCAAAAAAUCAUUUUUCUCGAGCAUCGAUGAGGGAAAGGAUCGAGGGUGGAUGAGCAGAUUAGUCUGGGUGAAGACCUCGGAUAUCAUCCUAGCCCGGAGGAUGCCCUUUCCGGAGAAUUGGAACAUGCAACAUAAGCAAUUUCCCUUAACCAACUUUUAAUACUUUUCUUCUGAAAUAACGACCUCUCUGUGCUUCCUGCAGCCGCUGCUUGGUACCCUGAGGUGGUUCCGGAUUUGUAGGGAUGGAUCAAGCAGUUGGACAAGGCAUUCCCAUAUCUUGUUUGGUCUUGGACAGACCUGGCCAAGGAAUGAUGGGUGGCCAAGAAUCAUGGAUGCCUCAUAUUUGUGUCUCUACCUGUGCCCUUAGAGAUGAAAUCUUGUGGUUACUAUGAUUGUGCAGGUCUUGGCGAGAAUAUGCAGAUAUGGCCACCCCCUAGUGGCGAAAUGGAGGAUUCGGAGCCCACCAAGGGCAAGAAGAGAAAAGGCAAGGCAACUGUCGUCCUUUCUGUGGCAAAGAAAACCUGGUCACUUGAGCAUCGAGGCACUGCUGGGACCUCUGCUUCAACUUCAGGGGAGAAUCCCGACACUGAGUAAGAGGAUGACGAUGAAUGUUAGCUAGCAUAGAAGAGGAGGCCGAAUGCGAGAACCUUGCAAGUGCCUCGAUCGGAGGCUGCUGAGUAUGGAAUGGCUAACUCCGGUCGGUCUUGUGAAUUGAAGACCCUUGAAGAGGGUGUUAAUGUGGCCUUAAAUUGCACAACCGAGUUUGACGUAGUUUCGGAUGGGGGGACCGCUACCAUCGAUCCUGAAGGGUCGGGGCCCAAAGCUUUUUAGGAGCAGGGGAUGCCUUUUGGGGAAGUCGGUGACAUCAACAACUUCAUCUCAUGCUUUAAGGUCUCAUUAGGGGAACUGAGGGAUGCUCAAGAAGCGGACGCCGUCAAAGUAGAGAUCUCUCUCCAAGGUGGAGGCCGUCUUGCCAGCAUCUCUGAUGGUGUUAGCGAUAGUGUUGGUUAUGACUUUCCCGGCGUCGUCAAGGCGGCGGAGAAAUUCAUGCGGCAUGUGAUAGCCAUCUUUUGUGCAUUUCUUUUAGUCUUGGGCAUCAUUCUUUGUCAUUCUAACUUUUCCGCUAUGCCACAAUGCAAGGAUAUGUACGACCAUACCUUUCUUCGGCUCCACAAGGAGCCUUCUUACCAUGAAAAGGAGUGUAAGAAGCUUACCUUGAUGCUGCGGGAUUCGGAUGCUCUCCCUAUCCGGGAAGAAAAAGAUCUAGGAGAGCUCCGAGCUGCGUUGGAGACAGCGCUCCGUGAAAAGGUCGACCUUGCUGUGAAGGUAUUUUUCCUUGCUUGUACUCGACAUUCGCUCCCGUAUUCCGACACAAAUUAGCUUAACUUUCUUUUGUAGGUCGAGCAGAAUGGUUCACAGCUUAGCCAAUUGUACAAGGAGAUCUCCGGGCUGAGGAAGCAAAGUGAAGUAGCGACUGAGGAGUUGGCGACAUCCCAGGAUCUUCUUAGGAAUGCUCGCAAGGAGGUUGCUGCCUUGGCUACGGCCAAGUCCAAGGUCGAAAGGAAUGCUACCAUUGAUCUAGAGGACGCAACCACGACGCAUAAAAUAACUCGUGAUGUAUCGAUAGCAGCUCAACAAAAGCUAGCUCGAGAUAUUAUUCAUGUUAAGGUAGAUGCGAGGAGAGAGACAUUGGAGGAGAUCGGAGCUAUAGGCGUCGACCUCUCCGCUGAUCUCGAGGGAGCCCGCGAAUUGGAGAGAGAACUGGUGCUUUUAAUUGCCCACGAUGAGGGCGAAGAAAGUAGUGAUGAGGAGUAGUCCCCAAGUCGUUUUGCAUCCCCUCUUUUUCCCUUUGUAUGUAGCCCCCUGGGGAUGGAUUUUGUAAAGAUAUCUCUCGUGUGUAUGUUAUUGGCAAUGUCAAAAGAGGGAUUACUCCUAUUAGUUUUUUCAGUCUCUUUUUUCUUUGUUCAUUUGCUUUUGUGGAUUGACUUUCGACUUUUGAUGUUGGACUUUUAAAAUCCGUUCUUGGAGCAACCGGGACGCCAAACUGGACAUGCGCUAGGGUUAAAUCGACAGCUCCUAUUAGGCCGGUGCUGGUGGUAUUAGGGAUCCCCCGGGGCCCCGCAGUUUUUUUAGUUCUACGUGGUAGCAACAUUCGCUGGAUCUGUUAAGAGGGGGCCCAGGAAAAUUCCGCCAGUGCGUUUCCCUAGGAGAGAGUGACGUUAAUGCGGCCAGAAUUAAUUGGCCUUUUGGAUAGGCGGCCAAUUAUUGCUCUGCCCCUAUAUAUUCACUUUUCUUCCUUUCCAAUGGUGAUUCUGUUGCUUUGAUAAACUAUCUCUUCCGUAGAGCCUGGCAUUUCUUGCUAGUUCUUCUGUUGCCCCCAUUCAAAGUUUUUGCUCAGGUCUACAUCUUUCUCUUCCUAUUCUAUCGUAGCUAUGAUUGUUACGUCAAUGUCCGAUAGUGGGGUGGAGAGGAGUUCUUCCUAUGCUCUGCAUUUGGUUGGUAACAGCGACUCGCUGCCGAUGCCCGGUGAGUGAGCCUCGAGGAGAGCUGUCAUGCUGGGGAGGCCUCCCAAUGUUUGGGGUCACCGGGAGCAUGUAUCGAGGAUCAUCUCGUCAGUGGGAGAGGAAAACCUCGAAAUGAUCGUAAAAGACUGUGGAUGGGGAGAAGGCGUGGUAUUACAAGUACCUUCUUCUAAGGAGAGCGUCACAACAUACGUUGAGGGGUUUUUGAGCGUAUACACGCAUGUUUUUGGGCUGGGUUCUCCCGAUUGGGUUGUGCUUGAUUUUUGUCGGAAAUAUCAGGUUACACUGGCGUAGACUAAUCCCUUUCUCUGGAAAAUAGUGUAGACGAUGAGAUAUUUCACCAAUAAGACUGGAAUAGAGUUCACCCUCAGCCAUCUCGUGAGGUUAUAUCGACCACUACGUUACCGGGGUUUGAUUGCUGUUCAUUGUCGAUCCACCCGAGUUCACGCCAUCGGUAGUGAAAAGGAUGAGGAUCGUGAAUGGAUGAAUAGAUUCUAUCGGAUUCAAAUGACCGAUGUCAUUCCUAGGAAAUUUUUGCCAUUUCCUGAGAAAUGGAACUUCAAACGUAAGUGUCUCAUCUAAACUAUUAUCAUUUUGUUGGAGGCCGGCUCCGUAAUGAUAUUUUUUUAUCCCAUAUUUAUAGCAACUCAUUGGUCGCCGAACGAGGUCCCCGAUUUAGCCGAGUGGCCUCGUAAGCUAUCAACUUGCUAGAUUUAUGAUAGGCGCUGGUAGCAAGAUUUAUCCAAAGGGAGAUGGGAGGUGAAGCAUCGUGGUAGGUGUUCAGCACUUUACUUCCUAAAAAAUGGCGCUUUUCUUGCCAGCUUAUAUAACUCAACUACCGUAGGUGCCGGGUGUUCUUUCGAAAUGAGGUUGUGUCAUCUAGGGAGGAGCAGAGAUUGUUGGACUCGCGAUCGAGGAUUUAUGACAAACAAAAAGAUGCUCUAGAGUGCGAAAGGGCUUGUAGUGAGGUGUCUCCUUCUUAGCGGCUAAGGAGAAGCGAUUCGGCCGACCGACUUGCUUCUAGAGGUGUUAAGCCAUCAAAUAUUGCUUCGCCCUUUGGCGAGGCUCAGCGGCUUGGCCUCAUGGUGAUUUUCUGAUUGCUGCAAGAUUAUUCCAGCCCCGUGCCUUUCUCUCUUUUUCUUUUUAUUUAGAUUUCUUUCAUAGGCCUUUGACAAGCUUAAAUCCGAGCUAUUACGUAGUGAGGCACCAUUGCGGGAGACUUUGGAUAGGGAGAAAUUCCUUAAGAUUCUUUGUACAGAAAAGAAAAACAAGCAGGUUUCCCUGCGGCGCGAGGUGGACCGAAAUCGGAGCCAUGUGAUCCGCUUGGAGAAAUAGGUACCCUGCAUUUCAUGCUGGCUUGCGCUAUCCCUUUUUACCUCGGCGUCUUGAUGUUUUCAUAUUAUAGUUGGAGGACAAGGCGGAGGAGCUGGGAUAGCUCUGGGGCGAGGUUGGUCGAGGCAAAUGCAAAUUCAACGAGCUGCAAGUGCAUGUAAGUGCCCAUUUUGCGGCCAAAGAGAGUGCUCUAGCGAUGGUUUCUGCUAUUGAGGUGCAAAUCUAGAUCGUCAGCGCAAAUGAUUCUGUUCUGGCGAAUAUGAUUGCAAGGCUCUCGUCCAAGCUUUUGAAGGCGAAGACCUAGGUGGUGAAUGUCCGGGCUGAGGUUGUGAUGAGCAACACCAGAGCGGGAGAGAAAGUGGCAGCCUAUUUGAAGAGUGAAGCCGUUUCUAAAGCUGAACUGGAGAGAGCCCUUGAUCGUGCAAGCAGUAGCAAGGAGCAUGUGAGGUGCAAAUCCCAGAGGGAUGUUUUCGAGGAGAUUCAUGCCAUGUGCUUUGAUCUCUCGAAAGAGAUCGAGCAAGCUAAAUGGGAGGAGUAUGAUGCCAAGUUCCUUCCGUCUGAUGCUGAAUACGGCGAGGAAGAGGCCACCAGGCCAUAGUCACUAGGGGGGGGGGGCGUUUAUUUCAUGCCUUAUUGUUGUGUACAUAGCUUUCAUAUUAUGUUGUAGUAAGAGCAUGUAUUUUAUCGCUUGUAUGAAAAAAGGGGGAACCCCGUAAUUUGCGUCUUCUAUGUUUCUGUCUAUCAAGAUCUCAAUCGGGUCCAUUCGACCUUUGAAUUAGUAGGAAUUUUCGAACCUGUGGUACGACCCAGAGGUUCGUUUAGCUGGUGAUAGCGGCUUUUACCUUUUUCCCUUGGGCAUACACAUCUAUAAUGUUCUAGGUUUAGUCUCCGAGUUGGGUUUCGACUCGAGCUCAAUCGACCCUUAGCUGGUGACAAUGGCUCUUAUGCCUUGGGUCGAAAUGAACUUUUAUGUACGUGGCCCUAAGGCUCAUGAAGCUGGCGACGAUGGCUCUUAUUCUUUGCCCUUAGGCAUGUAUUAGUUACCUAUUUUGGAUAUGGUCUACGAAUCGGGUUACAACUUAAGCUCAUUUUGAUCCUCAAGCAUUCAAAUUUUAUGCUGGAGACAGUGGCUCUUACGCUUUUGGUCAUUGCGACCUUUUAGUAUGUGGCCUUGAGGCUCACUUGGCUGGCAACAAUGGCUCUUAUGCUUUGCCCUUUGGCAUAUGUAGGCUUUGUUUUCCCCUCGUUAAGGACUUUUGGAAAUAUUUUUUCUUACCCCAUCAUCGGUUCGUGAAGAACCUCGAUUUCAAGUUGUUUUUGCGGUAUUAUUCGAGCACCUAGGAAGGUUUAUCUCGUGAGCUGAGUAGCUCAAAACCUUGUGAUUUGGAGUUGACAUGGUCAAAUCUCUUUUGCUUGUUGAGGAUAGCCUAUUUAACCUGUUCUUUUUGAAGUAGAUUCAAAGUAAUGGCAUGUGAUUUUAUAGCGAAGAUCGGGCUUCCCCGAGUUACGUUAAUUUGGCUGGUGCAGUUAUAUUGACCGUAGUAAUUUGUGUUUGGCCGGAGCCAUUUUUGAUCCCAAGUGUGGUAGUUUAGGAAUUUACAUCGAGGGUAUGCCAUUUCGAGAGUCUUACAAAUGCGACAUAUAGCCUAUACUUUGGGAUCGAGUUUUAUGCCUGUAGUAAGGUCUUAUAAAAUCUUCAUGCAUGUUGAGGUCUUACAGUUUUUUCAUGCCUGUUGAGGUCUUACAGUUUUGUCAUGCCUGUUGAGGUCUUACAGUUUUGUCAUGCCUGUUGAGGUCUUAUAAUUUUUUCAUGCAUGUUGAGGUCUUACAAUUUUUGUUUCUAUAUUAAAUAGAUCUCUCUAGACCGAGUUUUCCCGCUCGGGGUCUUACGGCCUUGGGUUUUUAAGUGAAUGGCGAUUGGCGACACUCUCUAAGUCAUCGAGUUUUGUUAGGCCCGGAGGCCGUUACUUGUGAGCUCGGAAUUGCCUCAUUAAGGGCUUAUGAGCAUGGAGUUCUGACCUUGAGGCCAUGCAAGUAUCCUUGUUGUGAUCAUACUGAAUUUUCUUUGGAGUACGAGAUGAUUUUUGGUCAAAGAUAUUCUUUGAUUGUUUGGCGUAAAUACAUGUUGUUUGGUUGUCGUAAACCCGGCUUAUGUGGACACGGUUUGUUCGACAGUUUGGCCCUGUACAUCAUUUCCUAUCGGAACCUCGUUUGUCGUUUCUUGGUAUAGGGUUGAUUGCAAAAGAAACCUUGCAAGUUUGGUGGGUCAUCCUUAGGUAGCGCGUAGAUGUUGUCUCGUUAAAAACCUUGCCGGCAAAAACCCAUUUUGGGAUAAAAACUCGAUCGAAGGAAAAGAGUGCAACAAAUGCUUCAAAACCUCGAGGCCCUCGAGCCAGAUUGGCAUCUCGAUUACUUUGGUCGAUGGCCUAUGCAAGAGUUAUCGUGAAGUAAAAGACAGAAAAGGGAGAGAUGAUUAUACCUUAGUGGCGAUGGUGCUCUUGAGUUCCGGCAUUAGUUUGGCAGAUGCGAUGUGGUACUUUAUUUGAAUACAGCUAAGGGCAUGUAAUAAAAAAUCAUGUGGAUGAUGUGUUUGGGUUCGUCUGCUUUGUUCUUUCUGGUUGUUUCUCUUUCUCGGGUCUGGUUUUUAGUUCGGUUGCUGAGGAAUUCCCGAAGGUGUCCGUUAUUGACCAGCCGGGCCACUUCCUCCUGGAGUUUCCUGCAAUCCUCGAUUUUGUGCCCGUGUGAGUUGUGAAAUUUGCAUAUCAAGUUGUAGUUCCUUUGGGAAUGAUCCGAGUGUAUAGGUCUGGGUUAUUUAGCAUCCCUGAUUUUGCUGAUGGCAGACAUGAUGUCCGAUAUAUCAACAUUGAAGUUGUAUUCAUAUGGGUGAGUUUCCCCCGUUAGCCCCGUGUCCCCAUCGAAUCCACCUCUGUUUGUGGGUCCCCAAGGGUUCUGUCCUCUGUUCACCAAUCGAUCGUUGCGAGGCAGAUUGCAUCUCGGGGCAUUCCUCCUAUCAUCGAGGUAUGGCUGAUACCUCUCUUUAUUCGAUUUUGACUCCUUCGACAAGAGUCUUCUCGGAUAUACUACGCCCGAGGGGGCUCCCAAAUGGUCAUCCUCGAUCCUGAUCUUUGACUGGUACCGAUUGUGGACGUCCGACCAGGUUACAACGGGAUAUUCAAUCAGAUUCUUUUUCAGCUUCCUUGAGGCCACCGAGCUUCAUUCAUUCAGGCAUUGAGUGAAGGCUUGCACUGCCCAAUCAUCAUAGAACGGGGGUUGUUCCAUUCGUUCCGUUUGGAAACGAGAUACGAAUUCUAACAACAUUUUGUUCUCCCUCUGCAUAAUCUUGAAUACAUCAGACUUCCUUGUUGAUACUCUGAUGGCACCGGCGUGUGCCUUUAUGAAGGAAUUUGCUAGCAUGGAAAAUGAAUCUAUGGAGUUGGGAGCUAGGUUGUGAUACCACAUCAUGGCCCUCUUCGAGUUUCUCCGAACUUUUUCAGUAAGACGGACUCGAUCUCGCUGUCCUUUAUGUCAUUUCCCUUUACUGCGCAUGUAUAGGCACUGACAUGUUCGUUGGGAUCUGAGGUCUCGUUGUAUUUUGGGAGUUCUGGUAUUCUGAACUUCUUUCGAAUGGGUCUCGAAGCUGCUUCCUCUGGGAAUGGCCAUUGUACAAACUUUUUCGAAUCUACACCAUUCAAGACUAGGGGUGCGCCCGAGAUUUGGUCGACUCUGAAGUUAUAGGUUUCGACCUUAUUGCCGUUGGCUGCUAUCAUUUUCCCUCCUGACUUAAUCUUUUUGGUGAGGUCCUCCAGCAUUUCACGAUGGCAGGAUCGGCUACUGAUCCGUUGUUGCUCGAUCUCUCCUGUACCUGUUCGGCUAGGGGAGUAGUUUUCAGUGCUUUUGUGCUGGGAGUCGUCGGGUGGCUUUGCAGCUGAGCAAUAGCCAGUUGUUGUGGCUGCAACAUUUCAAAAAUAACAUGAAGACUAACUUCCUGUUCUCCCCGAGCUGGGGUCUUUUGGGAUUCUUGUUGGAUGCCAUGUCGUAUGCUCCUGUCGGUGUACGAAGUCUUGUCGACCUAUUGUGCAUUUUGCAAACCCGCGUUCACUGGAAUCGGUCCAGGUGCGUUUUCGGGGUUCUGUGGUGGCGUACCAAUAACUGGAAUGGCUACACCGUUUUCUCCAUGGUUUUCAAGAUUGUCGUUCUCGACUCUGUUCACUGAGCCAGACAUUUCGACCAGAAGUUGAAGAUGUUGGACAAGAAAAUGUGUGAAAGAUAACUUGCAUUGUGUAAUGAAAGCGCCAAAAAAAUAAUCACUAUUAGUUUUAGCCCCACGGUGGGCGCCAACUUGUUUACCGUUAAAAUGGUAAUAACAAUUAAAUUUAUUGAUGGGACUCUAAAAAUAUGUGAUUUAUUUAUAUGCUAGUUGUUAGAGCAAUUGAUGCUAGAUAUGUGAAGUUUAACGGCGAAACACGAACUAAAGCAGAGUUAUAGUCAAACUGAGGGGCUAGCUAUCCAGGCCUCAGGCUAACUGAUGAAGGGCCUCGAGGUCGACGUCUGGGCUAGGGCUCGAGCUAUCGAGGUUAGCCGGGAAGGGACUAGCAGUUACAAUAUAAUUGAAAGAGGCUCUUUAUAGCCAAUAUCAAGCAACAUAUGAAGAACAAGUAUGAAAGCAAUAAAUGAAAGUUGUAGUCUCGAGUGAUUAAGUUAGAGAGAAAAGAGGGAGACAGUUGUUAUUGAUCUUGUGUAGAAUAGUUGGAGCAACAACAGCCCUUUACAAAGUUGUAAGGAUCCCCUUUAUAUAGGAGGGGAAAUACAACAUAGUACAGAAUGCAUUAAUUGUAAAGAUACAGAGAUGGGACGGCUAGACAUGACACCAAACUCUGCCGGUGUUACCUGCUCGCUUUGGGAAUUCCCCAUACUCGGCACUGUCGUUGGGUCAAGCAUAAAUGAACAUCGAGGGAGAGAACUCGACCGAAUCCCACAGCCUCGAUAUCUCGAUAUGACUUCUCGAAACCCCUUAAUGACUAGUAAUUGGACUCUCUGAUUUUAUCGUAUACAGAUAGUCUCUGCAUUUCCUGGAAUGAAGUAAUAGGAAAUGAUUCUGAGCCAUCAUUCCAAGGACAUCAUUGCCGUGACAUCAAUUGAUAUGAGCAUUAAAUGCCAUGUUCUAGAAAAUCGUGCAAAGGUUGCCAUCAAAUACGAUAAUCGAGGAACAUACGAACUACCAUUGUCUCAAACUUUUAUACUCUUUCAUCUUGAUUUAGAGAAAUUUUUACCAUUGAUAUGGAUAGUACUUCUAGAAUGGUUCCUCGGCGGAACGAAGUUGCAUCAUUAUCUCAACCGCAACCCCACAGCCUCGAGAUCUCGAUAUGACUUCCUGAAACCCCUUAAUGACGAGAAAUUGGACCCUCUGAUUUUACCGUAUACACAUUGCUUUAUUAAGAUUUAAUCAUGUUAAAGUCUUAGAUUGUGUAAUUUAAAUUGUUAAAAAUGAAUUGGGUGUUGUGUCGGUUGGCCUUGUCUUCACGAGAGGUGCCAUCACAACCGGGUUCGGGUUUAGGGUCGUGACAAAUUUGUAUCAAAGCAUAGGUUACAUAGGUCUUACGAGUCAUGAGCAGGUUUAGUAGAGUCUCGCGGAUCGGUAUAGAGAGGUCUUUACUUAUCCCUAGGAGGAUGUAGAAUCUUUAGGAAAAACUGUACUUUCUUGAAUUCUUAUCGUCCAUCAUUGAUUCAGCUUGAAAUAUAACUCAUUGAUUCCCUUCUAUGCGUUUGUAUGCACGCAUGAAUGCUUAGUAUCAGAUAUGCAUCGAUGGCUUGUGAUUCCCUAAUCGAGGUUCGAGAUGUAAUCUCUGUUUGUUGAUGUUGGGCCAGUCUGGAGGACUUGAGGCCAGGUUUUUGCCUACAGUUUGAGCACUGAGGCAUUGAUUGUGUGAGCAUGUACUUGUGGAUUUACAUGUCCGGUAGUGUCCCUAUUAGUGGGAGUGAUGUCCGGGUAGCUAUGUGAUGAGUAUGUUAUGAUUGCGAGAUGUAUUCUUAUGAUCUGGAAGCGACAAGGAGGGUCUGCUAGAUGAUAGAAGAACUAUUAGAUGCUUGAUUUCCAUCUUGGUUUGAGGUAUAGCCCCGAGUUAUGGGUGUGCGAAGAAUAUUUUCAUGUUUUCUAGUUGGGGGAGUGAAGUAGAUUUCACGUUGUAUUAUGAGUUCAGACUUAGGAAGAUCAAGUGACUGCGUAAUGUUUAUGGUGGUGGAAGGGUAUAAAGAGAUGUUAGUUGAGGCGAACCAGGUGGGUUAUCCCCUGUUGAUUGUUCUGAAGUUUGCGUAAUCCUUUAUGUCAUUUAUUGGAAGAUCUCUGUCACCAGGGAAAUAUAUGUGUUGCAAUUUGAAUUUGGGUCGCCUAAGAGAGUGGGUUUAACUAUUACGAGAGUGAAUGCGAGAAUUGUAGAAGAUUUAAAGUGCUAGAUGGUCUGUCUUUCACGAGCUUUUGAAGGAUUGAGUUUAAUCUCAUUAUGGUAUUAUGGAAGCAAUAGAGUAUAUGCGUUAUGAGUUAUUAUGUGUGUUUUGACCUUUGUCUUCGAGCCAAGUAGGUGAGUCUACUAUUGAUUAGUUGAUUGCACGGUCAUGUGCUAUAUUGAUUCCAGUUGAGGCGUACGGGUGAAUCGGUUAUGGCUUAUAGAGGUUGAGACCGAGGAUGGCUCGAGUAAAGGAAAUUUCAAUAAAGGUUAUGUCAUGCUUCAUAGAUGUAUGAGAAUCACGGAAUGUCUUGAGUGGUUAUUGGUAAAGGAUGUGCGGUACAUAGAGCAGGAAGUUCUUUAGUUGCAUUAAGGUGAGGUUGUAUUCUGUGGUGUUGGAGUGCUUAUGAGGCACAGGUUGUUCAGUUCGUUUGAUCAGUCUAAUUGAGGUUUGAGUACAGUGGAUGACUCUCGAUAAUGGUCCUAAUGUGUUCAAGAUUUUACAUGUAAUAAUUGGAAAUUUUCAAGUGUAUAAUUUGGCUAGAAACUGAGGUUUGCAUUGAAGGGUGUCAAGACUUGUGUCAUUUCUAUAUCAAUUAUGGGAUUCUAUAAAUCAAUAUUAGGAAGGCAAUGUUUUCGGAUUCGCAAGAAGUCUUGCCAGGGUAGGUAUUUUGAAUGUGGUGCUUUUGGGAAUAUUAAGGAGAGUAUUCAGCGGCUUAUGAGCCUUAGACGGUGUGGUUUUAUGCUUGGGUCUCGUGUGGUGAGUCUUGAUUGAGGAUUAUGGUAUUAUGGCAAGUAGAAGUAGUAAUUCAAAGGUAAUUUAGAAGGAGCUUUGAUAAAUAGGACAGCUUGGUAGUAAUUCAGAUCAGCAUGGUAAGGGAUACGAUUAGUUCUUUGCGUGUUUAUGAGAUAAUGAGUUUCUACAGCUACUUCAUGGCAAUGCUCUUAGGUUUUGAUGGCUUGCGUAUCUUGGUUGAGGUAAAAGGAUUCAGUCCUGACAGGUUUGGUUUGUGCAAAGGGAACUCGAAGAGUUCUUGAUGAUUUCUACCGUAGAUUGGAGGUGUAUAUUUUCUACUGGCAUGCGGAGAGUGGAAUGUGUAGUUAUUUUAUUUUGAAUGGGAUCACUGGAAAGUUCUUGGCUAGUUGAGUACAUAGUUGCUUGUGGCUCGGAAGGGAUAUGAAGUUCUCAUGGUUGUCUUAGGACGGUAUGGUUCUUGCGGUAUGUUGUGUAAGAUUGAGAUUUGAAUAUGUGAGGUCAUGGACCAGUUCUGAAAGGAUGUUCAUUAAAAUUUUAAGCAGCACAGGAAGCAUCAGAUGAUUUGGGGAAAUGAUAGUACUAAGUGGUGUAGCUUGACAUGGGUAUACAUUUUAGAAAAAAGGGUAAUGUGAUUGAGAUUGAUGAUACUUCAUUAGUAUUGCGGCACUCUCUUAUUGGAUCAAUUGCUGAUAUUCGAGUUUGCUUGGUAGUACAGAAGAAUUAUAGGAGUAUCUCUCAUGGAUGUUUGGGUAUUAGAGGUGUGUUGCAUAUUCAGGUAGAGUUGCGAUCGGAUAUGGUGAUCCGUGUGCUAUCUGGAUUUGGAGACUAGGAGUUUUCAUAGACAGUUUAGGUUGUGGUUGUGAACCGUGUACAUCGGUCUUGUGUGGUAACUAUUGGGAGGUUUGGAGGUCCGAGUGGAUCCUUGUUGCUUGGUAUGUUAGGUUUCGGAUGUGAUAUUGGGUAUAGACUAGUUGUCUUUGUGUCGUGUUAUUGUACACGGUGAAAUCAGAGGACUUAAUUUCUCGUUAUCAAGUCAUUUAGGAAUAAUGCUUCGCGACUCUGAAGACGGGGAGCCAUGACCGAGUCCCCUCCCUCGGGCUCGUCGAGGCACGACUCAAAGAAGAUGGAGAGCAAAGCCAGAACAGAAGGGGGAGCUCCCAAGGCACACGGCUAAGUCUGACAGGGCCGGCCUAUCCAGAGACUACGUCACAUAUCCAUACUUUAUAAUUAAUGCCCAUGUAUAAUAGCCGGGGUCCCCUCCUAUAUAAAGGGAACCCAUAUUACCUUGUAAUGGGUUGAUGUUGCUCUAACUAUUCUCGAUAAAGGCAAUAAUCUCUCUCUCUCUCUCUCUUCUCUCUAACUCGCUCGCUCUCACUGGCUCAGGCCAUUUUGGUAUUCAAUUUUCUGCUACUAGUUCUUCAUUUAUUUCCUGGUAUUGGCCAUAAAGAGCCAUGUUUGAUCAUAACCUGACUAUUACCCCCUUCCCAAAUACCCCCGAUUGAUCGAGAUUGAGCUUAGGUAUCGACCCCGAGGUCCUCCAUCAACCAGUCCGAAGCCAAGGCAGUAAGCCCCUCGGUUUGAUUACUGCCUUAUUUUAGCUUGUAUUUCAUCGUUAAACUUCAUAUUCCUAGCGUAAUUUUUUCUAACAAAUAGCAUAAAAAUAGAUCAUGUCUUUUUAGAAUCUCAUUUACAAAUUUAAUUGUCGUUACCAUUUUCAUGGUAAACAGUUUGGCGCCCACUGUGGGGCUAAAAAUAAAAGUGAUUAUUUUCUUGCUGGUUUCAUUGCACAAACGCAAGUUAUCUUUGAAAGUUUUUCUUGUCCAUGGUCUCUUGAUUUCAGGUCAAAAUGUCUGGCUCGGUAAAUAGAGUCGUGGAGGACAACCUCGAAAACCACGAGAAAAAUGGCAUGGUUGUACCGGCGAAUGGAGUGCCACCACAGAAUCCCAAUAAUGCGCCCGGGCCGAUUCUAGCAGAUAUAGAUUCACAGGACACACAACGAGUCGACGAAACAUCCCACACCGACAAGAGCAUACGGCACAUCGAUCGAUAGAAAGCCUAAAAAUCCCCAGCCCGGGAAGAACAAGAAGUUAGUCUUCAUGUUAUUUUUGAAAUGUUGCAAGCACAACAAUUGGCCAUUGUUCAGUUACAAAGCCAUCCAGAGACUCCCAGUACAGUAGCAUUGAAAACAACUCCCCCCGCCGAACGAGUGCCCGAGAGAUCAAAUAACAACGGAUCGGUAACCGACCCUACCAUAGCAAAGAUGCUUGGGGAUUUCUCCAAAAGGAUCGAGUCAGGUUCGUGGAAGUCGAUGCAACGGUCGUCCCUCGAGGAAGCGGUCCCGGAACGCAUUUCAAAGAAGUUCGGAACACUAGAACUUCCUAAGUACAAUGGGACCUCAGAUCCCGAUGAUCAAAUCACUGCUUGUACGUGUGCAGGAAGAGGCAACGACCCACGAGAUGAUGAAUUUGAGCUCGUCUUAUUGAAGAGGUUCGGGGAAACACUCUCAAAGGGAACCAUGAUGUGGCGUCAUGACUUAGCACCCGACCUCGCAAACUCGCUUACCACACCGGCAAAUUCCUCCAUAGACACAUGCACCGAUGCCAUCGAAGAAGCGACGAGAGAGCCUAACACAUCUAGGGCCGAACAAUGGGAGAGUGAAAUGCCCCAGGAAUUCGCACCUCAUUCCCUGAUAGAACGAAGGAGACUACCCCCAGUUUUGGAUGACUAGGCAACAUAGGCCUUCGCCCAAAGCCUAAACAAACCAAGCCCAACGACUUUGGGGGAGAUCAAACGAAACAUGAUCAGAUACCCAGCCAAGAUCUAGUUGGAUACCCGCACCAGGAAACAACCAUGAAAUAGGGUCGUGGACGAGGGAGGUACCACCCAUAUGCCGAGGAUAGGAGGAACGCCCCUAGAUGCAAUCUACCUAGCACGAUCAGGAAAUGGCCCGAGGGCAAUAUCCUCGAGGAAUCUUAAACAAAGCCAGAUUGGACGAGGCAUGGCCGGAAGGGGCACCUCUCCAAUCAGAGUAUGGUUUCAACAUUGCCAUACCAAAUAUCGUGUUCACCAUAAGCGAAUCUAGGACACCAAAUAGCUCAGACCUAUUCGACCGAAUCUCCCUCAAAGGAACCACAACCUAGCGCGGGAACCGCACAAUGCGAACCACCACGGGGUCAAAAAUGGCAACAAGCUCAGGAGGAAAACAGUCGUGCUACUCAAUAAAAAUCACCAUCGAGUACUAUUGAGCUAUCAGGCUCGAAUUCAGCCCCGAGAGAGGAAGGCAACCAGGAAGAACGAAGCAAAUGAGUCGCGAUGUAUUGCCACAAUAGUGGGGAAGCAGAGACACCCUCAAAGGACUUAUAAAAUGGAAAGUAAAAAGGCUUGUUACCAGCAAAAGACGGCUCUGGGGAUACGUUCUGGAGGACAUUCUUACAUCCAGCAAAAAAGACAUUGAGACUUCUCGCUGGCCUAACAUUGACACAUUGGUAACCUUUUCCCUCAUUUGAUAUAUAUCAAAUAAAAUAUGUUCUCAUGAACUCAUGAAUUCAGGUGGUUCGAUCAAUACAUCAACAUUGUCGGGCCGAGGUUAAUAAGGCAGCUCGGACCGCCGGGUCAAAACACGACCACCUUUUGAAUCUUUAACAGAUUCCUCACGGUGAUCACUACAGCAAGAAGAUAGUCCAUUCUCUCGAUACAGCAUGGUUGGCUCAGAUGGGAAUGCCUAGUCCCAUACCGAUAAAGGAGACGCAAGGCAUGGCCAUCUUAUUCAGACGGCCACAGGCACACUGCACGAAGACAGCGUCGCCCCCACUUUGCCCGAAGGAUGAAAUUCCACGCAAGGGACAGAAUUAAAAUUGUGAGCGGGAAGCAAUACGCGGGAAUAGGAAAUCAUGCAUCGCAUGACACACCACUAGCACCAACACCUCCACUCUCGAAAGAGUCGAAGGGCAAGUGAACCACAUCUUCGGCCAAGCCCGAUUUAACACAGUGGAAGGCCAUACUAGGGCCCACACCCCGAAAGAGCAGGAACAUACCAAACCUCAAAACAUCGCCUGCACAUCCCACGGUAAGGAAGAACUGCUCCACUCCUCUGUUAUUUUUUCACUAACCUGUACACAGAUAAUCGGCCGUGACGUUCGGAAGUUCUAACUCUACCCGAAGAUCCUAAGGCCUUAACAGGACCCACCGCUCUCUUUCCCCUCGGUCGGACAUCCGUCCCGAAGAGGGUUUCACCAGCAAGGUUAUUAGCGGAGCAACAUACCCCCUGAGGAGGAUCCGACUAGAUCACAGGCCUUCUUCUACAGUCAAACGAUGAGCGAUAAUCCUAUUUUGAGGCCGCCAUCCGCUCGGAAGGGACGGGGAAUGGCAUACUAAGUUUCAAUAGGGAAUCAUGUACCGGACCAAAUGGCCCAAGAAGUCGCUCCCGCGCGAGCUGAGCUCACAAUGAUGAAACUAUAUGUAUUUAUGCCAAGCAAUAAAGAAUACCUUUCAACAUCUCAUGCUCUAGAAAGGGAUGUUUCAGCAUACUCUUGGCGGGAAUCCCUCCAUCGAAUGCGCCCCAAAAUACUCGGAGACUUAGCAUCAACAAUUUGGCACCUGCACGACCCUAGGGUCAGAACAUCGGGCUCAUAAGGCCCAAACUAGGAAACUCCAAGCUCACGAAUAACGGCCCUCGAGCCUAAGCAAACUCGAUAACCCGGAGGCUGUCAUCAAUCGCCAUGCAAUGGAAAACUCGAAACUGUAAGACCCUGAGCGGGCAGACUCGGUGUAACCAAAUCUAUUCUAUAUAGCAACAAAAACUGUAAGACCUCAAUAGGUAUGACAAACUAUAAGACCUCAACAGACAUGACAAACUAUAAGACCUCAAUAGGCAUGACAAACUGUAAGGCCUCAACAGGCAUGAUAAAUUGUAAGACCUUACUACAGGCAUAAAACUCAAAAUCCCAAAGUUUAGGCUAUACGUCGCAUUCGUAAGAAUCACAAAAGGGCAUACCCUCGGUGUAGACGCCUAAACUAUCACUCGGGAUAAAAAAUGGCUCUGGCCAAGCAAAUAUGACUACGGUCAAAAUGGCUAAUACAUCCAAAAUAAUGCAACUCGGGGAUGCCAGACCGUCGCUAAACAAAAAUCGCAGGCCAUUACUUCAAAUAUACUUGGAAAAGAACCGGUUAAAACAGGCUUACCUCAAUAGGCAAAAACAAGCUUCGACCAUGUCAACUCCAAAUCACAAGACUUUGAGCUACUCAGCCUAUGAGCUUAGAACCUUCCGAAGGUGCUCGAACAUCGCCGCUAACGUCUUGAAAUCGAGGUUCUUCCGGAACCGACAACGGGUCAGGAAAAAUCAUUUCAAAAAGACCUUAACAAGAGGAAAACAAAGCCUACAAAAAACCCUACGGGCAAAAACGUAAGAGCCAUUGUCGCCAGCCAAACGAACCUUCAGGCUACACACUAAAAAGAUCUCAACGACUAAACAGGGUAAGAUCCACUGUUGCCAGCUCGAAAAUUGAAAACUUGAGGAUUUAAAUGAGCUCGAGUUGUAACCCGACUCGGAGACCGAAUCCAAAAUAGUUAACUACAAUAUGCCUAAGGGAACGACAUAAAUGCCAUUUUUGCCAGCCAAAUGAGCCCCCGGGCCACACACCUAUAAGGUCACUUCGACCCAAAGCACAAAAAGCCAUCGUUGUCUGCCCGUGCAUGCAGGAAAGAACUUACGGAUCAAUUAAAGCUCAAAUCGCAAUGCGACUCGGAGACUGGACCCAAAAUAGUUGAAACAACAAAUGCCCAAGGACAAGAAAUAAGAAUAAUUACUAUCCGCCCACACGGGCACAAAAGAUUGAAGGUCAGGCAAGGUCGGGUCAAGGCCUGACUCGGAGAAUAAGCCUAAACAGCCGGGCAAAGCAUGGAGGCCCCAACGCCUACUCACGUCAAUGAUCGCACUUAAAAGCCUCCAGGACUGCCUGAUUAGUUCGGGAUCUACAAGGCUCCCACCAAACACGGAAAUCAGCCCGCCUGGUCAAAAGCAAUACAGAAAGAGAUGCAAAGAAAUAAAACUUCAAGAUUUCUCUUAUCUUACGUACGCAAAAGGCACACUCUCCAUCUUCAAACAUGCUCUACAAGUAUUAAAUAUAAAGCGAAAAAACAAUGAAAUCUACUCUCUACUCCAAAGGGCUACAGCUUGCCAGAUUCACUCUCUAUGAUGUCAAUAAGAAGUGACAGAGCGUCAAACUCGUCCUCCCUUGCUCGAGCCAAUUCCUCCGAGAGAACGAAGCCCUUUGUGCCGAUCUCCUCGAACACCUCUCUUUAUGAUCUGUAACGAGCAUAUUCCUCAAUCCACUUCUACCGAUCGAGGGCCCGCUUAAGCUCAUAUUGGACAUCAUCAUCGUCCUUCAUAUGAAUUGCCAUCUCCUGAUCAGCCUUGGUUAGGAUUAAUGCCGCUUCAGCCCGGGCAUCGAUUAUCUCAGCCUUGUUCUUCGAGAGAUCAGACUCGAGUUUCCCAAUCAUAUCCGAUUGAAGUAUAGCAUUGUGACGAGCCAAGCGGAGUUGGUCCUCGAAGGUAGGAACCUUGACCAAAGCACCUCUCUCCUCUAAAGCUUGAGCUUGCACCUAGGCCCUUAGCUUACCAUAAGCAUCCUUGACGCGGUCGGUGUCGCCCUUAAGGAACUCCAAGGCCUCCGUCUUUUUUCGGAGCUAAUAUAGGAAAAAGGGGUUAACCUUAAGGGCCAAAAAGAUCAAAGUGUGUACUACGAAAGGUUACCUCCUCUAUCAAAUAGUUCUAGUAAUUCGAGCUCUUGUACGCCUCAUAUCGCCAAUGCAGCAACUCAACCUCCUUCUCCUCGCUAAGGAGCCUAAGGGACUCACCCUCGUCUAGAACGUUCUGAAGCCUGGCUCUUUGAUGGAGCAACUCAAACCUAAGCCUAUCACAGGCCUGCAAAAGGAAUACUCUAUGAAGAAAGGAGGAUGCGGUAUACAGAAGAACUGAGCCUAAUAUCACCAUGAAGUAAAGCCGAUGGGCUUUCUCGAUGUCAAAGCACACUCCUAUUGAUCCUGCCCCUUCAGUCUCAGGAAAACCAACCUCGAGCAAAGAGUAUUCACUCGGGGUAACCGUCGUCCAGGAAUCAAACACUCUAGGAAUGGCAGGCUCGGACGAUGCCCUCUCCUCAAAGACACGGGCACGUUCAGCCCGACUAAAAGCUCUAUUACACUACCGGUACGGAUUACUUUUGUCUCCAUCGUCCCUCAGCUCGGAGACCGACAACUCAUUCCCCUCUCCAGAAGAGCACAUCCUCUCACCCAAGGAGCCGCUCCAUACCUGCAACGGCAAUACCAGUGCAAAAGAAAAAGGAAAGUGUCAUCUCAAAUGUACGAAGACCAAGGUAAAGGCAUCGUAUGUGCAUACCUUGGUAUUUCUCUUUCCAUCUGUUACGGGACACAGCUCUCCACCUACGCUUGUCGCAGGUCUAAUGGGUUACCAACCUCCAAACCCAACCGGGCAGAUCGAGAACUUUGACCGGCGUCCAUGAAGAUGUUGCAAAAGGGGAGAAAAACAGUUACUCAAUAGACUUUCACUAUAAGAAAAACCUGAGAAAGCGCUAGGCAUUCCACUUACGAGUGUAAUUCUAACCCUCGGGAAAUGGCAUAAGCUCCACAAGGACAAUGUCAGUCAUUCGGACCCGAAUGAAUCAACUGAUCCACUCUUGGUCAUCACCUUCUUCAUCAUCAACAACAAAAGGCAUGGACGAAUGACACCGUAGGGUUAGCAAGACUCGGUGAUGAAAGGGUUAAUACAACCUGACAAGGUGACUGAGCAUGAAUUCAAGCCCAAACUCCUCCGCAAAGGAGCUCACCAUCAGCACCACUCGCCAAAACGACGGAUUUAUCUGCACCAAAGUAACCCGAUACUUCAAACAAAAAUCAAGCACGACCAUAUCAAGGGGGCCAAAAGCGAAAGGAUAUAGGUAUACGCUCAGGAAUCCAUCAGUAGAGUCUAUAAUGCUCUCAUCCGGGGAAAGCACAUGCAGCGUUAUCCCCUCGCUCCAUCCGCAGUAUCUUCUUACCAUCUCCAUAUGUUCCUCUUUUAUCAAAGACACAGUCAUUAGAGCGAACUCCUGCGGAUCCUGGGUGCCGGGAGUAGCACCCCCACUGCGUGCUAGGCCGACCCCGAAGUAGUUUCCAUAACUACGGUGGAAUUGAUAGAGUAAAGCAAGAACGUGCAUCAACGCUUGUUGCGCUUGAAGAAAUGAAAAACCCUAUGCCAAGGCGGAAGGGUAGCUAUCUAAAAUAGUUAGGCCUUUUUUAGAAUCCGAAGCCACCCCACAUAACUGCGGGAAACAAUGAUGACUCACCUAUUCGGAGUGAACCCCGUGAAGCCAAUGGUUUCGACACAGAUCGGUGGGGUGAUACCCGACCCCAGAGGCAUCCUUCAAUGAGAAGCCAAGCCUUGAGAAGUUGACCGUAUUGUCUCCAGUUUCGAGGCAGCAUCCAACCUAGAGGAUCUCUACCAAAAAAGAAGUCAGGCUUCGGGAAGCUUUCAAUGCCAUCACUCGACUCAAGGCGAUACCUGAUCUCAUGGUUUCCUUUUCUAAAAGGAAAAAUAAGCACGUGAAGUUGCGAUCAUGAAGGCUCAAGGCAGCGACCAAGUAUAGGCAGCCCCUCAACAGAAGUCUAUCCCCUACACAUUAAAAAACCAUCUACAUCAAGUUCGAAAGGCACCCCCAGGUACCCAAAGCUGACCUUCACUCAGGUUACCGUUCUAGAAAGCUCGAAACUCAGUAUACUAUCUUCAUGCAACUUGGAGGGCUCAACAGCCCGAACCUAUCGGACUAGUUCGGACCUGGUCUAAGGUACAAUAAUGGGCUCGAAAAAGAGCCAUGUCAAUCAACAAAGGGUCAGAAAGAACGCUCACAUCCGAGUAAGAUAUUAGCGGUCAACAACAAAGGAAAACAUUCAAAGGCCUCGAAGGGCACAAGAGAAUGCAAUAAUAAAGCAAGAAUCGAAAAUAGAAGUCAAGGAAGUAUGUUCAUAUUUAUAAAAAUCCAUGUACAACAGCCCUCGAGGGGUCUUUACAUACAAUUACAAAAGCCUAUAGAGGAUAUCUACACCAAAAGCAGAGGAAUGGAAGGACGUACAUGUGAUGAAAUCUGAGAGCCCGAUCCAUCCUUAUAAAUCCAUCUUCGAUAUCAGCAUCCUUGAGUGCCGCCCCUCGAGUACGCAUCCUCGAGGGUGAUUCCUUUGACCGCCGCCUCCUCUAGGUUCCUAGCUCAAUCCCCCGAGGGAUUCCUGCUGGAAAAGAUGAAGAAGAGGAAAAGGAGGUGAUGCAUAGGAGGAAAAUAAAAGAGACAUGGGCCGCCAAAGCCAAAGGUUGGAAAUUUGGCAGGCCCUGGCCUCAAUGGCCGGUAGUACCAUUUUAUCCCUUGAGAAAGGAAAAACCCAAAGGAUGAAGUGCCACACCAAGACUAGGUAGGGGAGUGAGUAGUGGUGCAUAGUCCGAAUAACUGUCUACAAAAAUGGAGAGCUGACUCCCCAUUCAUCAUCAUCUCGGGCCGACAACAACAGCAACAAUGGAUGUAGCAGCAACCAUAGCAACAGCAGGACGACAUUGUUAUGAUCGACAAAGAGAAGCCCCGGCAAGAGUCCACGACACAAUCUAUAGAAGCUCCGCCGAAUGGCCUUGAGGCCAUGAGCCCUGUGCAUGAUGUUCAAGGAUAGAAGAAAAUGAUAAAAAGAAAUGGGUAAAUGAGCCAACAGAGGUAUUGGGAUAGGAAAAACAAUACCAAGGCACUCCCAUUUAUAUGGGGAAAUGACACUGUCAUAACGGCUUUGGAAGAUUUACCGGCGGAUGCAGUUACUGCAUUCUUGAAAAACCGAACCGAAGGCAGUAUAUUCACCUUGGAAAAUGUGAAUUGGCAGUGCAUUGAAUGAAGUCGAAACGCACAAGUCCAUGGGACGCCCCGGUCGCCACAAAAGCUCGUGAAUCAGGUUGCAUCAUUAGUAUGAAGUUUUCGCAUGAAGCUCGAGGAAUCAAGUGUCAGAAUCAUUUCUCAUCGCUUCGUUCUGGGAAACACAAAGACUAUUUACAUGCGGUGAAAUCAAAGGACUUAAUUUCUCGCGCGCUAUCAAGUCAUUUCCGAAGAAUGCUUCGAGACCCCGAGGACGGGGAGCCCCGACCAAGUCCCCUCCCUCGGGGCUUGUCAAGGCCCGACUCAAAGAAGAUGGAGAUUGAAGCCAGAACAUAUGGGGAACUUCCCAAGGCACACAACUAAGUCUGACAGGGCCGGCCUAUCCAGAGCCUACGCCUAAGCAUCGCAUCUAGCCGUCAUAUCUCCAUACUUUAUAAUUAAUGCCCAGGUACUAUAACCGGGUUCCCCUCAUAUAUAAAGUGAACCCAUACUACCUUGUAAUGAGUUGAUGUUGCUCCAACUAUUCUCCACAAGUGCAAUAAUAUCCCUCUCUCUUCUCUUUAACUUGGUCGCCCUCACUAGCUCGAGGCCACUUUGGCAUUCAAUUUUCUCCUACUUGUUCUUCAUUUAUUACUUGGUAUUGGCUAUAAAGAUCCUUGUUUUAUCAUAACCUAAUUGUUACCCAUUUCCCGAUUACCCCCAAUAGCUCGAGAUCGAGCUCAGGUAUCGACCUUGAGGUCCUCCGUCGACUAGUCUGAAGACAGGGCAGUAAGCCCCUCAGUUUGAUUACUGCCUCAUUUUAGCUUGCAUUUCAUCGUUAAAAUUCAUAUUCCUAGCAUCAUUUGCUCUAAUAACUAUCAUAAAAAUAGAUCACAUAUUUUAGAAUCCCAUUUACAAAUUUAAUUGUCAUUACAAUUUUCACGAUAAAUAGUUAUUCUGGACUAUUGCACAAAAACGGCGAUGUUGGCUAUGCUUGGAAUGCCAUGAAUUGAGUGGCGAGGUUCGACAGAUUAUGUUUUUAGCAGGGUGGUUUAAUGUUUUGACGACCCAACGGAUGGCUGGGAAGGAUUGUCUUUCUUAUUUGGGCUUUUGUGAUGGAUGUUAGUGUGCAGACUUCUACCAUUGAUUCAGUUCUAGUGAUGAAGGACUUUUCUAGAUGUGUUUCCUAUUGUCAGGCAUGUCGCCGAACAUGGGUAUUGAUUUUGGUAUUGAUUUGGUGUUGGGCACUGUAUCGUAGGGCACCGGCGGAGUUAUAGGAGUUGAAGGAGCAGCUUCAGGAAAUCCUUGAUAAGGGUUUCAUUGGUAGACCUAUAUGGAUUUGUAUUCUGCAUCGAGACGACCUUCUUGACUUAGAGUUGCUAUUUGUGAGGGAUGUGUUGUUCUGGUUGUUGUUGAGCUAUUAGUGUUCUAAGUUGAUUUAUGAGUUACUUGUUUGUAUUGCGAGGCAUUAUCGUUUGUUAGAUAUAGGCACAUAUGGUGCGGUUCUAUUGGGGUUUCACAGUGGAAGUUAAGCGGGAAGAGUAUUUGGGUAUUUCUCGGUGAAUGGCAUAUCGGUUAUGUCUCUUUCGGGUUGUGUAGUGUUCUGUUAUUUGCUCCACCGUGGUUAUGAUGAUUUGCCUUGGUUCUAGACAUCAUAUUGUGCACGAUUAUCGAUUUUGAGCAUAGUGGCUUGAGGUAUUUCAUGUGGACCAGUGUUUGGAUGAGGUCACGCAUUAAAGCGAAGCCAUGUGGAGGUAUGAUCCUGCAGGUUAGAUUCGUGUAUUCUAUUUCUAUGAUGUGUGAUGGGUUCUCAGCAUUGUGUGUGGUGGUAUGUUCGCAUUGUUGCUUAUUGGUGCGCAGAUUGCACAAGUCAUGGCUUUAGUCUGUAUUGAUAUGUCAUGUCACCAGAGUAGUUGUGUUGGAUUAGAUGAGAUCAUUGAGAUCUUGAAUGAAUACAAACGGAUUCGAUUUCAGGAUGUUGGAAGGAUAAUAUGGAGGUUCGCCUCAGAAAUUUGCUAUGGUCUUUUCCAAAGGAGAAGUGGCUUCAUGAAUGGUUGAUUUGAGAAAUGGUUAUGGCUUACGGUGUGUUUCAUUUAUCAUUGGUUGUAUAUGAAAGUGUUGGAAUGAGAAUUUAGUUGAUAAGAGGUUUUUUAUCGAUAUUCGGUUGUUGUGUGCAACUUCUGUGAUUAGAAGUUAUCGCUACAAGUGUUGGAGUUAUGUGGUAUAUAAUGUAAUUGCACCUACGACUGCAGGUAUGGGUUAUUACAGCUUGUUCGGGCUUAUUCAGAGUAUAAAUGCGAGAUUCUGAUUUGGUGGAUGAUUUCGGAAAUGGAAAUGUGGUUCUAAGGUUUAUGGGCUAGAUUGGAUUGUGAAAUUUUAGUUACAUUGUGUUAUCGGACCUAUAUGAGAUAGGGUGAUAUGGGAUCACCCCCGGGUAUGUGCAUGGUAAGGUUACACAGCAAUUUGAUGGCUUUCGCACCAACUCUGGGCAUGUUCGAGGACGAACAUAUGUUUAAGUGAGGGAGAAUGUAAUGGCCCGAUUGGUCGUUUUGAGAUUUUGCAGUUCGCUCGCCAAUUCUCGGGCAUGACUAGCCCCGUGUGAUGUAUUAUUACUUAUGAGAAUCGUUGGUUUUUGGUUUUUUAGGGUAAACGGAAUGAAUUUGGAAGAACAGUCCUUAGUUUGAAGUUUAAAAACUAAAAGGUUUGACAAAGAUUUGACUUGUUGCUAUAUAAUCUCGAAUCAGAAUUUUUAUGAUUUGGUUAGCUCUGUUAGGUGAUUUGGGACUUAGGAGUGUGAUCUGAAUGUGUUUUGGAGGUCCGUGUAGGGUUUAGGCUUGAAUUGGCGAUUGGGAUUCUAGCGUUUUCCGGUUGAUAGGUGAGAUUUUGACAUAGUAGUCGAAAUGGAAUUUUAGAAGUUGUAGUAUGUCCGUUGUGUCAUUUAGGAUGUGUGUGCAAAAUUUCAAGUCAUUCGGACGUGGUUUAGUAUACUUUUUGACCAAAAGCGUAAUUCAAAAUAUUGUUUUGAAACUUAGGCUUGAAUCAGAUGUGUUUGGGUUGAUUCGAUGUUGUUUGAGGUGUUUUGAAGAUUGGUAUAAGUUUAGAAGGUGGUAUAUGAUGUGUUUGUGCUUUUGGUUGAGGUCCUGGGGAUCUCUGGGUGAUUUUGGAUGGCUGACGGAAAGAAUGGAAAUUGAAAAUGGCGGCUGAAGUGUUGAGGCUGUUGUUAUAACCGCAUCUGCAGUUGGGAGGCCGCAGGUGUGACCCCCGCAGAUGCGGAAAGGAAUCGCAAAAGAGGAAAUAGGCUAGGAAGGCAGGAACUGCAAAAGCAAUUGAGUAACCGCACCUGCGAUGGUGCAGGUGCAGAAUGUGUAUCGCAGAUGCGGAAGCUGAGGAAUAAGUGAGGACCGCAAAAGCGACGUCUUGGGCCACAGAAGCAGGAUCGCAUAAGCGGGAAAAGGACAUCAGGUGCGAAAAUGCCUGGGUUAGAAAGUAUAAAAGGUUCCCUUCGCGAUUUUGAGUGGGUUUUCACCAUAUUUAAUUCGGGAGAAGGCUUUGGAGAGCUAAUUGAAGAUGAAACCAAAGGAUAAUUCGUGGAGGUAAGUUUUUUGACUUCAUAACUCGUUUAUAUGUGAUUAAAGGCCUAAUUAUUGGUGAAAUUUUGGGAAAAAUCAGUGCAAAAUGGGUAAUUAGGGCUUGAGAUUACGAGAUCUUUGAGCGGGGAUUUGAGGGGCCAUUUGAGGUCCGAUUUUGAAGUUCUUGAUAUGUAUAGACUCGUGGGAGGAUAAGGAUUCUAUUGAUGUAAAUUUUUGUAGGGUUCCGAGGCAUGGGCCUAGCGGCCGGGUUUUUGUAUAAAUUAGAUAUUUUCGGAUGGGCUUCGUUCCCCUAGCAUAUAUUGAUGGUAUGAAUCUGCUUUUGGCUAGAUUUAGACCAUUCGGAGGCCGAGUCGAGAGGCAAAGACAUCGCAGGCUAGAGUUUGGACCGGAUUGAGGUGAGUAAUGAUUGCACUUCGUUGUGCUAUAUUGAGGUGACACACGCUAGAUGACAAGUGUGGGGUCGUGCACUGUUGGGGAUAGUGACUUAGUCUAUCCUGAAUGACUAUUUUACCGUGUAUUUUGAUUGAAAAUUAUUUUUUAUCAUCAUGUUUUGGCGGAAUGCCAUAUUUGGGCCUCGUGCCAACUAUUUGGACAUAUAGGGGACUUUUAUUGAUAUUUCCUCACUGUUUUGACAUUAUACUUGUACUCAGUCAUGCUAUAUUCGACUGUUUUCAUAUUAACCAUGUUUACUCUAUUUUAACACAUUAAAUGAUAUUUUAAAUGAUACUUAGGCUAAGUAUCAUGUUUUACUGUUUUCCCGAGUGGCUUAUGAGAUUCUGACUAAGUAAGGUUGAUGGCCUGUGUUAUGAGGAUACUUUUAGGUCGGGCUGGACGCCAUAGCGGUGAUACACUGAUUUAUGAUUAUGAGGCCGAGGGCUUGAGAUUGUGCGCCACGAGGUGGCUUAUUGAUAUGAGGCCGAGAGCCUAUGUGAUUAUGCUAUGAGAUGGCUUGAUAUUGCGCUUAGGCCGUAAGGGGCACCUCUAGGAGUUUGCACACCCUAGUGAGCGUGGGUACCCAUUGUGAUAUGAUAUAUAGCCUGAGGGGCUAGUAUUGUUCCAUGUGUUUGCCCGAGGGACUGAUUCUGUUGAUAUUGUGCAUGAGGGGCGGUUCUUUAUGUGUUUAUCUUUUCUAGUUGCCUUUAAUUUACUUGCUUAACCGAUAAAAAUGCAUUUUAAAGAAGCUUAAAUUGAACUAAGGUGACGUUACAUGUUUUCAAAGUUCCAUUGUUUUUACUGGCUUUAUACUGCAUCUUUAUAGCCUGUUGAUGUUCCUUACGUGUUUGACAAGAGGGGUUGCUCUGAUGGUAAGCAACCCCCACUUCCAACCGAGAGGUUAUGAGUUCGAGUCUCCCCAAGAGCAAGGUGGGAAGAUCUUGGAGGGAAGGAUGUCGGGGGUCUAUUUGGAAACAGUCUCUCUACCCUAGGGUAGGGGUAAGGUCUGCGUACACACUACCCUCCCCAGACCCCACUAAGUGGGAUUAUACUGGGUUGUUGUUGUUGUUGUUGUUGAUGUUCCUUACGUGUCUUCUUAUUGCUCAGUCUUCAUUUAUUAUUAUUACUCACUGAGUCAGAGUACUCACAUUACUCCCUGUACCUUGUGUGCAUAUUCAGGUAUUUCUGAGUCCAGUAGCAGGUAUUGUUUGCUCAGAGGCAGAGUCAUCGUAGUCUAGCAAGGUAGCUGUCCGACAUUCGCAGCACUGCUUUUCUCCCUCUUUAUUUCAUUAGAUUGUAUUUAGACCUUAGUAGAUGCUCGUGACUUUUGACACCCCAAAGUCGGGCUGUGUUGGUUUUAUUUCCGCAAAUUAUACAGUUUCACUGCAUAGUUGAGAUUUAAUCAUGUUAAAGACUUAGAUUGUGUAAUUUAAAUUAUUAAAAAGGAAUUGGGUGUUGUGUCGGCUGGCCUUAUCUUCACGAGAGGCGCCAUCACGAUCGGGUGCGGGUGUGGGGUCGUGACAACCAUGAAACAAGGAAUCGAGAAUCAACUAAAGAGAAAGUCAUGAGUAAGUGUUUAGCAUAUAAAUAAAGUAAGAUAAGAAUAACAAGGCAUAGCAAGUAAAGAGGCAAGUCUUGAACAGUCAAGACGAGCACAAGCACAUAGAGCUAAUGUAAGUUAGGCUAAAGAACUCAGUAGAAACAUAUUUGAGGCAAGAUAAUCACAAUAACUCAAACGAGAACCAGCCAGUUAAAAAAUCAAACGAAGAAACCUAGAAAAUUAGGGCUUUCAACAUAGACAAGUUAAAGGUGUAGUAAAAUCAUAGAAUAAACCAAAAUAUGCAAGAAAUAGAAGUUUAAACACAAAGAAUCAGUAAAACAAGGUUUUAAAAGAAACUCUGAAACCCUAAUUUUUAGAAGAAGCUCAAAAACACUUGAAAUCAACAAUUCUUAUAUAGAGUUCAAAGGACAGUGUAAAACAUCAUUGAAACAAACUCAAAUGGUCCUAGAUCUGUACAGAUCUAGGAGAUAUAGGAAGAAAUUAGGAUUUCAAAAGAAACCCAUAUAGGGAAGAAAGAACCUGUCUAGAAUCCCAAAGAUCAUAACAGAUACAACAUGAUUUUGCUCGAAAUCACACUGGAGCAGCCAAGAACAGACAAGUGACGAACCCUAGAUGCAAGGUGGCAUGGCCCUAGGCCCUUGAAGACCUUAGAGAAGGCAGGCACGACAUGAGAGAAGCCAUUGGAGGCUUAGUAGACGAUGAGAGGUCACCGGAGAUGAGAGGUCGGUGGUUGAAGGGCUAGGGUAUGGUUGAUCGUUACUAAGAGAGGAGAGGAUCGUAGGGCGGCGGAUUCUAGGAAAUGAUUAGGGUUGGGGUGAUUUAUAAUUGGUUCUGGGUCGGGCAGGUGUGUUUUAGGGUUUGGGUCGGGUAAUUCAAUUAGAAAUUGGGCUGGGGUUAGGUUAAAAUUGAGGCUAAAACUGAAAUGCAACCUGACUAUGUUUUAAAUAGCCAAUUUAAUCCCAUAUAAUUUAUAAUGAAUAGUAAAUAAUUUCUACAAAAUAAUUUCAUGAACUAAAAUGAUUUAAAAUAUAUAUUUAAUAUUUAAAAAUAUAGAAGACCAAUUUUAUGCAUAUAAAUGUAAUUAUACAUUAAUAAGGCUAAUAUUGCAAUUAUAUGCAAAUUAACAUUAAAAUGCAAUUAUAAAAAUUCACUAAUAAUAUUUUAACAAUAUUUAAUUAUUAAUAUAGAAUUUAGAUGACUAAAUUAUCACAACAAUAAUUUAAGGGAUAAUUAUUGGCGAUUUUAUGAGUAAAAAUGGAGGAAAUAAAUCAAUUUAAAAUCUUUAAAAUUAUAGGAAAAUUAUAAAAACUCUGUGCAUGCUUAUAUAUGAAUAUAUAUGCUUUUUUGAAAUUAUUUAUGCAUAUUAAAAAUAUAUAGGGAAAACUGGGUAUCAACAGCUGCCCCUCUUUACUCGGGAAGGAAGAAAGAGUUUUCGGGUAAAGAAAUAAUGGCCAAUUUUGAUCGGACUGGAUUCUUUGAAAGAUAAGGGUUGGACUCCGGUCUUUGAACUGCCUACAUAUCUCUAGUUUUAUACGAAUCAGGCCAUGUGUAGUUCUGGAUUCAUCUGCAAAAUAUGCCGAUGAAAUUAUUGCAAGAACGGACAUGCGACGCCGAAGCGGCUAUGGUGAGCGGUUAAAGCUCGGGAUAGUUGAAGGAACUAGAGAAAGAUCGCUCCUACUAGGAUAGCGGUUGCUUGCUGGUUACCUGCAGAUAAAAGAUGCUACAAACAUGUAUUUGUGAAAAAUUUAAACAUGAUGCAAAUUUCCUUUGGACCAUGAAGGUUGUUUUCGGACGGUUAAAGAUGAUGUCCUCACACUAUGACAUCCUGGGCCAUGAAUUAUUUAGUGAGGAAUUCUCAUGCCAUGAACUGAUGUUCUCGGGCCAUGAAGAUGGUGCCUCCGAACCAUGACGCCUUUGAAUAAUGAUAUGCAGAUUUGAGAGAUCCUCAGGCCAUGACAUGGUGUCUUCCGGCUAUGAGGAUGAUGCCUUUAGACUAUGACGCCUUUGGAUAGAUUGGCGAUAUUUCCGCCCAUGAUAUGUAAUAGUCAUGAUGUUAUCAAAACAAUGCUUAGUCUUGUGAAUUGGAGGGCAAAGCUUAGCCCAAUUGUCAAGCGAAUAAAGAGUGCUUAGAAAUAAAGAAAUAUUUGUGCAAAGAGGGACAUUGCUUAGCCCCAUGCAAAUAGGGAGGCCAGGCUUAGCCUCAAUGCAAGUAUGGAGUCAAGGAGUAGACUCAUACAAAUGUGGAGGCAGGGAUUAGCCUCAUGCUAAUAGGGAGGCAGGGACUAGCCUCAUGCAAGUGUGAAGGCAAGGAUUAGCCUCAUUCAAAUGGGGAGGCAAGGAUUAGCCUCAUGCAAAUAUGGGGGACAUGAAUUAGUCCCAUGCAUAUGGGGAGGCAAGGAUUGGCCUCAUGCAAAUAUAGAGGCAGGGAUUAGCCUUAUGGAGUCAAGGAUUAGACUCAUGCAAUUGUAGAGGCAAGGAUUAGCCUCAUAUAGAUGGGGAGGCAAGGAUUAGCCUCAUGCAAAUAGGGAGGUAGGAAUUAGCCUCAUGCAAAUGGGGAGGCAAGGAUUAGCCUCAUGCAAAUAUGGGGGACAGGGAUUAGUCCCAUGCAAAGAGCGAGCAACAAAUAAGAGUAUUGUAUGUCUUAGCUAGAGAUGUAUCCGACGUCUGAUGUCCUGAUUGAUAGUGAAUGCUAUCGUUACGUCAAAUGUACAUGCGUUCAAAGAAAAAUUAUAAGUUUUGUGAGGGGAGGUUGGUUUGUGCUUCGUCCACCGGCCUUGCUUUGCUCCGUUCUGAAAGCCUUCCAAGUUCCCCUGGGUGACACCUGACUGUUAGGGAAAUAGAGUUUUCUAAAAUAUGCAACUAUUGAUAAAACAUAUAGUUGAUUUAGAAACGUAUUAAUAUAUCAAGUAAUUUUGAUGAACUAGUGACUGGGACACAUCUCAAAGGCAUUUCACAUCUCUCAUAUUGGAAUUUUGAGGGUCCUCCUAAAAUUCUGCCCCGGUUUCCUUAACUGAUUGUUGACCGUCUGACACCUGUUUAUGUUGGCUGGAAUUGCUUCGGAAUUUGAGGACUCUCCUUAAAAUUCUGCCCUAGUUUCUGAUCUUUGGGAAAAUGAAAAUUGUAUUAUGAUAUGCUCGAACCCAUAUGGCUGCCUUACGUAUCCCCUCUUAAACGGAAAUCAGGUCAAGCGUAGUUCAAUUACAUCAGAUGAGGAAAUGUACAUGAUCUAAGCAUAGUAUCUCUUAAAUGCAUCUGAAUUGAUUGGUUUUGGCCAUAUUUCUCCAUCCAUUUAUGCAAGUAUGAGUGCUCCUCCUGUUAGCACCCUAUGGACCAUGUAUGGACCCUUCCAGUUGGGAGAAAAUUUCCCUUUGGCUUCAUCUUGAUGCGGGGAGAUUUUCUUCAAUACCAGCUGCCCUGGUGCAAAUUGUCUUGGUUUGAACCUUUUGUUGAAAGCUCUAGACAUUCUGUUUUGAAAAAGUUGGUUGUGACAUACUACGUUUAUCCUUAUUAAAUUGAUAAUGGCCAACUAUUCAUAGUGACUCCUUAUCCAUUAUGCAUCGUUGAGUUCAACUUCAUAUAUGAUUCUUAAAGAAGGAAUCUCCACCUCGGCAGGGAUGACAGCCUUAGAACCCUAAACCAACAUGUAGGGAGUUGCCCCGGUUGAUGUGCGAACCGCGGUGUGGCACCCCAAUAGGACAAAGGGUAACUUCUCAUGCCAUUGUUUGUGGUUCUCUACCAUUUUCCUUAGUAUCUUCUUGAUAUUUUUGUUGGCGGCUUCUACGGCUUCAUUCAUUUGAGGUCUGUAGGCUAUGGAAUUCUUGUGCUUGAUUUUGAAAGCUUCACACAUAGCUUUAAUUAGAUCACUGUUCAGAUUGGUGGCAUUGUCAGUAAUAAUGAACUUGGGAACUCCGAAUUGGUAGACAAUACAAUCCUUGACAAAAUAUGCGACGACUUUCUUGGUUACAGCUUUGUAAGAUGUAGCUUCUACCAAUUUUGUGAAAUAAUCAAUGGCUACCAGAAUAAACUUGUGUCCAUUUGAAGCAGUGGGCUAAAUUGGACCAAUAACAUCAAUUCCCCAGGAGGCGAACGACCAAGGUGAACUUGUUGCAUUGAGCUCGUUCGGCGACUUUUUUAUCAUAUCGGCAUGCACUUGACAUUGAAAGCAUUUGCGGACAUACUAAAUGCAAUCCGUCUCCAUAUUCAUCCAAAAGUAACCUGCCAUGAGUAUCUUCUUAGCCAAGACGAAAUCAUUCAUGUGUUGACCACAGGUCCUAGCACGCACAUCCUCAAGUACCUUAGAAGUUUCCUUUGCGUCAACACAUCAUAGUAAACCCAAAUCAGGAGUUCUUCUGUACAUGUUCCCUCCGCUGUGAAAAAGUGAUUUGAAAAUCUCCGGAGCGUGCGUUUUUUAGUGUGAUUUGCAUGCUCCGGGUAUUCUCCUUUUGAUAAGUAUUCUUCGAUGUCAUGGAACCAAGGCUUUCCAUCUGCUUCUUCCUCGACAUGAGCACAAUAUGCCGACUGAUUAUGGAUUCUCACUGGAAUGGGAUCAAUGUAGUUCUUAUCCGGAUGUUGUAUCAUGGAUGACAAAGUGGCCAAUGCAUCGGCAAACUCAUUCUGAAUUCUGGGCACAUGUCAAAAUUCUAUCUUUGUAACCCUCUUUAUCAAUUCUUGCACAUGGUGCAGAUAUGGCAAUAUCUUGGAAUUCUUGGUGGCCCACUCUCCUUGUACCUAGUGCACAAGCAAAUCUGAAUCACUGAUCACCAACAACUCCUGAACGUUCAUGUCGACUGCCAUGUUGAGCCCUAGUAUGCAGGCUUCAUAUUCCGCCAUGUUGUUGGUGCAGGGAAAUCUGAGUUUAGCAUAUACUGGAUAAUGCUGACCCGUUUCUGAUACCAAAACUCCUCCAAUGCCCACUUCUUUAAAAUUUGCGGCUCCAUCAAAGAACAUCCUCCAACCAUCAUAUGUUUCGGUAAUGUCCUCUCAUGCGAAUCAUACUUCUUCAUCAGAAAAAUACAUUUUCAAUAGUUUGUAUUCUCCUCCCACCGAAUUUUCUACAAGGUGAUCUGCUAAUGCUUGUCCUUUGACUGCCUUUUGAGUUACGUAGACAAUAUCGAACUCACUUAAUAGUAUCUACCAUUUAGCCAACUUCCCAGUAGGCAUGGGUUUCUAAAAUAUGUACUUCAGAGGAUCCAUCCUGGAUAUGAGGUAUGUAGUGUAGGCACAGAAGUAAUGCCUCAAUUUAUGAGUUGUCCAAGUCAAAGCACAGCAAGUGCAUUCAAGCAGAGAGUAAUGUGCUUCGUAAGGUGUGAACUUCUUGCCCAAGUAGUAUAUGGCCUGCUCCUUCCUUCCUGUCUCGUCAUGUUGUCCCAAAACACAUUUGAAGGCUCCAUCUAAUACAGAUAGAUACAACAAGGAAAGGAAAUGCAUAUCACUAGCAGAAUGACAGUGACAUAUUUGCAGGAUCACAGUGUUUAUCAUGCCAAUCACCGGCUAGUUUCUACGCAUCAUUGGUUUAAACUUUUUAGUUCACACUUUGUGAUACCAAGGUUGAGCUCUAUGCCUAGCGUUGGUAAUAGGAUGGAUGUAAUUAUCAAAUUUUAUUGGUUUCAUAUUGUUAGACCUCCUGCCAAUGUAUUUUGUUUGAUUUUCUUAAUUUAAAUAAAAACUAACCCCUAGGCAUUACGCCUAGUGGAUUGCUAAAAAAAAUAUAGAUAGAUAGAGUACCAAAGGUCGUCCUGGUUCUGGUGGGACCAUAAUUGGCAGUGUGGACAGGUACUCCUUGAUCUUAUCAAAAGCUUUCUGACAAUCCUCUGUCCAGCUUGUUUCGACAUCCUUCCUUAGCAUCUUGAAAAUGGGUUCACAUAUGACUGUAGACUGUGAUAUGAAGCGACUGAUGUAUGUGAGACGUCCUAGGAAGCUAAUCACAUCCUUUUUUCUCUUAGGUGGUGGUAACUCAUGAAUAGUUUUGACUUUAGAUGGAUCCAUCUUGAUCCCUCGAUGACUGAUAAUGAAUCCGAAUAAUGUUAUGGUAGGAACCCCGAAUGCACAUUUUGCGGGAUUUAGUUUCAAGUUGUACCUCCUUAGCCUGUCAAAGAACUUCCUCAAGUCUGUUAUGUGAUCUACGGCCCUCUUGGAUUUGAUAAUGACAUCGUUCACAUACACCUCUAUUUCUUUGUGUAUCAUAUCAUGGAAGGUGGUUGUCAUGGCUCGCAUGUAAGUGGCCUCAGCAUUCUUUAUACCGAAUGGCAUCAUCUUUUAACAAUAUACACCCCAUGGUGUAAUAAAAGUUGUCUUCUCUACAUCUUCUUCAUCCAUCCAAAUCUGGUGAUAACCCGUGAAGCAAUCUACAAAGCAUUAGAGUUCAUUCUUGGCACAUUUAUCGAUCAGGAUGUGUAUAUUUGGCAGCGGGAAGUCGUCCUUGGGACUUGCUCUGUUUAGAUCCCGAUAGUCAACACAUACUCUAACCUUCCCAUCCUUCUUCGGAACUGACACAAUGUUAGCUAACCAGGUUGGAUAUUCAACCACCCUGAGAACUUUGGCUUUGAUCUGCUUGGUAACUUCCUCCAUGAUUUUCAGGCUCAUGUCUGGUUUGAACUUUCUGAGUUUCUGUUUUACUGGAGGGAACAUGGGAUUAGUAGGCAACUUGUGAGCCACUAUGGAAGUGCUCAAACCGUUCAUGUCAUCAUAUGACCAUGCGAAAAUGUCCUCAUAUUUUUUUAGGAAACGAAUGUACUCUUCCUUCUCUAGUGGUGACAAGUGAAUGCUGAUGUGGGUCUCCUUGACGGUCUCGGCAUCUCCCAAAUUUACUGCUUCGUUCUCAUCCAGAUUGGACUUAGGCUUAUUCAAAAAACUUUCAACCUCCAUGAUGAUUUACUCGGGUAUCUCAUCUUGUUCCUCCAAAUCACUAUUCUCAUGCUGUGUUGCCUCAUUACAUGUGACAGUUACUGGUUCAUCAAAAAAAAGUAAUAAUAAUGUUGUAGAAAAGAACUGUAAAGAUAGUACUGAAUAAUAAAGAGCAAAUGUAUUUGAUUAAAACUUGAAAAAUUGUCCAGACAAAGUAUGGCUAGAUGACUCGAAAAUUCAUUUUGAAAUAAUUAAAACGUAAAAAAAAUGGGAAAUCUUAAAUGCCUAGAAUGGCAUAUAGAAGUACAUUCGCCCAAGCUACCCAGGGACUCGGUGGUCUAGGGAUGGUAUGGCUGUCCAGUUACUGUGAAUAGCUCCCUUCUGCACGGUCUGAAUAGUGAGGCCUUAUUCCGCCUCCUCCUCAAUUAUGGCACUGCAGUACAUGUCUCCAUCUUCCAAGAACAAAUUCUUCAACCCAGCUUGUGCUUCCUCUUCUGCAGUCCCCCAUAUCGUAUUAGCUUGGUGAAAAUCUUGUUCCAAAAGUGGCACUGGCUGCUCAAGAGGGUAAUAAUGUCCACGCUAUGGAGGAGACCAAUUCUUGUACUCUUUCCAUGUGUACUGUUAUCCGAGCCCAAAGGUGGUACCAUGAUUCUUUAGCUGUAUCGGUUUAGUGAUACCUUGAAGGUUCUUCCCAAUCCUUUGUCGGGUUCAUAUCCAGACCAAACUAGUAUGCUUUCUAUUUUACCAUUCCACCAUUUAUCCUUUUCGACUGCAUUGACCAGUUCAAUGUAAUGAUAGGUCUCCCCUCUUAGCCUUCUUCUCUGUCCAAUAGCCGGGAUGGUUUUACUAGUUUAAAUGGGGUUACUUCCAUCUCCAUGAAUGAUCACCUCCUAACAAUUCCAUUCGAACUUCAAUCUUGAUGUAGCGUAGAGGGCACGACUCUUACAGCAUGGAUCCAUGGUCGGCCCAAUAGAAGAUUACAUGAUGCUAGUAUGUUGAGUACCUGAAAUUCGACGUCGAACCAAGUUGGCCCCAUCUGUAAGCAAAUGUUGAUUUCCCCGAUUGUGGCCCUGUGGGACCCAUCGAAAGCUUUCACGUUCAUGCUUCAUAUCCGUAUUUCAUGGAAACCUUUAUCCAUCCUUUUUCAGAGUGUCCAACGGACAAAUAUUGAGGCUUCAACCUCCGUCAAUCAAGACCCAGGCGAUGAAUUUAUCUUCAAAUUGUACUGUAAUAUGCAAUGCUCGGUUGAGAUUCAAUCUCUCGGGCGGUAACUCAUCUUUGUGGAAGAUAAUCUUAUGACUUUUAAAUACUUGCCCUACCAUAUUGGUUGUUUCUCCACCAAUGGUGUUAUUAGGUACAUAAGCUUCGCUCAGAACUUUUAUUAAAGCGUUCUUAUGCGCCUCUUAAUUAUGCAACAAUGAUAGGAUAAAUGUCUGAGCGGUGGUUUUGUUCGGAUGGUCAAUGACGGAAUACUCCUUUGCUUGUACUUUCCUUCACAGGUCAUCUGGCCCUGUCUCAAUGACGGGCUAUCUGGUAGUGGCAUCCUUUCUUGAUCCUCCCAACUGUUCAGGUGUAUAGACUCUUCUGGUUCUAGUCAUUCCUUCCCUUUCCGCCCGCCAUCGACGAUAUAAUCCCAGGGUAUUGCUUUUGAGUUGAAUGGGGGUGUGGUUGAUACUAUCACAGUGAAAGGUGUGACCACUUCUACUUCAAAUGGAGUGGGGGUGGCUGCGGGCGGAGCUACUUCCACCUUGAAUGGAACUGAUGCAAUUACCUCAACCUCGAUUGGUGCCUGAGUCUGAACCAUACUAGGAGAAAGUGUGACUGCAACCUUAAAGUCAUCUCCUUCUCGAAUAAGCUCGAUCAACCCCUUAGGGUCCCAUUCUUCAUUUGUCUCUAUCACAUGUACACCAUCAUCUAUGUGAUCAGGGAGGGGAUUUUGCGGACAUUAGGUGCUGCUUCCUUUGCUUAUAUGACCUUGUUGUCAAUUAGCGUCUGUUGAUACCCAAUUUUUCCCUGUAUAUUUUUAAUUAUGCAAAAUACUUUCAAAAUAGCAUAUGUAUGCAUAUAUAAGUAUGUCCAAUUGUUUUCUUAAUUUUUAAAAAAUUUUAAACCAAUUUAUUCCCCUAUUUUAUUCAUAAAAACCCAAUAAUAUUUCCAAAAUCAUCAUUUUUGGUAAUUCAUUUAUUGGAUUCUUCUAUUUAUGCCAAAUUAUAGCUAAAAUAAUUUUUGUACAUUUUUACAAAUUUAUUUAGUAUUUUUAAAGCUAAAUUGCAUAUAAUUGCAAUAUUAGCCUCUUAUAGAUUUAAUUGCGUUCAUAUAUAUAAAAAUUAAGUCCAAUAUUUUUAAUUUGAUAAUUAUACGUUACAAAUCAUUUUAGUACUUUUAAUGUAUUUUCAGAAUUUAAUUUUGCUAUUUUUAUAAAAUAAAUGGGGAAAAUUGGCUAUUUAAAAACUAGCACAAUUACCUUUUAAUUAUAGCCUAAUUUAAAUCCCAAUUGGAACCCAAUUUUACCCAGACCUAAUUCCCUUCAAAUCCGACCCUUUACCCGUUUAAACGACCCACCCGGACUCCUACCUAAUCCCAUCCGUUGAUCAUUUAGAUCAACGGCUCUCACUACUCCCUUCCUUUUUUAACCCAAACCACCCCUUCACCCUAAUUCAUUUCUCACAAUACGCCAUCUCUGAAACCCCUCCUCUCCCAAAUCCUCUCUACAACACCUUCAAACCCUAGUCGUUGUCACCCUAAUCUAUGGCUCUCCAGGAUUAUCUAAGACUUGUAUCAGUCUCCCAAGACUUAUACGUGUUUGUUUCUGUGGCCUCAUGACCAAAUUCUGAAGGGGCUUGGUCCAAUCUUCGCUCGAUGACUGUUCUCCGGUCGUCUAUGACCUUUCUCCGUCUAGCCAUGGCCAUUCGAGUCAGACCUUUGACUCUCCUGUUUAGAUCAAUGGCUUUCAAGGCCUUUCUCGUCUCUUGGGGUUCUUCUGAAACCCUAAUCUCUAAGAGCUUUUCGACUUCUUUCAGGUUCACUUUAGAUCAUGCUUGCUAUAUGUUUUAAAUGCCUUCUCAAAGCUUAUUUAAUUUUUCUUUAAAAAAAAAAAGAGGGACUCUUCAUCUUUUUCCGAUUAUGGUUUUCCUUCAAGUUGUUCUUUUCAAAAAAAAUUCUGAGUUUAGCAUGAGAAAAAUCCUAAUUUCUUUUGGGGUUUCUGAGACUAUUUUUUAGAGUUUGUUUGAUUUACUUGUUUAUCAUCUCUAGACUCGAUUGGUUUUGAAAACCCUAAUUUCUUUGGGUUCAUUCGAGUUUCUGAGACUAUUUGCUAAAUAUUGUCUGAUUUAUUUGUUCAUAUCUUUAAACUCGAUCGAUGUUGAAAACCCUAAUUUCUUUUGGGAUCUAUUCGAGUUUCUGAAACUACUUGUGCUAUUUAUCUGUUUAUCAUCUUUUAAUGAAUGUUAUUAAAGAAAACCUAUGUCUUUGGGUUUGAAAUUGCUCGUUGGAAUACCCGACUUGAUUUGAAGUUCAUUCGUUUCAACAUCUCUUUUCUUUAUGUGAUUCCUUGGAUUCUGGGUUCUUACUAUCUUUGAAACUUGACUAUGCUUUUCAGAAGGGUUUUCUUAUUUGUCCCUUUGCAUGCUUCCAAUACUUUUUUUUCUCUUUACUACUGAUUCGAUGAAACUCGACCUACGUGACUAUUAUGCUUCGAAUGUUUACUAUCUACUAACUUUGUGCUAUUAUUGGAUGCUGUUUCUUUUGCCAAUGGUUUGGACUCGCAUGUCGAUCGAUUGUGCACUCUAUUUAUAUACUGAGCCCUUUCUUUGAUUGAUUCUCAAUUUCGGGACUGAUUUCAAAACUUCUUUUUUUGUGAACUCUAAUUUUACCCGCCUGUUAAAGUGAUUGAUGCCUUUCUUUACUUAUUGCCUUGUUGAAUCUUUUCCCCAAAAUAAGUGUAUCUCUGUACUUGGACACUAUUGUGUACUCAAUGUUUUACUACUUCUUUUUAUGCUAAUAACCACUCUGCCUACAAACUGAUAUUCUUUCCUUCUUUUAAACCUGUUAGCCCUGUUAAAAAGUGAUUCCUCAAUUAAAGGGGAAUCACUUGGUUGAUUGAUUCUGAUUGCUGAUUACCUCCAUAUGUGCAUUAAACUUUAUUUUUUGCCUUAUUUCUGACAUGUUUUCAAAAACUAUAAAUACUCACCUUCUCCUCUUUCAAACACACGAACACAAGGCAUAAAACACUUGAGUUCAGAUAAACACUCCACUAAAAUCUCUCUCUCUUUUCUCUAUUGCUACUUGUAUUGUUGCCUUACCUAGCCGGCUGAAAGUCAAGGCUAGGCUGUGGGAAGCUUGCUUAUUUUUCUCUACAUUUGCAUUUUUUACUGGUAUGUUCUAAUUAAGCUUCUGCAUCAACAACAACAUGUUUCUUUACUGUCUCUUUCAUCUUUGUUUGUCUCCUGUUUGUAUUUAACCAAGUUCCAUUAAUAAACAUGUUGUAAUCUACCCCUUCCUGUUCUGAGUUAAUGAUUAUUUCCAUUACUUAUUAUGACUGGUGAAUCCUAAAUCCCCAUCCCCAAUGUGUUUAGUAUUUGUGGUUGAUUUGGGGCAUGACAACAUUGGACAUUGUUGUGCAUGACCCAAAACUGAUUCCCCUGGGAUCAUAACCUCCGUGUCCCUUCUAGAUGUUGUGUGUUCUAAUUGGUUUAUAGGCAUGUCAGCACCUUCUAUUGUUGUGUAUGCCAAAAGUUGAUCCAUGGAUAUGCACAUGGGCUCCUUGCAAUGAAUUUACAACCCUUGACCCCAUUUGUAUGAAGUUAUUAACUUUGUAUGUUACUAAUUACUAUUACCCUUUACCCCUCUUCCUUAUCCCCUCAGUUUUAAGACUUUGUUCCUGCACUUUCACUAUCUUCUUAGGCUUAUGUUCUUCCCCUCUUAUGUAAGAUUUGCUUUGGGACCCAUGAGCUCCGUCUGAACUUGGACACAUAAGGGCUGGCUCUUCCACACUGCACUCAUCUCUAUAUGAUUAUGUAACUUGGGUGUGAGCAUUGUCCGAGGUCCUCUUGAGACCCUUAGGGAACUUUAACACACUCAAGUCUGAGAAAGUCUUGGAAUCAAUGGCAUUUGAGGUGGUUUAUUCCAUAACUCAUAGAGGAAGUCAAGAAUCAGGCUUCCUCUGGUUGUAACUUUUCUUUUGUACUUUUCUGAUGUAAUUCAUUAUCCAGUCUGUAAUAAUUUGUAAUAACAUUGGGGUUGUUUAGUCAAAAAGGUUAGGUAGUUAUGCAUGCUUAAGGGUAAAAUCAUGCCUAUAGGAUCUGCUGUUUAAAUUCUACGUGUUUUGAGUUCUGCAUUUAGAAAUCAUGCCUAUAGGAUCUACUGUUUAAAUUCUAUAUUUUUUGAGUCUUGUAAUAAGAAAUCAUGCCUAUAGGAUCCAUUUGUUUAAAUUAUGUAUUUGUAAUUCUGCAUGUUAGAUACCAUGUCUAUAUGACAUGCUUUCAUUAAAUUUCUGCAUGUUCUGCAUCUAGAGAGUAUUCCUAUAGGACUUGCUUAAAUUCUGCAUGUUAUUAUCACAUUUAGAUACCAUGUUUAUAGGAUCUAAAGGGUUAAAAUCAGACAGCAUGUUCAUAAGGUUAAGAAUCAGAACCCCUUUUAGAAAUCAUGACUAUAGGAAUAAAAUGAGCAAUAGACAUCCUGCCUAUAGGAUCUGCAAUCAAUUUAAAAUCAGUUCGACUUUGAACAAGUUUUAAACAACAUUCAUUCUUUAUCUAACGAGGUUUAGAAAGCAUGUCUAUAGGAUCUCAAUCGUUCAUUUUAAAUUGUCACUAUUUUUUCCACUUUCUGAAUCAGUAAUAGUUAUCAUUUCACCCGAAGCUUAGGCGAGCUUUAGGUGAUAACAAUAAAAAAUGAAUUCGCUUUUGUUAAUUGCUACAACCAGCAAGCAGGCCUGAUUCGGACUUCUUAUCUGAGUUAUGUAAUAAACUGAUUUUCCUCAAUAAUUAAACUCCCCUCGUCUUUAAUAUUUUAAUCAGACCUUAAAAGUAUGUGCAAGUUAUGCUAUUUAUGUGUUUUGUUUGAGGAGGUAUACAUGAGCCUUUAUCUGUUUACAUGCUUCCCCCUAACAUUUAGUAUUAUAUGUUUUGUAUGUCGCCUUAGAUUUUUAUCUUUUGAAACCAAAAUAAGCCUAAUAUCCCUCCCUUUUAGGAAUAGUAGUCCUAAACUCCUCUGGGACUGAUAGGAAUGGGACGAGUAAUAGCAUGCAAUAGUGAUCGAGACCAAUUCACGCUUUAAUACCUUGACGGGGUGGGGAAGCGUAGAUAUGGAUAUAAAUGACCGGUGCGCUAAUACCAUGUGUAUCCCCUCUUUUGAGAAGUGUCAUACCGGGUAUCUCACUGAUGUAAUCCAUAUUAAAUAUAAACCUAGAACCCCCUUUCCCUUUAUUUGCAAACUUCUUUUCAAAAACCCUUCUUUUAAUUGUUCUUUCUCUUUUGUGUUUAAAUUUAAAUCCCCUAAUAUUUGAGCCCAUACUUGUCUAUUUGAUAAAUUGCACAAAUUCACAAUCAACAUUCUGGCCGGGAACCACACUAGUGGAUCAUGAGAGUGCCUAACACCUUUCCCUUGGUAUAAUUUCAAGCCCUUACCCUAUCUCUGGUCGUUCAAAUAACCUAGAAUUGAACCCUAUAAAUGUCCUAAUGCACCUUAAAUCAUUAGGUGGCGCCUCUUAAAAAAUGCAAAAACCAGUUCGCAAAAGUAACGAGUUGUCCCAUACCAAAUAUCAUAAACCCGAUUUUGCGAGAAAAAGGGGGCAUGACAGCAUGGCGACUCUACUGGGGACACUGUUCUUUUACCAAUUCAGAUUGUCUUGUGAAUUUGUACCUCUUUAUGCGCAAUUACUUGUUUAAUACCGUUAAACAUUUAAUUUCCUUUUCAACUGCAAAACUGACUUGUCUUCUUUGUUUCUUUCCUUCACUGCUGCUUUAAAUUAUGAAACUGCUGUAUUUACUGCUUCCUUAACAUGUAAAUACAUGCCAACAUGCUUUUAAUUAUUGCAUGAUCAUGCUAAACAUCAUACUCCACUCGUGCCAAACAAAUACCACAACAACGCUUAUAAUGAGUGGUUGCGCUCUUCCUAUAUUAUUACACCCUAAAUCCGAAAAAGGCAUAUUUACGGUAAAACCAGUCGAUCGGCGGUGCAAUCGACGGUUUCGUGCCUUUCCCUCUUAAGUUGUCUGCUCAAAGGUAUCAGUCGAAAACCCUAUAGAAACCUUACUCUGUUUAAACUAUGCAUGCAUCAUGGUCAAACCUAGCCGAGUCAAUUAUGUUGUCCACAUAAUGAUCCUUUAAGAUUGCCUUGUCCAAUGUCCACCAGGUUUCUCUAAAACCCAAAUGGACACCAUCACGUUCUGUGCAUUUAUUUGGAGAAGUAAAUGCUUCAUACUAAUUGUUGAUGUUUAAUAGUCGAGUUUGGUGGGGGUAGGGUUUUAACCCUUUUAUUUUGCAGAAAAUGAAGAAUGAGGUCCCCAAAUUCGGUAUGGUUAGCAUACCCUCACUCUUGCUAGACUAGUGCAGGAGUCUUCCAUCAAAUGACCAAAUCAAUGAGUGGAAAGAGAGGGCCGCCAAAUCUAGCGAAAAGUUUGAAUAUCUGGAAUAUAGUCUGCUAGAAUUGGAAGGAAAAGUGAGGAAAAGAUUCACUGACUGUCAGUACGCUGAGGGAAACGAAGGAGAACACCUGGCAAAGGCAUUUUUAUUAGUAAACCUACGAGAACUGGAGGAUUUGAUCAACGAGAGCAUUCAACCUGAGGAAGGUCCUUCUAGGACCAAGUAGAUAGGAGUUUAUCUUUUUCGCUUUAUAAAUGUAAUAAGGCCAAUGGCCAUUAGUGACUUUUUAUUUCCAGUUUAUUUAGUGUCAAUUUGGGAUUCGUCUUAUUUUCUAUCAAUAAAAUGAGGCAUUUAGCAUUCUAAUUUCUCCAAAACAAUUUGUCACUAGGCCUACAUCGGGCACAAAGAGGUCCCCAAAUUAGGACACAAUUUACAUUCCCGCACUAUGUGUUUCAAUAUUGCAAUACUUAUUUAUGAUCCUCACUAACUUGUUACCUUUUUUUUUUUACUUUUGUUUCAUUAUUCCCCUCCCCAAAGGUUAGUUCGUCCACUCUGGCAACAUAAUACUAUUCUACGAGAUCCAGGGACCCUCAACUCACUCCUCCUCUUAGUCUAGUCAAAAACAAGAACAAGGGCAAGAUGGAAGAUAUGAACAACGUCAGAAAGGAGAAUGCAACUGAACGGGUAGAGGCCACUAAUGGUCAUGGUACUGAGGCUCCUAAGAAAAAUGUAUCCCAAAUUGAACAAAAAUUGCUGAGAUUCAAGGAAGAACUCGAUCAGAUUCGGAAUCUGGCAAGCUUGUCAUUUUCCCUCAGCACCCUGGAUAUCACCUUUCCCAAUACUCAAAAACCUACAGCACCUCAAAAUAUCCCAAAGCGACAAAAUCAUCCCGCUCAUGACACUAUUCUACCGAAGACCCAAUGCAAUACCUUUCACACCCCAAAUAACACCCUGCUACUCAUCCCAGAACUCUAACACUCUACAAAUGACCAUUUUCAUACCCAUCAUAACACCCCCAUCUAGGUGGAGACCAUGCCAUACUCCGCCCAACUUAUCUCAAGCACACUCGAGUCUGAUGAUAAAGACUUGCUCAUCAGGAACCUAGCUGAGGAACUUAAGAAAUUGACUAGCCGGAUUCAAGGCGUUGAAGGAAGCAAGGGAAUUGAAGGGCUGAACUAUGAAGAUCUUUGCAUACAACCCGAUGUUGAACUGCCCGAGGGGUACAAACCUCUGAAGUUCGAAAUGUUUGAUGGUACAGGUGAUCCAAGGGUCCAUUUGAGAACAUAUUAUGACAAGCUAGUUGGAGUAGGGAAAGAUGAGAGAAUCCGCAUGAAGCUGUUCGUGAGGAGUCUGAAAGGAGAUGCGAUGUCAUUGUACAUCAGCCAAGAUCCGAAUAAGUGGUCAAGCUUGGUACGCAUGGCGUCCGAAUUUAUGCACAGGUUCAGGUUUAACACAGAGAAUGCACCGGAUGUGUUCUAUAUUCAAAAUCUAAAGAAGAAGCCUGCAGAAACAUUUCGCGAGUAGGCUACUCACUGGAGGUCCAAAGCUCUUAAGGUUCAAGCCUGACUUAGAGGAGGAACAUAUUAACAAAUUCUUUGUCCGAGCUCAGGACCCACAAUAUUAUGAACAACUAAUGAUGAUCGACAACCAUAAAUUUUCUGACAUUAUCAAACUUGGUGAAAGGAUUAAAGAAGGUAUCAAAAGUGGUAUGGUUACAAACUUUGAGGCCUUGCAAGCUACAAAUAAGGCCUUGCAGUCAGGUGGUGUUUCCAAGAAAAGGGACGUAUGAGCCGUAAUGGUUGCACAGAGAACUAAAUCUCCUAUAAAAUACAAAAUUUACCCAACACCUUCACUUACAUAUCAACCAACUUCGAACUACCAAGCACCGUCACCCUCUUACCAAGCUUUACUGCCACCUUAUCAAUCACCUCUACCUCCCACAUAUCAUCCUACUUUUCCCAGAUAUUCCCAACCCACACAUGACUAUCAAACCUACAAUACUCAACCAUUCCACUAUCAAUCACCUCCUACACACCNNNNNNNNNNNNNNNNNNNNNNNNNNNNNNNNNNNNNNNNNNNNNNNNNNNNNNNNNNNNNNNNNNNNNNNNNNNNNNNNNNNGGGUAAACCAAAACAAAUCACGUGCAUACCACUCCGGCAUGAAGGGACACACCAUCGAUGAAUGUCGUUCUUUGAAAGACAAGAUCCAGUCCUUGAUCGAUAACAAGAUUAUUGUGGCAAAAGAACUCGCUCCGAAUGUUCUCAAUAACCCUCUGCUAGACCAUAAGGGUGGAGGGGUUCACAUGAUUGAAAUAGAGAAUGAUUGGGAUCCCGAGGGAUCAAUAGGGUUGAUCGCAGAAGGUGAUGACCCAAAGAAGCCAAUAGUUACUCUUAAUCCAAUCAUAGUCUAGAUUAAGCCAUCCGGGGACGCUGAGGUAAAUAUGCCUGUGCCACUUGAGUUUGAAACAAUGCCAUCUGCAAAGACACCGACGCGAAUUGAGGUCUAAUUCGUGUCUUCGGCAAAUGUACCCACACCAUUUGAAGUUGCAGUUUUACCACCCAAAGCACAGGCUCCAUUCGGAGUAAUGAUAUCCACGCCGAUCCCAGUGGCGAUGUCGACCAUGACACCAUACCAUACAAAGGCUAUACCAUGGGAUUAGACAGCCGAGGCAAGGAGGAAAGGCAAGGUCAGCUUCGAAGAUAUUGUUGCCGCACAAGGUAUGACGAUGAGUAGUAGGGUUUAUACCAUGGAACACCUAGCCGAGUCAAUCAAGCAAGCCUCCAACCGACCACCUAUUAUUAAGACAGGUCCAGAUGAUCUUUGGAGAAAGAUACAGGCCAAGGAAUACUGGGUCAUCGACUAGUUGAACAAAACGCAGGCCCAAAACUCCAUUCUUGCUUUGCUACAAAAUUCUGAGGCACACAAGAGUGCUCUGCUAAGGGUACUGAGCGAGGAAUACGUACCAAGCAACAUCACUAGUGGGGAAAUAGCUAACAUGGUAGGAAAAUUUCUAGAAAGUCAUAAUAUCACAUUGCAUGAGGACGAGCUACCACCUGAAGGGUUGGGACACAACAAAGCACUACACAUCUCUGUUCAAUGCGAGGACUACUUCAUUACCAGGAUCCUGGUCGACGGGGGUUCCAGUAUCAACAUUUAGCUCCGUUGGAUGAUUUCAGGCUUAGAGGUGUGUUCGGAUUGUGUUUUGGACGUCCGUAGCUAAUUUAGUCUUGAAAUCCCGAAAGGUCAAAUUUUGAAGUUUUUGGUUCGAUAGUGAGAUUUUGAUUCGAAGGUCGGAAUGGAAUUUUGGAAGUUGGAGUAGCUCCAUAGUGUUAAGUGUGACGUGUGUGCAAAAUUUUCAGGUCAUUCGGACGAGGUUUGAUAGACAUUUUGAUAGAAAGCGUAUUUUUAGGGUUUUGAAGUUCAUAGUCUUGAAUCCACAGUUGAUUCAUCGUUUUGAUGUUGUUUUAGGUGUUUUAAGGAUUGGUAUAAGUUUGGACAGUGGUAUUAGACUUGUUGAUUCCUUUAGUUGAGGUCCCAAAGCCUCAAGAUGGUUUCAGAUGGUUGUUAGAAGAAUUUGGAAUUUGUUUGAGCAGCUUCAGCUGCUGAACUUCUGUCAUAAUCGCACCCGUGGAUUGGGGACCGUAGGUGCGUGAUCACAGAAGCGCUUGAGGAGAUGAAGAUGCGGCGAAGUGCUUGGAAGCCAGUUUCUGCAGGUGCGGUAGUAUGGGCGCACCUGCGAGACCACAUGUGCGGUUGAAGAAGCGCAGAUGCGGCCUGGUGCCUUAAGUGAAUUAUCGCAGAUGCGACGUUAUUUUCGGACUGCAAAAGCGGAUUAGCUGGGCAGAAACAUAUAAAUUCUUGCCUUCACAUAUUUGAACUAUUUUUCAUCUCUUUUCAAACGGGAAUAAGGCUUGGGGAACAUUUUCAAGAGAGAUUUUCAAAGGAGAUCAAUGGGGUAAGGUCUUUGGUCUCUAAACUCGUUAUUGGAGUGAUUUUUUUUUCACUAUAAGCACGAAAAAUUAAGGAAAAUCAGUGGCAAUUUGGGGGUUAGGGCUUGACUAAUUAGAGACAUUUUAGUGAUGAUUUGAGGGACCAUUUCAGGUCCAAUUUUUGUACUUUUGGUAUGAUUGAACUCGUGAGAGUGUGAGGUUUCUGGAAAUGUGAAUUUCACCCAAUUUCGAGAUGUGGGCCCAAGUGGCAUUUUGGUCAUUUUACCUAAUUUUACGUUUUAGAUUAUAAUUUCUUUGUAGAAUUAGUUACUUAAAUUGGUAUUUACAUUGUGAAAUUGAAUUGAAUAGAUUUGGGCCAUUUGGAAUCGAGUACAACUUGCAAGAGCGUGGUUUCCGAUUGAUUUGAGCUAGUUCAAGGUAAGUGGCUUAACCUUGUGUGGGGGACCUUCCCUUUAGGAUUUGUUAUAUUUGAUAAGUAAAAUGCCUUGUACGUGAGGUGACGAGUGCAUACUUAAGCUAAUUGUUGAAAAUUCAGUUUUUUUAAGUAAUUUCAAUUGUGUUCCUUUUUACUAUUUUACACUACUUGCAAUUUAAGCCUGUUAUUAGCUUAGAAAAAGCAUGUUUAAUUGACUUAAUUGCUUUUUUUUCUUAAACUGCCUUAAUUUCAUUAUGGGAAGCAUGUUAGGUUAGAAUUACCCGUUUUACUUGGUACGAAAUUGAGUAUUCCUUGUGUUGUUGCUGCGUGUUUUACUUUGGGAUUACGUGAUGACAUCCUAGGAGAUCCCCUGCACUUAUAUAUUAUUUGAGUGAAGGUGCAGGUUACCGAGAGAUCCCUAGCACGUAUAUUGAGGAUACCAAUAGAUCCUCGGGAUACCAAGAGAUCUGCAACAUAUAUUGAGUAUAACAAGAGAUCCUCUGGAUACCAAGAGAUCCCUCGCAUAUACUGAGGAUACCAAGAGAUCCUCGGGAUACCAAGAGAUACCUGGCAUAUAGUAAGGGUACUAAGAGAUCCUCAGGAUACUAAGAGAUCCCCGAUUAUUAUCCUUGUGAGAAUGGUAUCUCCAUGUGAUUGUUUUUGCCUCUAUUUUAGUUAUUGAGUUCCUUAUAUUCCUGUAUUUAAUUCUUAUCGUUAGCUUUCAACUGUACUGUUUACCUUAUUCUGCCAUACCUUAUAUAUUUUAUUUAACUCAAUAGGGCCCUGACCUUCCUUGUCACUACCCAAUCGAGGUUAGGCUUGGCACUUACUGAGUACCACUGUGGUGUACCGAUGGGGGUGAAGAUGAUCGGGGCAAGGAGUAGUCUCCGAGACCUUUUUUGUAUGCCUUCUUUUUUGUUCCAUGUGUUCUCCCUCUUGGGAGAAGAAUAAUGUAAAGGUGUUUUUCCUUUUUGUCAAUGUACGAAAGGAGCUUUUAUUCUGCUAGUCCUUCUUGCUGCUUUCCCUUUCUCCUUUUUUUGCUUCCGAGCAUCGAGCAUCGGCCCUUUAGAGCCUUUUCGUAGGACGGACCAGGGUCCACGAGACUAGCCAUGUCCCGAGGUUGAGUUGGUAGCUCCUCCGAACCGAUAUUUGCGACGUAGGGGAUCUCCCGAGGUCCCUUGAUUUUAUGAGUUGUGUGGGAGCCUGAGAUGAUUCUUCUAGUGCACUCACCAAGGAAAAAGGUGACAUUAACGCGGCCAGAAUUAAUUGGCCUUCUUGGGAAAUUGAGCAGUUGUUGCAUGGCCCCUAUAUAUUUGUAUAUCCGCCCUUCAAGCGGCGAUUUUGCAAUCUUUGAUAAGCCUAUCUCAUCUGCAGAGCCAGGCGCUUUGUGCGAGUCCUUCCACUUCUUUGCUCCUGGAAGUUUUUGCCUGUAUCUUCCUCUUCUUCUUCUUCUUCUUCUUCUUAUUCUGCCGUAGUCAUGGCCGCUGCUUCGACACCUGAUCCUCGGACAAAGGGGAGUCCUUUUCGUGCCCCACCUUUGGUCGGCUCCAAUAGCUUGCCCCCGAUGCUCGGGGGAACGAGGCCCGAGGUGUGCUACUCCGAAAAGGGUCGCCUCAUCGGUGAAGCCUCCCAAUGUUCUGGGCCAUCGGGAGCAUGUGUUGAGGAUUAUUUCAUCGGUGAGGGAGGAGAACCUCGGGGUGAUCAAGAAAGAGUGCGAAUGGGGGGAAGGCAUGAUUAUACAAAUACCUUCCACCGAGGAGAGGGUCAUGACGUAUGUUGAGGGUUUCUUGAGCGUAUAUACCCAUUUUCUCAAGCCGGGAUCCCCGGACCUAGUUGUGCUUGAUUUAUGUAGAAGGUACCAAGUAACAUUGGCCCAGGUUCAUCCCUUUCUCUGGAGGAUAGUGCAGUCGAUAAGAUAUUUUGCUGAUAAGGUUGGGAUAGAGUUUACGCUCAGUCACCACAUAAGGUUGUACCAGUCAUCACAAUACCUGGGCCUAUUUUCUCUUCAGCGUAGGUCCACUCGAGCUUUUAAAAUCGGCAUCGAGGAGGAUGAGGAUCGUAGAUGGAUGAGUUAGUUUGUUCGAGUUUGGAUGACUGACAUUAUCCUAGCGAAUUGUUAUCGUUACCUGAGAAAUGGAACUCCACACGUAAGCACUCUAUUCGAACUGUCUUUCUCUUCAUAUGAGGCUGGCCCCAUAAUGAUGUCUUCCUGUCCUUUGUUUAUAGCAACUCACUGGUUUCCCGGUGAGGUACCUGAUUUAGCUGAAUGGUCUCAUAGGCUGGCAGCUUGCUGAGCUCAUAAUAGGCGCCAGUGGCGAGAUAUUUCAAAAGGGAGAUGGGAGGCAAAGCACUUAGGUAGGUGUCUAGAGUUCCCCCCCCCCCUUUUUAAGUACAACUUCCUUUUUACUGAUUCGCCCGAUUCUUCUGUCGCAGGUUUCCGGAGUUCAUUCGAGGCAAGACUGGGUUCACCGAGGGAGGAGGAGAGAUUGUUGGCCCAGGGAUCAUAGAGAGCUGGCAAAAGGAGAGGUGCUCCGUGGUGCGAGAAGGAUUGUGGUGGGGUGCCUUCUCCGUAACGGUUGAGGGGAAGUGAUUGGGUCAGUCGGCAAGCUUUCCAAAUUGAUGCACCAUCGUACGUUGCUUCGCCCCUCAGGGAGGCUCAUCGUCUUGGCCUUAUGGUGAGUUUUCGGUCGCAGUUGGGAUGUUCUAGCCCCGUGGUCCUUUUUCAUCCAUUUACACACCUGACCUUUCUUCUUCAAGCUUUUGAUAGGCUCAAAGCAUAAUUGCUUCGUUGUGAGGCCCCAUUGCGGGAGGCUCGAGAAAGGGAAAAAUCCCUCAAACUUCUCUGUGCAGCAAAGGAAAGUGAGCUAAUUUCUUUAUGACGUGGGGUGGACCGAAGUUGUGCCCGGGAGGCCCUCAUGCAAAAACAGGUAUUCUGUAUUUUAUGCUGACUUGUAUUCCCUUUUUUGUCUUGCCGUCUUUGACAUGUUGCUAUUUCAGUUAAAGGACAAGGCGGAUGAGCUGGAACAACUCUGGGGCGAGGUGGGCAAAGCCAAACGUGAAUUUGCUGAGAUGCAAGUGCGUGUUAGUGCCUAUUCUAAGGCCAAAGAGAGGGCUCAGGCCGUGACAUCCGUUCUUAGGGCACAAGUUCAGGCGGCCUGUGCGAAUGAGUCUACUCGAGCGAAGAUGAUCGCGAGACUCUUUUUCGAGCUAUCAACAGGAAAAAACGGGGGUGGUGAAUCCCCGGGCCGAGGUUGUAGUGAAUAAUACCAGGGCAAGGCAAAAAACGGCGGCUCAUUCAAGGAGUUCCACUGCCGCUAAGUCCGAGCUGAAGAAGACCGUUGAUCAUGCAAACAAUAGCAGGGAGUACGAGAGGUGCAAAUCCCGGAGAGAGACCCUUGAGAAGAUUCGUUCCAGAGGAUUUGGUCUUUCGGAGGAGAUCGAACAAGCAGAAUGAGAGGAGUUCGAUGCCAAGUUCUUGAUGUCCUAUAAUGAGGAUGAUGAGGAGGAGACCGCCAGACCGUAACUGCCGAAAAAAAAGGGGGAAUAAAUAUUCUCUGCCUUCUUUGUUGUGUAUAUAUAGCUUUCAUUAUACGACGCAAGCCGAGGUUGCGCUUCGUCAUCAAUAAGUAGUAAUAAGAGGGGAAACCCCGCAAUUUGUAUCUUCUGUAUUUCUGCUUGUUGGAGUUUCCUUUGGGUCGAUUCGAUGCCGGGUUUACCCUUAGACUUGCAUGUUUUAACUGUCUUCGGGUUUAGUCUCUGAGUUGGGAUACGACUUGAGCUUAAUAUACCCUCGAGUUUUGCAUUUGUUGGGGCUGGCGAUGAUAGUUUUUAUUUCCUGCCCUUGGGUGUUUCGUUGUUUCAACAACUUCGGGUCCAGUCUCCGAGUCGUGUUGCGACUCAAACUUUAAUUGCGACAAUGGAACUUAUGCUGCUUGGUCGUUGAGACCCUUCAGUAUGUUGCCCGGAGGCUUGCAUAGUUAAAUAUUUUCGAUCCGGUCUCUGAAUCGGGAUACGAUUCGAGCUCAUUUUAAUCCUCAAGUUGUCAAGAUUUUUUUAGAUGCCAGCAAUGGCUCUUAUGCUGUUUGGUCGUGGAAACCUUUCAAUAUGAGGCCCGUAGGCUUGCUUAGUUAACUAUUUUGGAUCCGUUCUCCGAAUCAGGUUACGAUUCGAGCUCAUUUUAAUCCUCAAGUUGUUAAGAAUUUUUAGCUGGCGACAAUGGCUCUUACGUUGUUUUUGCCUGUGGGCUUUUUUGUAGGAUCUGUUUCCACUCUUUAAGGUCUUUUUAUAGUAUUUUUUCCUGACCCGUCAUUGGUUCGAGAGGAACCUCGAUUUCAAGUUGUUGUCGGCGAUGUUUCGAUCACAUCGUAAGGUUCAUAGCUCGUAGGUCGAGUAGAUCGAUGCUCUUGCGAUUCGGAGCCGACAUGGUCGGAGCUCGUUUUUGCCUAUUGAGGGAAGCCUAUUUGAACUGAUUCUUUUCGAAGUAUAUUCGGAGUAGUGGCCUGCGAUUUUUAGCGACAGUCGAGCGUCCCCGAGUCACGUUAUUUUGGUUGUAUCAGCCAUUUUGAUCAUAGUCAUAUGUGUUUGGUCGUAGCCAUUUUUGAUCCCAAGUGAUAGUUUAGGUGUUUACAUCGAGGGUAUGCCCUUUAGGGAUUCUUACAAAUGCGGUGUAUAGCCUAAACUUCGGGAUUUUCAUUCCUGUUGAGGUAUUAUUGUUUGUCAUACCUAUUGAGGUCUUACAGUUUGUCAUGCUUAUUGAGGUCUUACAGUUUGUCAGGCCUAUUGAGGUCUUACAGUUUGUCAUGCCUAUUGAGGUCUUACAAUUUGUGUAAUGUAGAAUAGAUCUGGUUACGCCGAGGCUGCCCGCUAGGGGUCUUAUAGUUUCGGGUUUUCCAAUCGUAUGGCGAUUAACGAUAGUCUCCGAGUCAUUGAGUUUGUUUAAGCUUGAAGACUUCUUCUCGUGGGCUCGGUGUUGCCUUGCAUUGGAUUGAUGAACCCGGAGUUCCGACCCUAGGGUCGCGCGGGUGUCGAAUUGUCGUUGCUAAGUCUCUGAGUACCUCGGGAUGCAUUCGAUGGAGAAGCAUUUGCUGCGAGUAUGUUGAAAAUACAUAUUGCCCCGUUGUUGUGAGCUCUGCCCGCAUAGGCGCGAAUCCUCUGAUCAUCUGACCUGUUUACAUGAUUAUGUUUUGAAACAUAGCCUGCCAUUUAUUGGCCCUUACGAGGGGAUGAUGUCCUUAAGAGGAGGUCAUCACACGCCGUCUGAUUAUAAAAGAAAGGAUUGCGAUAUCGUCGGAUCCUUUUUUGGGGGUAUGCUACUCUGCUAAUAAUCUUGCUGGCAGGACCUUCUUUAGGUUGGAAACUCGGUCGAGGAAAGAGAGCUCGGCGGGUCCCACAGAGACCUCAGAUCUCCGAGUGGAGUUCAGAACUUCUGAAUGCCUCGGCUAACUUUCUGCAUAUAGGUUAGUUCUUCCUUGCUGCAGGAUGCGUAGGUGACGUUUCGAGGCGUUAGCCCUGAUACAGCCUUCUGCUAUGUUCAACUAGGCUUGGCCGAAGAUGUGGUUCUACUUACCCUUUGAUCCCUUCGAGGGCGGAGGCAUUGAUUCCGGCGAUGGGUCAUAUGGCGAGGGAUUUUCUCUUGUUGCUUGAAGCAACUUGUCGAAUACUUUAGUCCUAACAAAUGUGGGGUUUCAUCCCUUUGGCUUAGUGGGGUCGAAGUCUCCUCCGGACGGUGUGCCCGUUGUCAUCUGAAUAAAAUGUUCGUGCUUUGCGGGCUCGGUGUUCCAGCCCCGAGCUCAUCUCAGCCCGAGCUCAGGUGGGCCCGACCUUCCUGAUUGUUGUGGCGAUCAGAGUCUAGAAUCCAUCAAAGAUUCAAAGUGUGGGAGUGAUUUGGUUCGUUAGUCUGAACCGCCCUAUUGGCUUUGGCCUGACAACGUCGGUAUAGUUGAUCGAACCACCUGUACUCAUAAACAUAUGCUUUAUUUGAAAUAGGUUAAAUGAGGGAGGGGGUUACCAACGCGUUAAUACGAGGCCGAGGCGAAGACUCGGUGUCCCUUUCCUUGGAUACAAGGGUGUCCUUUAGGAAUAUUCCCUGGAGUCAUUGGGCAUACUUCUUUUAGGCUUCGGGUGAAGGCCUGUGUUGCCCGAUCAUCCGAAACCGAGAGCAAACUCAUUCAUCUUAUCACGGAACGGGGUGCGGCUUCCCGCAAUAUUUUAUUUAUCCUUCGUUCGGCCUCAGGUGUAUCGGUCCCUCUCGGUACUGCUUUGAUGGCAUCGGUGCGUGCUUCCAUGGUUGACCACGCUAUUAUGGUAAGCGAGUCUGUAAGUCAGGUGCCACGUGGUGGCAUUGUGUCAUGGUUUCUUUCGAGAGAGUUUCUUCGAACUUCCUCAACGAAUUGUUCUCGAACUCACCAUCUUAGAGGUCGCUACCUCUGAAUGAGCAUGCGUAAGUGGUGGUGCGCCCGUAGGGAUCCGAGGUCCUGUCGUACCUAGGGAGUUUCGGCGUUCCGGAUUUCUGUGAAGCGAGUUUCGAGAUCAUUUCCUCGGGAGAUGGUUGCUGUAAGAGCUUCCACGAACCUGAUUCGAUCCUUUCAAAGAGAUUCCCAAGCAUUCUCACUGCGGCAGGGUCGGUUACUGAUCUGUUGUUACUUGAUUUCUCGGGCCCUACUGCGUUAGGACUUUCCGGGCGACUUUGCAAUCGAUUGAUAACCAAUUGUCGUGCCUGCAACAUUUCAAAAUUAAAAUGAAGACUAACUUCAUGUUCUACCCGGGCCGGGGUUUUUUUAGCUUCCUGUUGGUCAACACGUUGUAUGCUAUCAUUGGUGCGCGAGGCUUCGUUGACCUAUUGCGCGCCUUGCAAGCCCGCGUCCGCUUGAAUCAAUCCAAAUGCUUUGUCGGGGUCCUGCGGUGUCGCGCCAACCUAUGGAGCAGCCAUACUAUUUUCGCUGUGAUUUUCGAGGUAGUCAUUCUCGAUUUUGCUUACCGAGCCGGACAUUAACCUGAAAUCAAAAGAUCUUGGGCAAAAAAAAAGUGUGAAAGAUAAUGUGCGUUUGUGUGACGAAACCAGCAAGAAAAUAAUCACUAUUAUUUUUAGCCCCACGGUAAGUGCCAAACUGUUUACUAUGAAAAUGGUAACAACAAUUAAAUUAGUAAAUGGGACUCUAAAAAUACGUGAUCUAUUCCUGAGCUAGUUAUUCGAGCAGUCCAUGCUAAGAUCAUGAAGUAUAAUGAUGAAAUGCAAGCUAAAACGAGACAGUAAUCAAAUCGAAGGGGCCUAUUGCCCGAAUGCCAAGCCGGUCGACAGGGACCUCGGGGCCAAGGUUCGAGCCAAGAUCGAGCUAUCGAGGGCACUCGAGGAUGGGAUAGCAGGCAGAGAUAUGAUCGAGCAAGGCGCUAUGUUACCAAUAUUGAGCAAAGUAGUGAAGAACAAAUAAGAGAAUGAUAAAUGCUAAAACGGCAUCGGGCCAGUGAGAAGGAACAACUUAGAUGAAAAGGGAGAGAGAGAGAGAGAUAGAGAUAUUAUUGCAUUUGUGGAGAAAUGGAGCAACAUUAGCCCUUUACAAAAUGGUAUGGGUUCCCCUUAUAUAGGCGAGGGAAGACAGUAUGGUACAGAGUGCAUUAAAUGUAAUGAUACGGGGAUGGGACGGCUAGACAAGACACCAGAGCCUAUUUAUUCUAGCUGCUUUCCUCGGGAGUCCCCCGUCUUCAUAACCUUUGCUGGGCCAUAGACAGAUCCUUUAACCUCGGAGCCACUGCAGGGCCGCGAAUGACCCUCGAGAUAGGGAGCCAGAUCAUGAUCCCACAACCUCGAGAUGCUGUCAUGACAUUCCGAAUAUAUCUUAAUGGCGGGAAAUGGAUUCCCUGAUUUCACCGCAUACAAAAGUUUCAUUCUAGCACUUUUAUAUAAUUCCAAUGAUGAAAGAAACACAUAGAAUCAUAAUCAUUUCUUAGAUCAACCAUUCAUGAAGCUCCCUCUCCUUUGGCAAGAACCAUAGUAAAUUUCAAAGCCAAAUCCUGACAUUAUCCUUCCAACAUGCAGAAAUCGAAUCUGAUAGUAUUCAUCCUAAAUCUCAAUGACCUCAUCUCAUCUAACACGACUACUCUGGUGACAUGACAUAUUGAUCCAAUCUAGAUCCAUAACCCGUGCGACCCGCGCACCAAUAAGCAACAGUCCAAAUGUACUCAAAUCAUGAAAAAGUGACUCCACGGAGAAAGCUGUACCACAAGCACAUCAGUACCACCACAACACAAUACUGAGAACCCAUCACACAUUGUAGAACCAAAACACACGAAUCUAACCUAAAGGAUCAUACCUCUACAUAACCUCGCUACAAUGCGCGGCCUUAUCCGAACACCGGUCCACAUGAAACACCUCGAGUCACUAUGCUCAAAAUCAACAACCACGCACAAUUUACUAUCUAUAACCAAAAGCAAAUCAUCAUAACUAUGGCGAAGCAAAUGACAUAACACCACACAAACUCCAAAUGACACAACUAAUACGCCAUCCACCGAACAAUACUCAAUUCUCUUCCCGCUCGUAUUCCAGUAUACGACCCCAAUAGAACCACACCAUAUGUGCCUAUAACCAAAAACUCAUAACGCCCGCAACACGGAAAGGUAAUCAUAGAAAUGCUAAUAAUCUCAAUAACAAUCGAAUCAACACAUCCCUCAAUAAUAGCAACUCGGAGUCAACAAAGUCGACUCGAUGCAGAACACACAUCCAUAUUGGCGUACCAAUGAACCCCUUAUCAAGGAGUUCCUGAAGUUGCUCCUCCAACUCCUUUGACUCUGCCGGUGCCAUACCAUACGGUGCCCGGCACCAAAUCAAUGACAAAAUCAACAAACCUGUCAGGCGGCAUGCCCGACAGCAGGAACACAUCCGGAAAAAUCUCUCACCACCGGAACCGAAUCAAUGGUAGGAGUCUCUGCACUGACAUCCCUCACAAAGACCAAAUAAGAAAGACAACCUAUUCCCAACCAUCAUCUGGGCCUUCAAAAAUGAAAACACUCUACUGGGAACAUAAUCCGUCGAAUCUCGCCACACAAUCAGUGGUAUUCCCGGCAUAGCCAACGUCGCCGACUUAGCGCAACAAUCCAGAAUAACACGACAUAGAGACAACCAGUCCAUACCCAAGAUGACAUCAAAAUUGAACAUGCUAAGCAACAAAGGAUCCACCUGGGUGUCCAAACCCCCGAUAGUCGCCACAUAAGAACGAUAUACGUGGUCCAUAACCACAACAUAACCCGUUUAUGAGAACUCCCAGUCCCCAAAUCCAUAGAGCGUACAAAUAACUAUAUCUGAUCCCAACUCCACCGCUCGAAUAUAUAACACACCUCUAAUAUCCAAUCUUUUUAUCAGGGAUACUCCUAAAAUUCUUUUAUCCUACCAAGCAAACUCAAAUAUCAUUAGUCGAUCAAACAAGAGAUUUCCACAAUAUCAGUGAUGUAUUAUUAACUCAAUCACAUUGACUUUCUAAAAUGCAUGCCCUAAUAAAGCCAUACAAAUUAGCAACAUCAUUUUCCUAAUAAUCUGAAACUGCCUACUGCCUAAGAAUUUAUGCCUUCCUCUCAUAACUGAAUGGUGACCUUUCACAUGCCAAUCUCAACCCUACAUAACAUAGCGCAUAUACCAUGAUAUCCUAUGACAAAUAUGUGAACUUCACAAUCCCUUCCGAGCCACAAGCAACUACGUACUUCACUAGCCAAGAACUUUCCCAUUUGAUCCAAUUUAGAAGAAAAAUGCUAUACAUCACUUGCUCUUCAAGCCGGUAGAAAAUAUGCAUCUAUAACCAUGAUAGAAACCAUUACGAACUCUCCGAAUUCCACUUCCACAAAACUAAACCGUCCAAGCUGAAUCCUCUAACUCAACCAAGCUACACAGACCAUCAAAACCUAAGAGCUUUACCAUGAAACACCUGUAGAAACGUAUUACCUCAUAAGUACCCAAAGAACUAAUCAUAUCCGUUACCACGCCGAUCCGGUCUACUACCAAGCUAUCCUAUUCAUCCAAGUUACUUCUAAAUUUCCUUCAAAUUGAUAUUUUCCAUUGACAUAAUACCGCAAUUCUUAACCCGAACUCACCACACGAGACUCAAGCAUCAAAAUCGCACCGUCUAAGGCUCAUAAGCCGCUGAAGACUCUCUUAAAUAUUCCCAAAUGUACCAUAAUCAAAUACUUAUCCUGAAGAGACUUCCUGCGAAUCUAAAGCCAUUACCUUCACCUUCCUAAUACUGAUAUGUAGAAUCCAUAAUGAUAUAAAAAUGUGACAAGUCUUGACACCCUCCAAUGUAAACCUCAGUUUCUGGCCAAAUACGCCUCUUGAAAAUCUCCAGUUAUUACAUAUAAGUCUUGAAUCCAUUAAAACCUUCUUGAGAGUCAUCCACUCUACUCAUGUUUCAAUUACGCUGAUCAAACGACAUGAACAACUUGUGCCGCAUCAGCAAUACCUAAAGAAGUAACCGAUCCUUCUAAGCAACCGAGUGAUUUCCUACUCAAUACCCGUUACAUCCCCUACAAUAACAACUAAUUCAUCCAACGUUUCUCAUAUACCCACAAAGCAUAACACAACCCUUAUCCAAAUUUCCCUUUACUCAAGCCAUCCUCGAUCUCAAACCCUACAAGCCACAACUGAUUCACUAGUAUACCUCAAACUAAAACUGAUGCAAAACAUAACAGUGCAAUCAACUAAACAAUAGUAGACUCCCCCACUUUGCUCAAAGCCAUAGACCAAAACACGCAAAAACUCAUAAUGCCCAUACUCUAUUUCUGUCAUAAUACCGUAGUGAGGUUUAACUAAACCCUUCAUAAGAUAGUGCACCACAAACCAUCUAGUACUUCAAAUCAUCUGCAAAUGUCACAUUCACCCUCGUUACAGUCAAGACAACUCGCAUAUGCGAUCCAAACUCCAACCGCAACACAUAUAAUUUACUAGUUAAAGAGGACUUUAAACAAACAACAUAGGGUUCACACUACAUGAGAACACUCCGCAGGAGAUAACCCACCUGCUCCACCUAAAACUAACUUCUCUUUAUACCCUUUCCACUGCAUAAUCAUCACGCAAUCACCAAAUCCUCCUGAAUCUGAACUUAAAUCGCGACAUACAAUCCACCUCACUCUCUAACUAGCAACAUGAAAAGAUCCUUCAUGAUACCCUAACUCAGGCUAUACAUCAAAUCACGAGGGAAGUCAAGCAUUAAAUAAUUCCUUUUACCCUCAAGCAUACCCAUUCUCGUCACGUUCAAAUCAUAUGAACACAUCUCGCAGUCACAUCAUCCUCAUCACAUAGCCAUCCGGACAUUACUUCUACUAAUAGGGACACUACCGAACAUAUAAUUCUAGAAGUACGUGCCCACACAAUCAACGCCUCAGUGCUCAAGAUAUCGGCAAAAUCCAUCCUCAAGUCCUCCAAACUGGCCCAACAUCAACACGUAGAAAUCACAUCUCGCCUUCGAUCAGGGAAUCACAAGCCACCGAUGCACAACUGAUACCGAGCGCUCAUGCGCGCAUACGAAUGCGUGAAAGGAAUUUAAAGAGUUACAUUUUAAGGUGAAUCAAUGUUGCACGAUAAGAAUUCAAAAAUGUGGGAUUUCCUAAAGCUUCUGCAGCCUUUCGAAGAUAAGUACAGACAUCUCCGUAUCGAUCCACGAGAAUUUACCAUACCUGCUCAUGACACGUCAGACCUAUGUAACCUAGACUCUAAUACAAACUUGUCAUGAUACAGAACUAACCCUGUCAUAAUGGCUCCUAAAGUGAAACAAGGCCAGCCUCAACUCAACAAUCAACCUGAUAAUAAUAAGUUUGAAAACAUUUACGGGAGCUUUUAACAUUUAAAGAACUAUUUGAAACAUAAGAAAUUCCAAGAAUAAAUACAAUCCAGCCCAAAACUGGGGUGUCACUGAGUGCAUGAGCAUCUAAGGAAAAAUACAUAGUAUUAUAUAAUAUCUAAGAAAACAACUCAAAUACAACUAGAAUGUAAGGGGGAGAGCCAAGGCCUGCGAACGCCAUGCAGGUAUCUCAAAAAUCUUCUAAGUUAAAAGCCUCGAUCAAACAUCCGCCACUAGAUCCAAAGUGCCUGAAUUUGCACAUGACGUGUAGGGGGUAAUGUGAGUACACCAACUUAGUAUGCAACAAGUUCAACCUUUGGACUGAUAGGUAGUGACGAACUCAACCUCCUCAAGGAUAACAUAAAUAAUGUACAAAAACUUAGGCAUGAUUUCAAUUAAAUAGAUAGCUCGAACAGUAAAAUAGAGCAUGUAUGAACAAGGUAAAUGAGUGUAAUUCUGCUACGUCUACAUGUCAAUGCACAUGCUGUAUAAAAUGCACCAUAUUGAGUGCCUCAUGUGCCCACAGCCUCAAAUGGUCAUCCACUUAGUACUGUAUAUGGCUCAUACGACCUAGGGAAGAUCUAUCCCAGAAUAUAUACAACUCUGACAGCAAUCACUUAGUACUGAGGAAGGCCGCUCCAGCCUACAGAGAAGAUCCAUCUCAAGAUAAUAUCAAUAGCAAACUCACAACCACUUGGUACUGUAUAUGGCUAUCAAGGCCCAGGGAAGAUCCAUCCCGGCAUAUAUACAUAUCAGCGACAACAGUCAUCCAGUACCGAGGAAGGCCAUUCCAGCCUAUGGAGAAGAUCUAUCUCCAUAUAUAAACACUUUGGACAAGAUCCAUAUCCAGGGGAGAUCCAUCCCUCAAUAUCAUCAACUGCUCUCACUGGGGCGGUGUAAAGACUCUGGAAGGGCUUCUCUUAGCUAAAACGCUAUAUCAAUACUAGCAAAGGCAUGAUCAAUAUCUCACUGUGGCAUCGAGCCCAAUCCCACAUUGUCAAUCAAUAUCAGGCUCUCAGCCUCACUCAAUAAAUACUCUUUAUUCUCACACACACGGGCUCAAAAUGACAUGAUACUAUCCCGAACAAUGAUAUGAUAUGUCAAAUAGCAAUAAUCAAGGCUAAGGCAUGAUAUAAUAUGCAUGAACAAGACUGAGUAUAGAAUAUAAAUUAAGCUAAUGACAUGACAACAAGAAAAUGACCUCUCGGGACUGAACAUUGUUGGCGUGAAGCCUUAACAUGAUAAUUAACAUGAUUUGUAGCUCAUUAACAUAAUUACAUAAUUACAACACAGAUAUGAGAAUAAAAGAGUCACUAAGCGAUGCAAUGGAAUGAUCCAGGCCGUAUCUCUCACGGUGCAUGCCCAUACGCCCGUUACUUGGCAUUGGCGUCACCUCAAUAGUACUCGUAGAACACGCAGUAUGGGGUUUCAAACCCUUAGAACCAAGUUUGGAAGUGUUAUUUACCUUAAGACAAGCCAAACUCUAGUCCGCGAUACCCUUGACUCACGAUUUGGCCUCCAAAUGCCCUGAAUCUAACCAAAAUCAGAACCAUAACAUCAAUAUAUGCAAAGGGAACAAAUCCCACACGAAAAUAAUCAAAUUAUAUCACAAGUCCCGAAAUUGGUAAAACCCGACCCCUGGGCCCACGCCUCGGAUUCCGAUAAAAAUCACAUCACUAAAAUCCUUUUCCUCCCAUGAGUCUAUACAUACCAAGAACAUUAAAAUCGAACCUUAAAUGGCCCCUCAAAUCACCACUCAAAGCACUCCAAAACUCAAGCCUUAAUCCUCCAUUUUUGGGCUUUAAAUCCCACUAAUUUCUUGAUUAAACAAUGGAAAAACUCAUCAUAAAUUCUAAUAAUAAAGACCAAGUAACUUACCCCACUGAAAAUCCUUGAUUCCCCUUGAAAAUCACGGUCCAAAGCUCAAAUCCCGGCCAAAAAUGGUGAAGAAUGAAAAAAAUUUGCGAAGAAGCCUUUAUAUGCACUCUUCCGAGCACUUCUGCAUAUGCGGUCCCUAUAAUGCAUCUGCGGGGCAGCACCUACGCAAAAUCCUCCGCUUCUGUGGAAUUUCACUAAAAGACAUUUCCGCUUCUACGGUUGCCUGACCGCUUCUACGGUCAUCGCAGAUGCGAGGACCAAACCGCACCUGCACUACAUAACCACUUCCGUCUACCUCGCACCUGCGGUCCCCAAUCCACAGGUGCAGAAAUAAUAGGAACAACAAAAUCUUCAGCACAACUCAAAUUCCAAACAUUCUGAUAACCAUCUGAAAUCAUCCCGAGGACCUUGGGGACCUCAUCCAAAAAUAUGAACAAGUCACAUAUAACUAGUCAAACUUAUUCCAACCUUCGAAACACUCAAAACAACAUCGAAACAGCAAAUCAUCCUCGGAUUCAAACUUAAGAACUUAGAAUCUUUCAAAUUCGAUCAACGAUGCCGAAACCUAUCAAAUCACCUCCGAAUGACCUAAUAUUUUGCACACACGUCAAAAAUAACACUAUGAACCUACUCCAAUUUCCGGAGCUCCAUUCCGCCAUCUAUAUUAAGAUUUCCACUACCGACCAGAAAACGUCAAAUUUCCAUUUUUGCCAAUUCAUACCUAAAUCAAUCACGGACCUCCAAACCACAUUCUGAACAUGCACUUAAGCCCAAAAUACCCUAACGAAGCUAUCCGAACCAUCAGAAUACACAUCUGAGACCUCCUACACAUAAGUCAACAUCCGAUUGAUAUUUCCAACUUAAGCUUACUCAAAAGAGACUAAGUGUCUCAUACCUCUCCAAAACCUCUCCGAACCCAAACCAACCAACCUGCUACCACAUAAUACAGCUGAACAAGAUAUAAAGAAGCAGAAAUGGGGUAAAUGGGGUUGAAAUCCAUAAAACAUCAAAUAUAGAAGAAUAUCAAAAAACUAAAGAUAUUAAAUACUUAGAAUACACAUUUGAAAAUAUAAAAGAAAUUUCAGGGUUAUUUCGUUAGCUGCAGAUAAUCAUGAAAAAGCAUUUAAUUCCACAACUACUUAAAAUAGAUCCUAUGAAAAAUUUGAUGAACUCAAGUAAACCCCAAAAAUUUGAUGAACUCAAGUAAACCCCCCUAAAACAGAUGUAUGCAAACAAACUAAAAGAAAAGGAAAAACGUAANNNNNNNNNNNNNNNNNNNNNNNNNNNNNNNNNNNNNNNNNNNNNNNNNNNNNNNNNNNNNNNNNNNNNNNNNNNNNNNNNNNNNNNNNNNNNNNNNNNNNNNNNNNNNNNNNNNNNNNNNNNNNNNNNNNNNNNNNNNNNNNNNNNNNNNNNNNNNNNNNNNNNNNNNNNNNNNNNNNNNNNNNNNNNNNNNNNNNNNNNNNNNNNNNNNNNNNNNNNNNNNNNNNNNNNNNNNNNNNNNNNNNNNNNNNNNNNNNNNNNNNNNNNNNNNNNNNNNNNNNNNNNNNNNNNNNNNNNNNNNNNNNNNNNNNNNNNNNNNNNNNNNNNNNNNNNNNNNNNNNNNNNNNNNNNNNNNNNNNNNNNNNNNNNNNNNNNNNNNNNNNNNNNNNNNNNNNNNNNNNNNNNNNNNNNNNNNNNNNNNNNNNNNNNNNNNNNNNNNNNNNNNNNNNNNNNNNNNNNNNNNNNNNNNNNNNNNNNNNNNNNNNNNNNNNNNNNNNNNNNNNNNNNNNNNNNNNNNNNNNNNNNNNNNNNNNNNNNNNNNNNNNNNNNNNNNNNNNNNNNNNNNNNNNNNNNNNNNNNNNNNNNNNNNNNNNNNNNNNNNNNNNNNNNNNNNNNNNNNNNNNNNNNNNNNNNNNNNNNNNNNNNNNNNNNNNNNNNNNNNNNNNNNNNNNNNNNNNNNNNNNNNNNNNNNNNNNNNNNNNNNNNNNNNNNNNNNNNNNNNNNNNNNNNNNNNNNNNNNNNNNNNNNNNNNNNNNNNNNNNNNNNNNNNNNNNNNNNNNNNNNNNNNNNNNNNNNNNNNNNNNNNNNNNNNNNNNNNNNNNNNNNNNNNNNNNNNNNNNNNNNNNNNNNNNNNNNNNNNNNNNNNNNNNNNNNNNNNNNNNNNNNNNNNNNNNNNNNNNNNNNNNNNNNNNNNNNNNNNNNNNNNNNNNNNNNNNNNNNNNNNNNNNNNNNNNNNNNNNNNNNNNNNNNNNNNNNNNNNNNNNNNNNNNNNNNNNNNNNNNNNNNNNNNNNNNNNNNNNNNNNNNNNNNNNNNNNNNNNNNNNNNNNNNNNNNNNNNNNNNNNNNNNNNNNNNNNNNNNNNNNNNNNNNNNNNNNNNNNNNNNNNNNNNNNNNNNNNNNNNNNNNNNNNNNNNNNNNNNNNNNNNNNNNNNNNNNNNNNNNNNNNNNNNNNNNNNNNNNNNNNNNNNNNNNNNNNNNNNNNNNNNNNNNNNNNNNNNNNNNNNNNNNNNNNNNNNNNNNNNNNNNNNNNNNNNNNNNNNNNNNNNNNNNNNNNNNNNNNNNNNNNNNNNNNNNNNNNNNNNNNNNNNNNNNNNNNNNNNNNNNNNNNNNNNNNNNNNNNNNNNNNNNNNNNNNNNNNNNNNNNNNNNNNNNNNNNNNNNNNNNNNNNNNNNNNNNNNNNNNNNNNNNNNNNNNNNNNNNNNNNNNNNNNNNNNNNNNNNNNNNNNNNNNNNNNNNNNNNNNNNNNNNNNNNNNNNNNNNNNNNNNNNNNNNNNNNNNNNNNNNNNNNNNNNNNNNNNNNNNNNNNNNNNNNNNNNNNNNNNNNNNNNNNNNNNNNNNNNNNNNNNNNNNNNNNNNNNNNNNNNNNNNNNNNNNNNNNNNNNNNNNNNNNNNNNNNNNNNNNNNNNNNNNNNNNNNNNNNNNNNNNNNNNNNNNNNNNNNNNNNNNNNNNNNNNNNNNNNNNNNNNNNNNNNNNNNNNNNNNNNNNNNNNNNNNNNNNNNNNNNNNNNNNNNNNNNNNNNNNNNNNNNNNNNNNNNNNNNNNNNNNNNNNNNNNNNNNNNNNNNNNNNNNNNNNNNNNNNNNNNNNNNNNNNNNNNNNNNNNNNNNNNNNNNNNNNNNNNNNNNNNNNNNNNNNNNNNNNNNNNNNNNNNNNNNNNNNNNNNNNNNNNNNNNNNNNNNNNNNNNNNNNNNNNNNNNNNNNNNNNNNNNNNNNNNNNNNNNNNNNNNNNNNNNNNNNNNNNNNNNNNNNNNNNNNNNNNNNNNNNNNNNNNNNNNNNNNNNNNNNNNNNNNNNNNNNNNNNNNNNNNNNNNNNNNNNNNNNNNNNNNNNNNNNNNNNNNNNNNNNNNNNNNNNNNNNNNNNNNNNNNNNNNNNNNNNNNNNNNNNNNNNNNNNNNNNNNNNNNNNNNNNNNNNNNNNNNNNNNNNNNNNNNNNNNNNNNNNNNNNNNNNNNNNNNNNNNNNNNNNNNNNNNNNNNNNNNNNNNNNNNNNNNNNNNNNNNNNNNNNNNNNNNNNNNNNNNNNNNNNNNNNNNNNNNNNNNNNNNNNNNNNNNNNNNNNNNNNNNNNNNNNNNNNNNNNNNNNNNNNNNNNNNNNNNNNNNNNNNNNNNNNNNNNNNNNNNNNNNNNNNNNNNNNNNNNNNNNNNNNNNNNNNNNNNNNNNNNNNNNNNNNNNNNNNNNNNNNNNNNNNNNNNNNNNNNNNNNNNNNNNNNNNNNNNNNNNNNNNNNNNNNNNNNNNNNNNNNNNNNNNNNNNNNNNNNNNNNNNNNNNNNNNNNNNNNNNNNNNNNNNNNNNNNNNNNNNNNNNNNNNNNNNNNNNNNNNNNNNNNNNNNNNNNNNNNNNNNNNNNNNNNNNNNNNNNNNNNNNNNNNNNNNNNNNNNNNNNNNNNNNNNNNNNNNNNNNNNNNNNNNNNNNNNNNNNNNNNNNNNNNNNNNNNNNNNNNNNNNNNNNNNNNNNNNNNNNNNNNNNNNNNNNNNNNNNNNNNNNNNNNNNNNNNNNNNNNNNNNNNNNNNNNNNNNNNNNNNNNNNNNNNNNNNNNNNNNNNNNNNNNNNNNNNNNNNNNNNNNNNNNNNNNNNNNNNNNNNNNNNNNNNNNNNNNNNNNNNNNNNNNNNNNNNNNNNNNNNNNNNNNNNNNNNNNNNNNNNNNNNNNNNNNNNNNNNNNNNNNNNNNNNNNNNNNNNNNNNNNNNNNNNNNNNNNNNNNNNNNNNNNNNNNNNNNNNNNNNNNNNNNNNNNNNNNNNNNNNNNNNNNNNNNNNNNNNNNNNNNNNNNNNNNNNNNNNNNNNNNNNNNNNNNNNNNNNNNNNNNNNNNNNNNNNNNNNNNNNNNNNNNNNNNNNNNNNNNNNNNNNNNNNNNNNNNNNNNNNNNNNNNNNNNNNNNNNNNNNNNNNNNNNNNNNNNNNNNNNNNNNNNNNNNNNNNNNNNNNNNNNNNNNNNNNNNNNNNNNNNNNNNNNNNNNNNNNNNNNNNNNNNNNNNNNNNNNNNNNNNNNNNNNNNNNNNNNNNNNNNNNNNNNNNNNNNNNNNNNNNNNNNNNNNNNNNNNNNNNNNNNNNNNNNNNNNNNNNNNNNNNNNNNNNNNNNNNNNNNNNNNNNNNNNNNNNNNNNNNNNNNNNNNNNNNNNNNNNNNNNNNNNNNNNNNNNNNNNNNNNNNNNNNNNNNNNNNNNNNNNNNNNNNNNNNNNNNNNNNNNNNNNNNNNNNNNNNNNNNNNNNNNNNNNNNNNNNNNNNNNNNNNNNNNNNNNNNNNNNNNNNNNNNNNNNNNNNNNNNNNNNNNNNNNNNNNNNNNNNNNNNNNNNNNNNNNNNNNNNNNNNNNNNNNNNNNNNNNNNNNNNNNNNNNNNNNNNNNNNNNNNNNNNNNNNNNNNNNNNNNNNNNNNNNNNNNNNNNNNNNNNNNNNNNNNNNNNNNNNNNNNNNNNNNNNNNNNNNNNNNNNNNNNNNNNNNNNNNNNNNNNNNNNNNNNNNNNNNNNNNNNNNNNNNNNNNNNNNNNNNNNNNNNNNNNNNNNNNNNNNNNNNNNNNNNNNNNNNNNNNNNNNNNNNNNNNNNNNNNNNNNNNNNNNNNNNNNNNNNNNNNNNNNNNNNNNNNNNNNNNNNNNNNNNNNNNNNNNNNNNNNNNNNNNNNNNNNNNNNNNNNNNNNNNNNNNNNNNNNNNNNNNNNNNNNNNNNNNNNNNNNNNNNNNNNNNNNNNNNNNNNNNNNNNNNNNNNNNNNNNNNNNNNNNNNNNNNNNNNNNNNNNNNNNNNNNNNNNNNNNNNNNNNNNNNNNNNNNNNNNNNNNNNNNNNNNNNNNNNNNNNNNNNNNNNNNNNNNNNNNNNNNNNNNNNNNNNNNNNNNNNNNNNNNNNNNNNNNNNNNNNNNNNNNNNNNNNNNNNNNNNNNNNNNNNNNNNNNNNNNNNNNNNNNNNNNNNNNNNNNNNNNNNNNNNNNNNNNNNNNNNNNNNNNNNNNNNNNNNNNNNNNNNNNNNNNNNNNNNNNNNNNNNNNNNNNNNNNNNNNNNNNNNNNNNNNNNNNNNNNNNNNNNNNNNNNNNNNNNNNNNNNNNNNNNNNNNNNNNNNNNNNNNNNNNNNNNNNNNNNNNNNNNNNNNNNNNNNNNNNNNNNNNNNNNNNNNNNNNNNNNNNNNNNNNNNNNNNNNNNNNNNNNNNNNNNNNNNNNNNNNNNNNNNNNNNNNNNNNNNNNNNNNNNNNNNNNNNNNNNNNNNNNNNNNNNNNNNNNNNNNNNNNNNNNNNNNNNNNNNNNNNNNNNNNNNNNNNNNNNNNNNNNNNNNNNNNNNNNNNNNNNNNNNNNNNNNNNNNNNNNNNNNNNNNNNNNNNNNNNNNNNNNNNNNNNNNNNNNNNNNNNNNNNNNNNNNNNNNNNNNNNNNNNNNNNNNNNNNNNNNNNNNNNNNNNNNNNNNNNNNNNNNNNNNNNNNNNNNNNNNNNNNNNNNNNNNNNNNNNNNNNNNNNNNNNNNNNNNNNNNNNNNNNNNNNNNNNNNNNNNNNNNNNNNNNNNNNNNNNNNNNNNNNNNNNNNNNNNNNNNNNNNNNNNNNNNNNNNNNNNNNNNNNNNNNNNNNNNNNNNNNNNNNNNNNNNNNNNNNNNNNNNNNNNNNNNNNNNNNNNNNNNNNNNNNNNNNNNNNNNNNNNNNNNNNNNNNNNNNNNNNNNNNNNNNNNNNNNNNNNNNNNNNNNNNNNNNNNNNNNNNNNNNNNNNNNNNNNNNNNNNNNNNNNNNNNNNNNNNNNNNNNNNNNNNNNNNNNNNNNNNNNNNNNNNNNNNNNNNNNNNNNNNNNNNNNNNNNNNNNNNNNNNNNNNNNNNNNNNNNNNNNNNNNNNNNNNNNNNNNNNNNNNNNNNNNNNNNNNNNNNNNNNNNNNNNNNNNNNNNNNNNNNNNNNNNNNNNNNNNNNNNNNNNNNNNNNNNNNNNNNNNNNNNNNNNNNNNNNNNNNNNNNNNNNNNNNNNNNNNNNNNNNNNNNNNNNNNNNNNNNNNNNNNNNNNNNNNNNNNNNNNNNNNNNNNNNNNNNNNNNNNNNNNNNNNNNNNNNNNNNNNNNNNNNNNNNNNNNNNNNNNNNNNNNNNNNNNNNNNNNNNNNNNNNNNNNNNNNNNNNNNNNNNNNNNNNNNNNNNNNNNNNNNNNNNNNNNNNNNNNNNNNNNNNNNNNNNNNNNNNNNNNNNNNNNNNNNNNNNNNNNNNNNNNNNNNNNNNNNNNNNNNNNNNNNNNNNNNNNNNNNNNUUGAUAGUUACGAAUAUUUUAAGUACUGGUUAGAAAAUCUAAAACAUAUAAAUAUGUCAAAAAUAAUAUUAGAAAAAAAUAUAGAAGAAUAUCAAAAAACUAAAGAUAUUAAAUACUUAGAAUACACAUUUGAAAAUAUAAAAGAAAUUUCAGGGUUAAUUUCGUUAGCUGCAGAUAAUCAUGAAAAAGCAUUUAAUUCCACAACUACUUAAAAUAGAUCCUAUGAAAAAUUUGAUGAACUCAAGUAAACCCCAAAAAUUUGAUGAACUCAAGUAAACCCCCCCAAAAUGCCCAUGGAUAUCUGAAACACCGUGCGAAGUCAGAAGUGCAAGCUGAACUGGCGAACCCAUAAAACCUCUACCACAACGUACCCUACCUCCAAAAUAUGGACUAGUAGAUCCUCCUGGUCCACGAGGCCUCUUAGCCUCCGUGUCCUCUCUCUCUCCUGACCCCGCAUACCAUCUAAUCUGCGAGCAAUCUCUACCACCUACUAAAACGGAAAAUACGUCUCCAAAUUCUAAGCAAUGGUGAAUAAGAUACCUUAAUUAGGCCCCUCAAUGAAAGUGUAGACUCUCUCUCCAACUGUAGAAACCAAAGCAGGUGCACAUCUGUCAAAUCAGUAAAUCUAACAACAUACUCUGACACUGACAUUGUAUCCUGACGCAGCUACUCAAACUUUGUGCACCAUGCGUCCCGUAGGGUCUGGGGAACAAACUCUCUCAAGAACAUCUCUAAAAAUUGAGUCCAUAAAAGUGAUGCUACGUUGGCUGGGGUACCCUCCUCUUAAACCCACCACCACUGAUACACUUUUCCUGGCAGAUGGAACGUAGUAAAAGCAACCCCACUCGUCUCCAUAAUACCCAUGGUGCAAAGAAUACGGUGGCACUCCUCUAGAAAACCAUGUGCAUCCUCUAAAGCCAAACUACUAAAAGUAGGAGGGUGAUACUUCUUGAACCUCACAAGUCAAAGUUGUUUCUCCUCAGAUGUUGUUGCCUUAACUGAGGGCUGAAUCAAAACAACAAGUUGUGCUAGCAUGACACCUAGAACCUAUCCAACGUGGACUUAUUGAUUUAGAGUAGGGGCGACGGGAGUCUAAGAUCCUCCCCCAGUCCGUGAAGUAGCUGGUGCAACCAGAAUCAAUCUCUCCUGAGCCAAUGUACCAAACAUGCUCAAGAACUGUGCUAAAGUCUAGUAGGUGCUCUAGCUGUAAAACGGGCACGACCUCUGCCUAUGCCUUUUCACCGGACCCUAGCAACACCUGCUCCAGUGGCAUCCGCCAGUAAAUGCAACUCGUAUUAUCACCAUCUAUGGGAGAAUAAAAUGGCAAAAUCUCAAACUCGUACGAUAGGAAUGAAAGAAGUGAAGUUUCCCUAAUAAAUCUGUAGCCUCUCGAAGAUAAGUACGACGUCUCCAUACCGAUCUGCAAGACUCUACUAAACACGCUUAUGACUCAUAGAACCUAUGAACCUAGAGCUAUACCGAUCUGCAAGACUCUACUAAACUCACUUAUGACUCAUAGCACCUAUGAUCAUAGAGCUAUGAUACCAACUUGGCACGACCUAAAUUUCCUUCUUUUGGAUGUCGUGAUGGCACCCAGUCUCUAAGAUUAGGUAUGCCUAACACUUACUUUAAUGAUAGAAUUUAACCAAAACAUCUAUUAAACAUGAAACAGAUAAUUCUAUAAUAAGCCAACAAUCCCAGCAUGAUACAAUAUCCCAAAAUCGACAAUACAAGUUAUAAGUCUACUGAGUUCACUAGAAAUGUUUUAGGUACAACUGUUUCGGAAUAGAAAUAAAAUGUGCAAGAACAAUAUUAGAAGGUGGCUCUGAAGCCUGCAAAUGCGACGACAGGUAUACCUUGAGCCACCACAUCAAUGCACGAUCAGCUAGCUAACAAUCAACUAAUUCUGAAGUACCUGGAUCUGCACAAAAAUAUGUAGAAGAGUAGCAAUACCACAUCGGUACUAGUAAGUAUCAAGACUAACUUUUGUGGAGUAGUAACGAGGGACAGUCAAAACACAUACUAGAUGUAAUAACCUGUACAACUAUGGAUAUGAAACUACCAGAGAAUACUACAAAUCUAAACAUAGAAAGGAUAAUGUUAUGAUACUCGCGUUAAGAAUUGGAACAACAAUUAACAACAAGGAAAAACAAAUAAUAAUGCCAUAAAGUGAGCUGAAUACGGUAACAAUCUGGUGAAACAAAGUAAGGAGAAACAUGUAACAACCAAAUAACAACCGUUUCCCCUCAAGAUUUAUAUAAGUAUUUUCCCGAGGUGCUACACCUCAUAACCAUAAUUUGCGGGUCCCAAUUCACGGACCGUAAUUACUUGGUGAUACGCUCAAAUUACACUAUAAAUAAAUAGUGUAAGGCGGUCGGUGUCACAUAUAAUAACCCAACAAGGUUGGGGUCGAAUCUCACAGGGAAUAGGUGUGAAAAGGUUACUCGAUUAGUGUAUCACUUGACAUAAGUCGUAAUUCUAUCCGGUUAACUGUAACAAGAGUAUGGUAUGAUAGUGAGUUGAAGAAAUAACUAAUUGUGAUAUUGAGAAUGUAAUUAAUUUUAUUAAAGAAACCAAGGUUGUGUCCCCUUCAAUGAAGUGUAAUGCUAUCGGUGUUAAUAUGAUAUAUUUCUAAUGGAAGGUUCUUUUGAUAUGCAAAUUAUUUCUAAAUGACUACCCAAUAUUUUGCAAUAGUUGAGUAGUAUUUCCUCUUUAUGAAUUUUCCAAAUAUAAAAGAGUUACAAUUAAGAACAAUCAAUAUGUGCCAAAUAAAACCUACUUAUUCCUAAGCGAUUCUAUUAAGCAAGGUUUAAAGCCUUGAGUCUUUGAUAUUUACUUCUACCAAAAUCUAACCCACUUUUCCAAGCAAAGAAAGAAUUUAAUGGCACUUGCUAAUGUUAGCAACCACCUACAAUAAAUGAAUAAUGAGAAGUAAAUAAAUAUCAACCAACCAUUAUACAUAUAUUCAAUGUUAAACACCCAUUAACAUAACACCCAUUUAGGGUCCACAACCUUAGUAUUUAGAGUUAGCUACACAUACUAGAAUACAAAAGGGUGAGAAUAUUGAAUGCCAUAAAUGUUAUAAAGUGCAAUAUUCUUCAUUCAAAAACUUCCAAAAUAGAGUAAUUAUAAAGCCUUGGAUUGUAGCUCCAAAAUCUGAUAAGGUCCCCCCCCCCCACAAAAUCCCAAUAAAUCUAUUUAUAGUGGGUCAAAACUUGGAACAAAUUUUUGACAAAAAUACCCUUUCCGGUUAAAUAUGCGACCGAAUAUCUAUCGCAUAAUAGAUAUGCGGUCCGCAUUCUUGGCAUAGCCAUCACAUCUUCAAACCCUAGUUUCCAGGCCUUCAUCGCAUUGAUGUUUUGCAGUUCGCAUUGCAGAUAUGCGAUCGCAUUUCGCAUCGCAUUUUCUACCUUCAGCAAUCUUUAUGUCGAGUUUGCGGUCCAUUAUGAGGCUCGCAAACAGGUUUUGAGAGCGCAUAUUGGACUGCAUUUCUUGCACUGGACUUUGCCCAAAAAUCUGUUGUGGUUUGUGAUUCCCUUCCGCAUUCUGCGACUCGCAUGUUGGAUUUGCGAUCGCACAUCCACAUUUGAGAUGCCUUUUUGUUCUUUUCUCGUCUUUUUGUGUCUUUUUUAUUUCAUUUCCAUGCUCUUAAAUCCUUAAACCUCAUACACUACAAAAACACUAAAAUUACAUAAGUAUAAAAGAUAAUUGAAUCUAAAACAAGCUAAAAUCUGAGCAAUUUGUAUCAAAUGUGCCAAAAUUCUCCCGCACAUCAACACCCCCAACUUAAACCCUUGCUUGUCCUCAAGCAACUAAGACAACACUAUCUUAUUCUAGACUCCAUUUAAAAGAUAUGAAACAAUAGUGACCGUGGACGGUGUUUGUUGUUAGUACUACAAGCAUGCAUUUUUGAUUGUUUUAUCCUUCCUGACACAUCAAUAUUUAUAAAGAAACUACUCAACUUGUGAAACUUUGAGCGUCGAACAAUGUGACAAAAUGUUACCCUCAACUGAGUGCAAUUGCAUUUGACUCAAAAACUCAACAAUUGUCCAACCUCAAAAUUCAUGUGCCCUCACUAGAAAGAAAGUCCCAAAAUCACAAAAUUUACAAUGACAACAAAAAGGGACGAAUUCACGAAUACACUCAGUCUCAAAAAGACUUUCAAGUGUUACAACAUACCAUACCAUAGGCAUGCCCUUAUUUUAAUUCAUCGCUUUAUUCUAAUAACAUUCGGAUAGAGAUCCCAUAAGGACUUUUUAAACUUCUAAUGUAGGUUUAGGGAAGGGUCGGAUAAGCAUUUCGGUACAAGUGACUACACCCUCCUUAAACACUACUCACAUUUUUCUUUCCUGUUGCUCUUUGCUUCUUUUCAAACCACAUAGCCCUCAUUAGCUUCAACUUUUCCACCAUUUAGCUACCUCAACUACCUCUUUUAUUCUCUUCAAGACUCUUUAUGUAUAUAUACUCACAACUCUUAUAUGUUUUUUCUUUUUUUUUUUAUUUUGCUUUUGGAGCUUGAGUAGUUUCACAUUUUGAGGUACACUUUCCUUCGCUCAUUGCACAACCUUGCCAAUUUCCGGCUUGACACCACACCCCCCAAUUUAGGCUUUCAGCCUCAUUCUCAAUUCUCAAGGAGGGACAAGUUCAAAAGAGGGAAUUAUUUCACAAAAAGGGAAAGGCUUGUAAUGAGGUAGACAAAGAAAAGAUUAAAUGCUCAAAUGGGGUGACUAGUGAUAUUAUCUGUACAAUGGGUGGCUUGAAAGGCUAAGUGGUUUUUCAAAAAUCACAAAGACUGCCUAAGGUCAUUUCUCCAACCAAAUGUAAUUAUUAUAAGCAUCGAAAAAACCAACCGGGCCAGUUCUAGAUGGCAGAAGUAAACACAAGAGUUAUUUACAUAAAGACUCCCACACAUGGCACACGAACUAUUUGGCUUACGUAGUUUGAAGUCGUCGAGUCAACACUAGGCAACUCAAAGCUUUCAUCAUAUAUACAGGUAUAACUCUAGGUAGAAAUAUAGUCACAGAGCGAGCCUCAAGUUCACACAGUUGAUAUCUCUUUUUUUUAAUUAAUGGAAGGGUAUAGGCUAUAUACAGACACACAUGCUUGAAACUAGACAAUUACACCAAAUUGGUCAACAUGCUUCAUUCUACUUUCCGGGUUCUACUAUUACACCCUUGGAAAAGAACCCGGCGAAGAAAAACCAAGGGAAAUUCAUUGCUAAUUACUAAAUAUAGACAACUAUCUGCUUGUUUUUCUUUUUCUAUACACAAGGAUAACAUAACUUAUGUAAUAAAACAACAAAACACAAUUAUAUAGAGAAUCACGAACCACAAAUAAAUACAGAAUUUUGCAAAUAUAGCACAAAAAAGGAAAAAAUAAACAUGUACAACAGUUGCCAAUUUCACAAAAAUAUAUACAAGGCUACAACCUAUAUACAAGUCUAACCACACCCCCAACUAAAAAGCAUGCAUUGUCCCCAAUGCAUAAGAAUGUAAAGUAGAGUUUAGGGGCUCCCUAAGGCGCAAUAAGAGCUAUGGGAGUCGGAAGCCGACUGAGUGAUGGUGGGGUCACCCCCUAAUGCUGAAGCUGGGACCGAUGAGAUCUCGGCAUAAGGAGUGACCUCUACUGAUGGAGGAGGGAUAUUUGGCUGAUCCAAUAUUGGAGUUGGGGACUGUGAGCUGCUAGCCUCGCCUGUUGAUGGCUGAGUGGUUGAUGGAUCUGAUGGGGCGACCAUAUCUGCUAGCGAAUGUACUAUUACCACCUGAAUGGCUACUUUCUCCUCAUCCUCAACAAUCGAGGCAACAAUCUGCUUUCCCUUCUCCUAAGGGCCAUCAUCCUCCUCGGACCAUGAAGCCUCCUUAUCCUCUCCCUCGUCUGCCUCCUUACCCUCAGACUCUGUAGAAUGUCUGAAAUCCUCCUCAGAAGGAAUCGUAAUACGUGCAGGAGGAGGUGGAGGCUGGGAAGCCCUAGCAGUCGGGGGUGCAAUAUCCCUCAUCAGAGUGGAGAAGUCAAGAUCCAAGCAUGGUGUUGUUGUGUCUGCUCUCUGCUCACCUUUAUUGGGCAGGAAGGAUGAUAGAUCGAACUCCAAAGCCUACAUCUUGUAGAGACAAGUCUUCAUAGUGGAAACUUCCUCCCGGAGCCUAGGCAAGCCACUAACCUUACCUAACUCUAUCUUCUCAACUCUUAACUCAAGCUGCUGUAGAUGAUCCCCGUAAGAUGUUUGUUGUUGUUGGAGUGCUGUCACUGAGGAUUGAAUAGGAGUCAAAGCCUGUAUGAUGAGGGUGGGCAAGUUCUUCAGAACCUGGUCUACCUUAGCAUUGGCAUGCUGAGCUAUGAGACCACGCCUUAAAAUGGCUGGGAGUGCAGCAGGAGGCUGAGCAAUGGUAGACUUAGAGGCGGGCGUUGAAGUAGAAGUGGAGGCAACUAGAGCUUGAGGGGACACAAGAGUCUGGGAAUCUGAGGGCUCUACAUCAACUUGACCAUCAGUCUGAACCUCUGGGGAGCAACAACAUCAUUAAUGCGCGUGAUAUCAAUAUCCUUCAGCGCCUUCCUUGUCUUGUCAGUGUGUGGCAUGGUAGGGAUUUUCACAGCCUUACAGAGGGCUAUGAUCAAACAGGGGAAUGGAAGCGAAGUGGCUAUCUUCUUUGCCUGAAUCCCUAACUCUCGGAAGAUAAGAACACCCACAUCAAUCUUGAUUCCCGCCAUAAUGCAUGCAAUGAGACGAGCUUUCUCAAUGCCUAUAUCAGUCUCAUUUCUUGACGGUAUUAGUCGAGAGGUGACAAAGUUAAGCCAAAAUCUACCCUCCAGUGUGAGAUCCUCGUUGUAUAUUUUGUGCAUUAGGUUGAACCAGGCAGGGGUCCCUUUUGCUAUCACAGAUGCUAUCCAAGUUCGUUCAUUCUCCCGAUUUGUGCAUCUGGCGGCAUAUUGAGUUGUGCCCAGGCUCCAAUCAGGGAUGUAGAACUCAUUGAUAGUCUCAUCGCUACAAAACACACACUUCCCCCAAACAAACACACUGUCACAGAAAACCCUGUUGCGCUUGUGAUGAGUAGUCUUGGAGGCUCCAUAGGAUGCAUAAAAAUCACGGAUAAUGGUUUCAUUAUAUUCAUCAAGCAACUCUGUGAAGCUCUCCCACUUUCUUGCCUUGAUGUUCUCCCAGAUGUGGGGGUACUGCUCUUAUAUUCCAUUCAUACUCAGUUGUUUUUCGGCCAAGAUUUUUCGUUUGUUCAGCCCUUCUCUAUAAAGCUCCCUAGACCCUUCGACCCCAAACCUGAGCUGGAAGUCAUCUCCUCGUUUCCUUCAUGCCUCAGCUUGUAGGUCAACUUUGGGCAAAGUCUCCUCCUCAUCAGACUGAGAGGGAAGAGUAGUAGUAGGGUCUAGUCGCAGUCGUUUUGCUUGUUGAGUUUGGCUACUAAAGGAGGCCCUUUUUUGGGCAGAGGCUGGAUGUUUCCUGGGACCCAUAUCUACAUAGGAAUGAGACAUGAGAAACAUGGUAGGCAUUAAUAAAAAGAAAAUAGAAAAACUCAAGAAAAAAUUAAGAAUGCGACAGGUUAUGCGAUCGCAUAACCACUAUAUGGACCACAAACGUGUCACAAACUAUCAAGCUAGUCAAAUGAUCUAAGUGUGUGAUGGGUUAUGCAAUCGCAUAACCACUAUGCGGUUCGCAUAACCAUCGCAUACCUGAUUGCUAUAAAAACAAAAUCAGAAAAUGCGAUCUCAAAAUCCACCACAAAGUUGGAAAUGCGAUCGCAGAUAGCAUGGUAUUAAACUGGGUGUUCUAUGUCAGUAUGCGGUGACUUUGUGGUCCACAUAUCAAUUAUGCGAUCGCAAAGUCGCCGCAUUUUUUGUCAUCUUCCUCAACCAGCUAGGGUUUACUUUUGUGGAAAAAAUGCGGACCACAUUUUGAUUAUGCGAGCCGCAAAAUUCCUCGUCCCCAACAAUUGAACUUCACCAGCAACAAUGGUGGACCUAAUUUUUACUACCCAGCACCCCAAAACACACUACUUAACCCAAUAUAACAUUAUGAACAUACAUUUAACUACCAAACACAAACAAAAAGAAAAAGGAAACAUGAAGCAAAAAUAGGAGAAACAUGAGCAAGAACAAAUGUAAAAUUAAAGCUUGCAAGAAUGGAAUUAGGACAAGGAAAACAUACUUGUGACGGGUUUAUGAGCACACAUGGAAGAUUAGUUCACAGAUAUUGCCUUACGUACGUGAUGCUCUAGUCAUUUGCCUUCUCCGUUCCUUUUCACUUUUUUCAUUUUGUUUUGUUUCUGAUAAAAAAAAAUUCUUUUUGUUGUGAAUAAAGAGAUGCGAAGGGAUGCGAAUGACUUACCUACGAGGAUUGCAACGGGCAAGUCACCACAUAACACACCAUGCGAACGAAUAAGUGUUAUGCGGUGGAUUCAAUUGAGUUGCUGCAGGUCCAAAAAUGCGGUUCAGUAUGCGAUCGUAUAGUGGAAAUGCGGUCUGCAAAGUGCACCACCUUGUCGCAUUUUUAUCACCAAUUUUAGCCAAACACAUUGUCUGGUUUUGCGACCAAAAUGAAUUGCGCAUAGUGAAAAUGCGACCGCAUAUGUGUAACAAACUUCCCACUGUGAUUUUUCUUCCCUUUCUCAGGAUAUCUUACCUCGUGUUAUGAUCUUUUGAAUCCCCUGCACUCACACAUGGGUUGUCUCCCAUGAAGUGCUUGAUUUAACGCCGCAGCACGACGAAGUUGGCGUUCCUUAAGAUUCACUCAUUGGUCGGGCAUGGACUAUUUUUGAGAGCCAACUGCUCCACCAAAUGUUUUUCUCCGUCUAUCCCCAAGUAGUGCUUGACUCUCUGGUCAUUCACUUUUAAGGUUCAGAGCCCAUCCUCCGAUUCUAGUUCCAUAGCUCUAAAAGUAGAGACAUUGACCACCUUGAACGAACCGGACCAUUUUGAUUUGAGCUUGCCCGGAAACAAUUUAAGCCUUGAGUUAAAGAGAAAAACCAAGUCAUCCGACUUGAAAUCCCUCUUCAAGAUCUUUUUGUCGUGGACGAACUUCAUCCUUUCUUUAUACACAACUGGACUAUCCUAUGCAUGGAAGUAGAAUUCCUCCAUUUCAUUGAGUUGUGUUAACCUCAAAUUUGCAGCUUCAGCCCAGUCCAAGUUCAACCUCUUUAGAGACCACAUGGCUUUGUGUUCCGAAGACUAAACGAUAAGGAUAAGUGCUAAUAGGAGUUUUGUAUGUCGUGCGGUAUACCUACAAUGUGUCAUCUAGCUUCCUUGACCAAUCAAUCAUGUUUGCAUUAACAAUUUUUGGUAGAAUGCUCUUUAUCUCCCGGUUGGAAACCUCAACUUGACCACUUGCUUGGGGAUGAUAAGGUGUGGCCACCUUAUGCUUGACGCUGUAUUUCUCUAGUAGCCCCCUUAACUCCUUAUUACAAAAAUGAGACAUACAAUCACUAAGAAUGGCUCUAGGAGUGCCAAACUGAGUGAAUAUGCUUUUCUUUAAGAAUGUGGUCACACUUCUUGCCGCGUUGUUUGGUAAGGAAAUUGUUUCAACCCAUUUGUACAUAGAAUCCACAGCUACCAAGAUAUAUUUCAUCCCAUAAUAUCUUACAAAGGGACCUAUAAAAUCAAUUCCCCACACGUCGAAGAUUUCUAUCUCCAUCAUAAAGUGCAUUCGCAUUUCAUGGCUUUUGGAGAUUGAUCCUUUACAUUGGCAUUGGUCACAAGCCUUGACCAUUUGAUAGGCAUCAUGAUAGAUCGACGACCAAUAAUAAACACAUUCAAGCACCUUAGCCACCAUUCGAUUUCCCCCAUGGUGACCCCUAACCGGUGAGUCAUGGCAUGACUUUAGAAUUUGUAUAAUCUCUUCUUCUGGAACACACCUUCUGGUGAUGUUGUCAGCACAAACACGGAACAAGAAUGGUUCUUCCCAAUAGUAUUGCCGACAGUCUAUCAAAAAAAAAUUCUUUUGAUAGGAUUCCAAUCCAUCCAGAAUAAGGUCACCAACCAAGUAGUUAGCAAUAUCGGCAUACCAAGGAGCAAAUGUGCUAGAUAGUGCCAAUAUGUGAUCAUCCGGGAAUGCAUCAUUGAUUUCAAGAUCUCCCUUUGGCCUCCCUGCCUCUUCAGGCCUUGAUAAAUGAUCCGCUACUUCAUUUUGAGUUCCCUUGCGAUCCUUGACCUCGAAGUCAAUUUAUUGCAACAACAAGACCCAUCGAAUCAACCGAGGUUUUGCAUCCUUCUUUGCCAUGAGAUAGUGAAGAGCAGCAUGAUCUGGGUACCCUAUCACAUUAGAUCCCACCAAAUAAUCCCGAAACUUCUCAAAGGCAUAAACAAUUGUCAAAAGUUCUUGCUCAGUCACUUUGUAAUUCAUUUGCGCUCUAUUGAGUGUCUUGCUUGCAUAAUAGACCGGGUGGAGGACCUUGUUGUCAAUUUGGCCAAGCAUUGAUCCAAUAGUUACACCACUUAUGUGACACAUGAGUUCGAAAGGAAGAUACCAAUCGGGUGUGACAAGAAUAGGUGUCGUGGUGAGCCUUUGCUUCAAUUCCUCAAAGGCUCUGAGGCAUUUCUCCUCAGACACAAAUUUUGCAUCUUUCUCAAGGAGUUUGCACAUAGGAUUUGUAAUCUUGGAAAUAUCCUUGAUGAAACGCAUAUAGAAUUCGCCAUGCCCCUAGAAACUUCAGACACCUUUAACGUAAAUAGGUGGAGGAAGAUUGGAAAUAAUCUCGAUCUUUGCCCGGUCAACUUCUAUGCCAUGUUUUGAAAUUUUAUGCCCCAAUACAAUGCUUUCAUCCACCAUGAAAUGGUAUUUUUCCCAAUUGAGCACAAGGUUGGUCUCCUCACAUCUCUUAAGAACUUGUCUAAUAUUAUUAAGACAAUGCUCAAAAGAGUCACCUACCACCGAGAAGUCAUCCAUGAAACCUCUAGAAAAUCCUCCACCAUGUCGGAAAAAAUGGACAUCAUGCAUCUUUAAAAAGUACCCGGAGCGUUACACAAACCAAAUGGCAUCCGUCUAAAGGCAAAAGUUCCAUAAGGACAAGUGAAUGAUGUCUUCUCUUGAUCCUCAAAUGCUAUGUUGAUUUGGUUGUAGCCGGAAUAUCCAUCAAGAAAGUAAUAGAAUGACCUUCCCGCUAGGCGAUGAAGCAUUUGAUCAAUAAAAGGCAUAGGGAAAUGGUCUUUGCAUGUGACACUAUUGAGCUUCUGAUAAUCCAUACACACCCUCCAUCCGCUCACCGUUCUUGUAGGGAUGAGCUCAUUUUUAUCAUUUUCAACCACUAUCAUGCCUCCCUUUUUCAGCACACAUUGAACCGGGUUCACCCAAGAACUAUGGGCAAUGGGGUAGACUACCCCGGCAUCCAACCACUUGAUGAUUUCUUUCUUUACCACCUCUUGUAUGGAUGGGUUAAACCGUCGUUGAUGUUCCACACUUGGUUUCGUCUCACUCUCCAAUUAGAUGUUGUGUUCGCAAAUUUCGGGGGAGGGGGGGGGAUCCCUCGGAUAUCUACAAUUGUCCAUCCAAUAGCUUGCCUAUGCUCCUUCAAGACUUCCAACAAUUGUUCUACCUUCACAUCAUUCAACAAUGAAGAAACGAUUACCGGUAAAGUAUCAUUUGAGCCAAGAAAUUUAUACCUCAAGUGUGGUGGAAGUGGUUUGAGCUCUAGUUUGGUGGCUCGAUAAUAGAAGGCUUUGUGGGAGGAGUGGUUGUAUUCUCCAAGUCAAGAGAGAGCUUUGUCGGAGCAUAAGUGUAAGACCCAAGCCCCUCCAAUGCAUUUACCGAUUCCAUAUAUCCUUCCAUAUCUUCACCAUCAAAGUUCACCAAAAUAUCCACCAACGCCUCACCGAGGCAUUGUUCUUCCAUCUUCAUUUCAACCGCAUCUUCCACUUUAUCAACAACAUCAAUCACCAAGAUUCUAUCAUAUUCAUGUGGUAGUUUCAUACCCUUGCUUGGUUGGAAUGUAACCUCUUUAUCAUUCACACAAAAUUUGAUCUCAUUCCGUUCCGAAUCCAUUAAUGCUCUUCAUGUGGCUUGGAAUGGUCUCCCCAAAAUUAUAGGGAUCUCUUUGUCAACCGCACAAUCAAGGAUUACGAAAUCAGCGGGUGAAUGAAACUUUCCCACUUUAACAAGUUCAUAAUCAACAAUUCCCACCGGUCUUUUUAUGGAACCAUCAGCCAUUUGCAAUCUCAUACUUGUGGUCCUUGAUAUACUUAACCCUGCUUUCUUGUAAAUGGAAAGAGGCAUCAAGUUUAUAAUAGCCCCAUUAUCACAAAGGGCUCUUGCAAAAUCAUGUGUCCCAAUGGUACAAGGAAUGGUGAAAGCUCCCGGGUCUUCUUUCUUUUGAACGGUGGAUGUUGCAAUGAUGGAACUAACCCGGUAAGUCAGAUUCACCACUUUAUUUUUGGUGGUUCUCUUCUUGUUAAUAAAGUCUUUCAAAUCUUUAGCAAAACUUAGCAUCUCUUGAAAUACUUCCACAAAUGGAAUAUUCACCGAUAAUUGCUUGAUAAUGUCGUAGAACUUUUCGAGUAUGCUAUCAUCAACCGUCCUAGCGAGUCUUUCAGGGAAUGGAGGAGUAGGUCUAGGAAUAGGUGGAAGAGUUUUUUGUGUCUCUUUUACCCUUUUCUUUACCUCUUCCUGGUUCUCUUUUUGCACUUGCAAAUCUUCCGGAAUCUUCUCAACUUCGACCACAUUUGGCUCUUCAACCGCAACCCGUUGUUUGGACACUUCUACCUCAGCCACUUGUUCACCCUCUCCUUGUAGUACCUUCCCACUCCGAGAAGUAAUUGCCAUGACAUGAGAAGUUGGGCCACUCCCACUACACCUUUGGUUUGCAACUGUGUCACUAGGGAGUGUUCCCUUUUGCUUUGGAUUUUGUUCCCUAGAGAGGUCUCUCAUUUGCAUCUCCAAUUUUUGAAUGGAUGUGGCAUGAGAGCCAACAAGCUCGGUCAUGUUCCUCAUAGAAGUGUCAGAUUUCUCUUGAUUUUGCAAUACCUGUUCAAGCAUGCCUUCAAACUUAGAUUCACUCGAGGAACCUUGAUUUGAAUAUUGACCCUUUGGAGGAACAUAAGGGUUUGAACUCCGGUUUGUGAAGUUGUUGUUGUUGUUCCAAUAUCCUUGAUUUGAGUCACCUUGGUCCUUUUGCCAUUGUUGGUUGCCUUGCCCUUGCAGGUUUGGCCUCCAUUGAUUUUGUUGUCCUUGACCUUGGUAUUGUUGUUUUUGACACCCUCCUUGAGGGUUUUUGAUAUAGUUUGCUUCCUCAAAAUCAUCAUUUGAUAUAGGUUGCACAUCCUCCACCACAUUCACCUUUUUUGUUUGACUUUCCGUGAACAUUUUUGUCAACACGUUGACAUUUGUGGCAAGCCCUGCAAUUACUUGAUCUCUCUCUUGAUUCUCUUUAAUUAGGUUGGACAAGGAGGGAGAACCAUAUGCAAUUCCACCUGUGGUGUCCUCGGAGUGCCAAGCUUGAUUAUGUUGUGCCAUUUUGUCAAGGUUCUGUGUAACCCUUGUGAAUGCCUUGUCCAUAAAAGAUCUGUCAGCUGCAUUCUUGGCUAUAGAUUGGUUCAUCGGAUCUUGGCCCAUGUAGAAUUUUUCCAACAAGAUGGAAUCCUGAAAACCAUGAGUGGGAGACCUCACCAAAUAUAAUUUGAACAGACCCCAUGCCUCAUGUAGAUGUUCUCCGGGUACUUGCUUGAAAAAGAAGAUUUUAUCCCGGAGCUCAGAUUUCUUACUUUGAGGGAACCAUUUAGCUAAGAAUGCUUGGACAAGUUCGGCCCAAGAAUGAAUGGAGUUUUGUGGCAGAUUUUGAAGCCAUUUCCUUGUGUCCCCAACUAUUAAGUACUUGAAGCACCUCAACCUUAAGGCAUCAGCUGUGACAUUGUUUUUCUUGUGCAUCACACACACACCCAAGAAGUUUCUAAGAUGUUGUGUCAGAUCAUCAUCACUGGUAUUCCUGAAAAACCCCUCCGCUUUGAGCAUAAGGAUUAAACCAUGUUCCACCUUAAAAGUUGCAGCGCUAACGACCGGAGGUACAAUAGCAUUUGUAUCCUCAAUGUAAUCCUCUAUGUCAGCAAAAGGAUUUUAUUCCAUUUCCACCUCCAUUUCUUCUUCAUAUUUGGCCAUGUUUUCCUAUCAACGUCAAGCAAAACAAGCAAAGAGUGAUGGAAUAGAAUAAAUCGUAAAGUAAAGCACACACUAAUUAGUAAUUUCAAAAUCGUAUGCCCCGGCAAUGACGCCAAAAUUUGAUACGCUCAAAUUACACUUUAAUUAAAUAGUGUAAGGAAGUCGGUGUCAAAUAUAAUAACCCAACAAGGUUGGGGUCGAAUCCCACAGGGAAUAGGUGUGAAAAGGUUAAUCGAUUAGUGUAUCGCUUGACUUAAGUCGUAAUUCUAUCCGGUUAACUGUAACAAGAGUAUGAUAUGAUAGUGAGUUGAAGAAAUAACUAAUUAUGAUGUUGAGAAUGUAGUUAAUUUCAUUAAAGAAACCAAGUUUGUGUCCCUUUCAAUGACGUGUAAUGCUAUCAAUGUUAAUAUGAUAUAUUUCUAAUGGAAGGUUCUUUUGAUAUGCAAAUAAUUUCUAAAUGACUACCCAAUAAUUUUCAAUAGUUGAGUAUUAUUUCCUCUUUAUGAUUUUUCCAGAUAUAAAAUAGGUAAAAUUAAGAACAAUCAAUGUGUGUCAAAUAAAACUCACUUAUUCCUAAGCGAUUCUAUUAAGCAAAGUUUAAAUCCUUGAGUCUUUAAUAUUUACUCCUACCAAACUCUAACCCACUUUCCCAANNNNNNNNNNNNNNNNNNNNNNNNNACCCAUUAACAUAACACCCAUUUAGGGUCCACAACCUUAGUAUUUAGAGUUAGCUACACAGAUUAGAAUACAAAAGGGAGAGAAUAUUGAAUGCCAUAAAUCUUACAAAGUGCAAGAUUCUUCCUUCAAAAACUUCCAAAAGAGAGGAAUAAUAAAGGCUUGGAUUGUAGCUCCAAAAUCUGGCAAGAUCCCCCCAUAAAACCACAAUAAAUCUAUUUAUAAUGGGUCAAAACUUGGGACAAAAUUUGGACAAAAAUACCCUUUCCAGUUAAAUAUGUGACCGCAUAUCUGUCGCAUAACAGACAUGCGGUCCGCAUUCUUGACAUAGCCAUCACAUCUUCAAACCCUAGUUUCCAGGCCUUCAUCGCAUUGAUGUUUUGCGGUCCGCAUUGUAGAUAUGCGAUUGCAUUUCGCGUUGAAUUUUCUACCUUCUGCAAUCUUUAUGUCGAGUUUGCGGUCCAUUGUGCGGCUCGCAAACAGGUUAUGCGAUUGCAUAUUGGACCGCAUUUUUUGCACUGGACUUUGCCCAGAAAUCUAUUGUGGUUUGCGAUUCCCUUGCGCAUUCUGCGGCUCGCAUGUUGGAUUUGCAAUCGCACAUCCACAUUUGCAAUGCCUUUUUGCUAUUUUCUCGUCUUUUUGUGGCUUUUUGAUUUCAUUUCCAUGCUCUUAAGUCCUUAAACUUCAUACACUAAAAUUACAUAAGUAUAAAAGAUAAUUGCAUCUAAAACAAGCUAAAAUAUAAGCAAUUUGUAUCAAAUGUGCCAAAAUUCUCUGGCACAUCACUAGGCAUCUUGUGCCCACAUUACAAAUCACAAUCACACGGAAGACUCACGUGCUGCAUGGACUACUCAUGUGCCAAUACUUUUAAUUCCUCAUAUCUGCGCGGACAACCCACGUGCUAAGGGAUUGACAAUAUCUCAUAUCUACACGGACAGCUCACGUGCCAACAAUAACGAUAACUCAUUACCGCAUGGACAAUUCACGUGUCAAUAAUAACGAUACCUUAUGACAGCACGGACAACUACAACAACUCAUAAUCGCACGGAUAACUUGCGUGCCAAUAGUAAAACUCUCACACAGAAGGCAAGUAAACGAGAAUACAUGUAAAUGAUCAAUAACCUUCAGGAUUCAUCUUCUUAAUCUGAUAUGAGUGAUUAAUUACGUGUGUGCUUUGCAAGUGUUCUGUCACAACUCAAAUCAACAUGUAAGGGUAAAGACAGCGAAUGAUACAUAGGAAAGAACACAACGAAACAUAAAAUGCAUAACUCACACAAGGUAGGCACACUACUACCCAAAUAUCAUCAAUAACAAUUCCCUCGGGCAAUUACAAGUCAUUACAAAUCAUCCCUGACAUAUUCCCCUUGUCUCUCCACGUGCGUAACAAUAAAGUAAAUGCCCACCAUGUCUCGCUGCAUGCACAUAAUAAUAUUCCCGCUUUGUCUCGCCUCGUGUGUAAACACCCCCCCCCCCCCCACCACACACACAUAUAUAUAUAUAUUUCUUGCCUUUUCAUGCCCUAUGUACGAAUAUCAAUGAUAACAACACUAUACAACAACUCACACCCCAUGUGCAUGCAUGCCAUAAAAUCUCCUCACAAUAAUUCCAAUACCACAACCACACAUAGCCAUCGGCUCAAAGAAACUUAGUACAAUCAACAACAAUAAUAACACGAGAGUACGAUAAGUAAAUUAACACAAGUAUUACAAAACACAAGGAAACGGAAGUACUCACAAUGAAAGACAUGACAAGUAAUAAUGGUUCCAAGAAGAAUAAUUAAACAAUGAGAGAAAUGGUGUGUAACAACGAUAUCAAAUGAUAGUAACUCAACAAUAGAAGAGAUAACAUGUAACAAUGAUUCCAAUUAAGAAAAAACACAACAAUAAGAGAGAUAACAUGUAUCAAUGACAACAAAAUAAGGAUCAGUCAACAAUAGAAGAGAUUACAAUAACAUCAAUUAAGGAUAGUCAACUGCGUAAGAGAUAUCAACAACUUCAAUUAAUGAUAAUCAACUACGAAAGAGAUAACAUGGGUAUAAGACAUGAAAGGAGUACAUGAAAGGGUAGAACAUGAAUCAAUCAGCUUCAAAUAAGACACGGAAGGGUAAAUUUAGCAAUGGAGGAUUUAACAUGAUAAGACAACUUUGUUUUAAUGUACAUAAGAGCCUAAAAGUCUAUCCAGGUUAGAUUUUCACAUAUAAGUCAUGCACAUACUCAUUACCUCGUGUACAUGUCUUUCACAUAGUUCAAAUAGUCCAAACAAACCAAUACCUAGGGGUAGUUUCCCAUAUAACAUUAGGCAAGAUACAUACCUCAAAAGCCCUCAAUCAAUUCUCAAAAAUAGUUGUUCCUUUACAAUUCACCUCCGGUCGGCACAAAUCUAACAAAAAUCGACUUAAUAAUAUCAAAGAAUGUAAAAGAAAUCAAUUCCGAUAAUUAAAGCUAUGAUCUUUACACAUAUGCUCAAAACUCAACAAAAGUUAACCUGGGACUUGCCCGGAAAAAAACAGGAUCCAAUGGUAGAUUUUGUCUACCCAUUACCCCACGAGUUCAUAUAUGUUAUUAGUUUCAAAAUUCGAAUCCAAAUCGACUCUCAAAAUUUAAAUUCUUAUAUUUCAAAAACUUGCCAAAGUUUCACAUAUUUUUGCUUUGAAUCACAUGAUUUUGAGGUUAAAAUCUAAGAUAUAUUGAUGGAAUAUGAUUAGAAAUAUAUUAGACUCACCUACCCAUAUUUUGUAGAUAAAAUUCCCUCUUCAAAAUCGCUUCCUACCGAGUUUAGAUUUCCAAAAUACGAAGAUGAGACUAAAAUUUUGUCCCUCGGCACUUAUGUCCAGUCGUAGACAUCGCAGUUGCGCCAUGUUUCUAAACCCCUCAAAUGAGAAAAAACCAUCACAAAUGUGAGGUCAUUCACACCCCUUCUAUAGUCGCAAAUGUGACAUUACGAUCACAAUUGUGAACCAAAGACUCAUUGCAAAAACGACCAAGUUGGUUGCAAAUACGAAUAAAGCUUUCCAGCCCACCAUCACAAUUAGGAAAAUUUUGUUCGCAAAUGUGAACAUAGCAGUUUCCAACUAAAAUCACAAUUGUGACUCAAUCCUCGCAAUUGCAAGACCUGAAGCUUCUACACAAAACCCGCAGUGCUUAAACUCUACCAAAACAUUCUACAAUGCAUUUGAAACUCGUCCAAGCCCUUGGGCCUCCAAACUAAACAUCAAUAUAAGUCUAAAAACGUAACACAAACUUGUUUGCGCGAUCAAGUCAUCAAAAUUACAUCCAAAACCAUGAUUUGGACCUCAAAACACAAUGAUUUAACAUGAAACUCAAGAUCUUCUAAAAACACAAUGGCUUACAAUGAUGCCAAUGUUUGCGUACAAGUUCUAAAUGACAAAACGAACUUAUUCAAGUUCCGAAAAAGAAAUGCAAACAUGAUAGCUAUGAAGUCAACCUACGGUCAAACUUAUAAAAAUUCAAAGCCUUAAAAUUACUAACUUUCGGCAAAACAACACAAAUCAACCUAUGGACAUCCGAAUUUAAUUUCGAGCAUAUGCCCAACUCAAAAAUCACGAUACGAAUCUAUCAGAGCCAUCAAAAUGCCACUACGAGGUUGUUUCCACAAGUCAAAUCCUUGUCAUAUUUUCAACUUAUGCUUCUAUAGUUAGAAUCACUCAUGCAAAUCCAUUUUGAACCAUCCGAAAAUCAAAUCCGACCAUGCACACAAGUCAUAAUACACAAUAUGUAGCUAUUGAAAACCUCGAACCACUGAAAAGAGUGCUAAGGAUCAAAAUGAUUGGUCGGGUCGUUACAAAUUCACCUGAGCCCAUCGGGACCAACUAAGAACAUCCAUACAAGUAUAUAAACAUCGUACGAACUCGCUCAUACCCUCAAAAAAUCAAAAUAACAUCUAUAACCGCGAUCGAAGCACUAAAACACAUGUAGAAUACCUUCAAAUUCAAGACCUUAAAGAUUCACAACCAAGCGUCUAAUUCAUGCCUAACUAACUCGGAAUGCAACCACACUUUACAAAAAAAAUUCAAAUGACAAAACAGACCUAUUUAAUGUCUUGAAACAACAAUACAAACUAGAUAGCAUCAAAGUCAAACUCCCGAUAAAACUUAUGAACUUUACAAACCUACAAAUUACAUACGUCCGGUGAAUAGAGACAAAACAUCUUAUGAACCUUCACAUCCAUAUCCGAAUAUAUUUCUAAGCCCAAAAUGAUACUACGAACCUAUUGGAAUCAUCAAAUCAUGAAUCUAAGAUCAUUUAUACAAAAGGAUUUUUUUAGUAAAGUCUUACAACUUAAGCUUCCACAAAUGGAAGUAACUAUUUUAAUUCACUCCAAAGCCUUCCUGAAAUCAAAUCAACCAUCCCUGCAAGUCACAAUACAACUGUCAAGCGUACGGAAAAUAUCAAAUAGGAAUAUUGGGCUCAAAUCGGGUUGUAACAAGAUUUUAAGGGACUACUCCAAUCGGGUAUUACAUCAUAAUCCUUCCGUCCUAAUCUAUGUGGCCAAGUUCAAAUUUGUAGCUUAUAGUACUUUUUACGUUGUCUUUAAAUAUAUAAAUUUUAUUUAAGAAACUAAAGAGGCUAUGUUUGAAUAUUCAAUCAAGAUUUUCAAGAAUAAAACUGAAUUUUUCCAAACUUUUCACAUAAUGCAUUGAAACACCCUCGGGUCACCCGAUACACUUACCAAACAUGAGUACAAUUCUGAAAAUACCAUAUUACCUUCCGGAUUGUAAAAAUACUGAUCUGAGAUCGUUUAUCAAAUUGUUGACCGUGGUCAAGACUAUUCGUUUUUAAAUCUAAAUAUCACAUUUUCUUUAAAUUUUCACAUAUGAACUUUCUGAAAAUGGCACGGAGCAUGAACGUGUGAAUCAUAAAUUAUCACAUAAUGCUACAGAAAGUCUCAAAACAUAAAAAAAGAUAGAGUACACAAAACAAUCUAUCGAAUUGUCGCACUCUCCACCUCUAAAAGAAAAGUUGGACUUAGACUCCUACAUAACCUCCUCUUCAAUCACAUAUUUCGAACAUGCCGGUCUAAAAUAGCCACUAACACUUCCCCAUAUGUCAAAUUCUCAUCAAGAUGCACUGUACUGAAAUCAAAAACAUGAAACCUAUCUUCAUGGUACUUCCAAAUAAUAGAAAUGUGAAAUAUAGGAUGUACUCCUACUAGGCUAGGAGGCAAUGCAAGCAUAUAAGUAACCUCUCUAACUCUCUCCAACAUAUCAAAUGGGCCAAUGCAACUUGGACUCAACUUGACCUUCUGCCAAAACUGCAUCACGCCCUUCACUGGUGACACUCGGACAAUAUCCUUCUCCCCUUCCUUGUAAACCACAUCUCCAACCUUUCGGUACGCAUAACAUUUUUGUCUACACUAAGCUGUAUGAAGUCAUUCCCAAAUCACCUUAAACUUCUCGAAAGAAUCCCGAACCAAAUUGGUGCCCAACAAUCUAGCCUCACCAGGCUCAAACCAACAAACCAGUGAAAAUCAUCGUGUCCCAUAUUAGGCCCCGUACGGAAUCAUCUGGAUGCUAGAUUAAUAGCUGUUGUUUUAAGAGAACUCCCCUAGAGGCAAAAAAUAGUUUCACUGACCCCCGAAAUCCGUAGGUCAUGCUUGAAACAUGUCCUUCAAAAUAUGAAUAGGUUCAGAAUGUCCGUCCAUCUGAGGAUGAAAUAGGGCACUCAGCUUAACCGACGUGCCCAAAUUAUGCUGCAUGUCUAUUCAAAAGUAUGAUGUGAACUGCAUGCCCCAGUCAGAAGUGAUGGAAAUGGGCACAUAGUGUAGGCAGAUAAUCUCCCGGAUGUAAAUUUGAGACAACCACUCUGAAUAAUAGGAUUCCAUUAUCGGAAUAAAGUGUGCGAAUAAAUAAGUUUGUAAUUUACCAACUUAUCUCUUCUUAAUACUUAGGCUUUUGUAUGAUUUUGAUGAGAAACGAAGGCUUUUCCUGAGGUUUAUUGGCAUAUUUAAAGUAUCAUAUCAUUUGGAAAAGAUACGGAAGAAAACAAGUCGAAAGGUGCUAAAAAGAAAAAGGGACCACUGCCAGUGAUUACCCUAUGCGAUCGUAGAAACGUGUAUGCGAUCCUAGAAGUCCAUUAUGGCAAAGAGAUGUGAACGCGGUGAAUCAGUGCGAACGUGAAUAAGAAAUUCCGGUCAACGGUUAGUCAAGUAAGCUACACGAACAUGGGAUAGUGUACGCGAUCGCGUACCUUUGGAGAAGUUAUUAACGCGGGUGUCUGUACACGAACGCAUAGCACGUUUUCUGGGCAGUUCUGGGUAGCAAUGGAAUUUCACAUUUUUGAUCCCAAACUAUUUAAUAUACGACCUUGCUCAUUUGUAAAACAUCUUUGGACAUCUUUGGGCAGUCUUUGACCUAUUUUGAGAGAAUAACACAAGUUUUGGAGCUAGAGUUCUUGCACACACACUUGGGUCUUGAAGAUUUGAAGCUUUUGGUUGAGAAUUUCUUACCCAUUUAUGUUCAUUUCUUCAUUUCCUUGCUUUGUACUGAAUAUCUAAGUGUGUAAAAUUUAUUCCAACACUUGAAUCUUGUUUAUGAAAAUAUUCAUGUUUAAAGUGAGUAUUAAAUAUCUUGUUGUGUUUAUGUAUUGAAUGAUUUUUAUCUUUUAUGAAGCAAGUUAUUGUUUCAUUAAUUAUUCUUGAUCAUUAAUGUUUCCAAAGGGAUUAGCUAACCCUAGGACUCGCCCAUUAACUUCGAAUUAAUGUUGGAAAAUAUUAUUUGAGGUUGGGAAAGAUUAAUUAACAAGAACUUGAGGCUUUAACCCUAAUUUUAUAGAUUGUACCUAGGGAUAGGAUUGAACUACUUGUAGCCAAAAUUGGGUGUGCUUAAUCUCCUAAUUGUUUUAAUGAUAAUUCAAUUAGGAAGACUUGUUAGUCUUUGGAAGAAGCUAAUAUAGAAUUAUUACCCGAGGCUAAUUAAUAUAAACUCGCUCAUAUUUGUAAAAUCGUCAAAUACAUUGGAUCGUUACUUGAGUGUAAUUCCCCAUGUAUCCAUGCUUGUAGCCAUUGAUCAUUUUACUUGUGUCUAGGUUAGUAAAUUUCCGCAAUUAGAUAUAAAUAUUUUUUCACAACAAUUCCAAGUGUUUGGCAUUGCAUAACAAGUGAUAAUUUUCAUACAUUCCUAAUAGCCUACAUAUUGUUCUCUGUGGGAUUCGACCUCGACUAAUAGUUGGGUAAAUUAUAUUGCAUGAUACCGUGUCCAUUUCCUUUUUAGUAGUGGAUUUGGACGUCAUCACAAACUUAGACAACUGAUCCACAAUAACCCAAACAAUGUCAUACUUUCCCAAGGUUCGUGGUAAGCCUAUCACAAAGUCCAUAGUAAUGCACUCCCAUUUCAACUCUGGCAUCUCCAAUUCUUAGUCAACCCACUCAGUUUCUUAUGUUCAUACUUCACCUAAUGGCAAUCCAAACACUGAGAGAUGUGACCAACAAUAUAUUUCUUCAUCUUCUGCCAAAAAUAGUGCUGUUUCAAGUCAUGAUACAUCUUCUGCACACAUGGGGGAAUGAAAUACCUUGAAUUGUGAGCAUCAUCAAGGGUCAACUCUCUCAACACAUCAAUAUUUAGAACACAAAUAUGUCCCUGAAGCAGGAUAACACCAUGUUCUCCAAUCACAACCUCUUUGGCACCACCCCUACUGCAUCAUGUCUUUCAACAACAUGUGAGGAUCAUCAAACUAGAGAGCCUUGAUGUGCUCCAACAACAAUGAAUGUGCCACAACACAAUCAAGAACUCUACUAGACUUCGAAACAUUCAAUUUCAUAAUUGGCUUGCCAAAGCUUGAACAUCCAUGGCUAAUGGCCUCUCCACUACCAACAAAAUGCCAAACUGCCCAUGCUUUCUACCUUCCUAUUCAAUACAUCGACCACUACAUUGGCCUUCCUCAGUUGAUAUAUUAUGGUGAUAUUAUAGUCUUUUAGUAACUCUAACCAUCUCCACUGCUGCAAAUUAAGGUCCUUCUACUUGAAUAGGUGAUGGAGAAUCCAAGGAUCAAUAUAGCCCACACAUGGAACACCGUAUAGAUAGUGCCUCCAAAUCUUGAGCACGUGAACAAUGAUUGCCAACUAUAAAGCAUGCACAUGGUAAUUCUUCACAUGAACCUUCAACUGACGGGGUGCAUAGGCAAACAUCCUACUAUCUUGCAUCAAUACCCCACCAAGUCCAAUACGUAAUUCAUCACAAUAGAUGGUGUAAGAGCUUGAACCUAUGGAAAACACUAACACUAGUUGUAGUCAAGGCAGUCUUGAGCUUCUAAAUGCUCCCCUCACACUCGUCAAACCAUCUAAAAAGAGCGCCCUUCUAGAUCAAGUUUGUCAAUGGGGAUGAGAUAGAUAGAAAACCCCUCCACUAGCAAGCGAUAAUAACCUGCCAAACCUAAAAAGCUCUGAAUCUCUAUAGCUAAAGUAGGUCUAGGCUAGUUUUGAACUGCCUCAAUCUUCUUAGGAUCCACCACGAUACCUUCAAAAGAUACAACAUGACCAAAUAAGGCAACACAAUCUAACUAGAAUUUAUACUUCAAAUACUUGGCAUAUAACCGAUGAUCCUUCAAAGUCUGAAGUACUACCCGUAGGUGCUGCUCAUGCUACUUUCGACAGCAAGAGUAAACAAAAAUGUCAUCAAUGGAGACAAUCACAAAGGAAUUCAAAUAUGUAUUGAACACUUGGUUCAUCAAAUCUAUAAGGCUACUGAAGAAUUAGUCAAACCAAAUGACAUCACCACAAACUUGUAAUGACAAUAACGAGUCCGACAAGCUAUCUUAGGGACGUUCAAUGCCCUAAUCUUCACCUAGUGGUAGCUAUAUCUCAAAUCAAUCUUGUAAACACCUUGGCACCCAAAAGCUGGUCAAAUAAGUCAUCAAUCCUCAGCAGCGAAUACUUGUUCUUGAUAGUAACCUUGUUGAACUACCGAUAAUCUAUUCACAAUCUCAUCGAUCCAUCCUUUUUCUUCACAAACAUCUCGGGAACACCCCAAGGCGGGACACUAAGUAUAAUGAAUCCCUUGUCAAUCAAAUCUUGCAACUGAUCCUUCAAUUCUUUCAACUCAACUAGAGCCCUAAAGUACGGUGGAAUAGAAGUAAGUGGAAUGCCCGAAAUCAAAUCAAUGCAAAAGUUGAUACCCCUGUCGGGUGGAAUACCCAACAAAUCUGUAGGAAUGCCUCAGAAAUCUCGCUCACAACCAAUAUCAAAUCCAUAGAAGGGACAUACAUACUAGAGUCACAUAUAUAAGCCAAAUACGCCAAACACCCCUUCUCGACCAUAUGUCGAGCCUUCAAAUAUGAAACAUCCUCCUAGUGCAGCGACCAAGUGUCCCUCUACACUAUAAUCUAGGCCACCCCGGCAUGGCUAAAGUCAUAGUCAUGUCAUGACAAUCGAAGAUAGCAUGAUAUGGGGACAACUAAUCCAUACCAAGAAUGUCCUAAAAAUCUACCAUGUCCAAUAACAAAAGGUCAACUAGAGUAUUAUAACCAUUAAUAGUAUAAACACUAGUCCUGUACAACUAAUCAACUACUAUAGAAUCUUCAACUACUGUAGACAUAGAAUCAGGAACAUCAAGAGAAUCACAUGGCAUAUCUAAAUGCGCAGUAAAAUAUAAAGACACAUAAGAAUAUGUAGAACUUGGAUCAAACAACAUGAAAGCAUCUAUAUGACCUCCACCUCUUGGAUGACCUCUUACUGGUUGUCCUCCACCCCUGAUUAUUUGACCUCCACUCGAGAUGCCUGACCACCUCCUCUAGAUGGUUGAGUGAGUAGUAGAGUAACUGAUGCUAGAACUAUUGAAUGAGUCCCCUAUUGUGGCUGAGUGCUCUAAUGUCUGGGACAAUACCUUCUAAUAUGUACCGUAUCUCCACACUCAAAGAAUUUUCUAAGCUGGAGCAACUGCUAAAUUUGAGACUAACCAUGAUGAUUCGAUUAACCACUAUGAUAACUCAAAAUUAAUGGUGCAUUAAUGGGAGCUGAAGGUGUACUUAAUAGUAGCUUCUCAGAACGAGACCCAUAAGCACUAUGACUAGCUGAAGUACUAUCUACAUCCUACAGAGCUGAUUGAAUCAGGCGGAUAGGAUGUCCUCUACCAAAAGGAACCCCUACCUCCAGAUGAGGCACGACUGAAUCCCCCAAAAUGAUGGGGCCUCUUAUCAAAGGCUGUCUCCCUAGCCUGUCCCCUAAUAUGAUCGAUACUUAGGGCAAUCUCCAUUGCCCGGGUAAAAGAAAUAUCAUUCUCGACGCUCUGGCCAUCUAAAGCUUGAUGACAUCUGUAAGGCUAUCUAUGAACCUCCACACCUUUUCCCUCAAAUUAGCAACCAGGAUAGCUGCAUGGUAUGAUAAAUCCACAUAUCUAGUCUCAUAGUGAGUAAAGAUCAUGCUUAACUACUAAAGACACUCAAACUGGCUGCGAAACUCCUCUCUCUAAGUGAAGGGAGUGAACUUCUCCAAGAAAAACUGUGAGAAUUGAGCCCAUGUGAGAGGAGGUUAAUCGGCCGGCCUACCAUGAACAUACACCUGCCACCACCUCUUGGUAGAACCAUGCAUAUGAAACAAACAUAAAAUCAACUACGUUCCCAUGUUGCGUAGUAUCUCAUGAAAACGGUCCAAAAGAUCAUAGGGGGUCUCGGAAGGUGCACCACUAAAGUGGGGGGAAAUAACUUGGUGAACUUAUCAAACCUUUCCAUCCCCUUAGCUGACAUCACAAGUCUUUCCUCGGACUGUGUCACAAUAACAUGCUAAACUGCUCCAACUAGUAGAACUGAUAGGGUCUAAUACCCGUGAGUCAUCUUCUCUAGUAGCGGGAGUUUGGGCUCCUCCCCCAGUCUGAGAAAUAAUUGAUGCAAUAGGAAACACACCAGCAUGUGCCAUACUCUCCAUCAGGCCAACCAUGCAUAUUAAGGCAUCCGAAAGCACCGGGGUAGUAAUGAACCCCUCUAGGACAUGAGUUGGUCCUACUGGCUCAGUUGAAACAUUGAUCUCAUCAUCCUACUCUAUCUAACGCUCAAAAAUAGGUGCCACUACGCAUGCUCUACGUUGAGCUCGGGCUCUACCUCGGCCCCGACCUCUACCGCUAGUAGUGGCUACAACCUGGGGAACCGACUCUUGAUCACUUAUGGAUGUCGUAUGUGUACUCGCCAUCUUUGUGAGAACAAGAGUAGAAUGAUUCAAACUCAAUGAGAGAACAAAUUAUCAUGAUAGAGAAAGCAAGAAAGCAAAAUUUUCUAAUGCCUUAUAGCCCCUAGAAGAUAAAUACAGAUAUCUCUGUACCGAUCCACAAAACAUUACUAAGGUCACUUAUGACUCGUGAGACCAUGGAACACUAGUGCUCUGAUACCACCUUCUCAUGAUAAAAAAUCUAAAACACGAGGCCAUCAUGGCGCCUAACAUCCGCUAGCUAGGUAAGCAAACACAAGCUAAAUAGUUAAUCAAUUUAAAAAUUUAAAAGCAACAUUUUUAAGAAAAUAUGACUGAAAUUCCCUAAAAUAUAUAAUAAAUCCAUACACGACAAAGUCUAAUCUAAUCCCAAAAAUAGGUGUCACAAGUAUAUGGGCUGAAAGAAUACUACAAACAGAGUCUGAAAUGAAAUAUAAUUGUCCGAAAUGAAAUAAACAAUAAUAUAGAUAGGAAGGGGACUUUAGAGUCUACAAAUUCUGUGCAGUUCCAAGCAGUCUCUACUACGCGCCGUAGGGACCAACACCGGGAUAUGCAUAAGAUUUGCAUAUGUAUAGUAUGAGUACAACUGACCCCAUGCACUCUAUAAGUACCGAGCCUAACCUCGAUAAAAUAGUGAUGAGGCUUUGACAAGACACUCAUUAUAAACUCGUGCAUAUAUAAGUAGAAAACAAUAAAGGAAUAGAGAAACAACUAAGUAACAUGAUAACCUAAAUAAGAAAUACAUUAUAGAGUGCCCUAGAAUAACAUCACGACUCAGUUUCACAAAAUAAUAUGGUAAUGAAAACCAACAACUAAGAUUAACAAUAACCCAACUCCUCGGUUGUGGCGCGUAACUCGAUCCACAUACAUAAUACUAAUACAAUUAUAACGUGCAACCCAAUCAAUAUAUCUAUGUAAGACCGUUGCAGUGUUCAACCCAAUCCACGUAUAUAUAAUACAGUUUCAACAUGCAACCCAAUUCACAUAUAUGUAUAUAAUACAUUUGUGGCACACAACUCAAUCCACAUAUGUAUAUAAUACCAUUGCGGCGUGGAACCCAAUUCACACACACACACACACACACACACACAUAUAUAUAUAUAUAUAUUACGGCACGGAAACCGGUCCCCAUAUAGACAUAUAUAAUACAACCUACUCAACGUAUAUCACAACGUACAUAAAAAUAAACAACACCUAUAAUUUCUGUAAGAGAAUACAAUAUAACAAUUUAUAUUAAAAUAGAAAGCAAGUAAAAACAAAUGAAUAAGUAAAGGCACGAAACAAGUAAUAACAUCUAUUUAAUAACUUGUAGAGCAUCGAAUAAGUAAAUGCGGACAAUAACUAAAGGCAUGGAUACAUGGACCAUGUAGCAAAUAGAGGCAUGUAACAAGUAAAGACAUGUAUUUGACAAGUAUGGACAUGUAGUAAUUUAAACAUAAAACGAGUAAUAACUUUGAAUAAAAGAAGACAUAAUAUAAUUAAAAGCAUGUAAUUAAGUGGUCCUAUCCGAAUGCUUAAUCCCAUGACAAUGCAUAUACACUCAUCACCAUGCAUAUACGUUGUCCUACACAUAAAUCAAGUAGCAGAUAGACCAAUAAAGUCCUAAUUCUCUCAUGUCAAAAUUAACCACGACACUUACUUCUUUCUGGAAAUAAGUCAACAAUCCAACAUGGAUUUCCCUCUUUAACUAGCUUCCAAACCAAUCAAAUCUAGUCAAAUAUUAUUCAAACAUAUCAAAACAAUCUUUAGAAACUACCCUCGUAUGAUAAAUGUUCAAUCUUCAUCAUAAUUGAAAAAGUCAACAAAAAAUCAACUCCAACCCAUGUCGUCAAAAUCGGAGAUUAGCAUUUGUUUGUUUCGAAACAAAACAAUUGAAGGUCUAAAUCUGGAUUGGUGAUUUGUUUCGAAAUCUAACCACAAUUCGAGGUCUAAAUCUUAGUUUUAUAAAAUUUCUAACUUAUAUCCAUAAUUCCCAAUUGCUACUUUAAAAUUUAUUAAUUUAAUGAUAAAAUAAUUGAAAUUGAUUGGAAACAAAUUAAAGUUGCUUACCAAUGAAUUUGGAAAAAUACUGCUCUACAAAAAUCAUCUUUAUGGAGUUUAGGGUUCAAAGAUGGUGUAAAAUAUGCUAAGUACCCAACAUUCAUCCAGUUACGGAUGUCACAUUUGCGAACUCUUGUUCGCAAUUGCGACUGUCGCAAAAGGGAAUCACUAAUCGCAAAUGCAAUUAGUGUCUAAGCCCAUCUGUUAUCGCAAAUGUGACAAAACCCUCAUUAUUGUGAAGUCCGAAGCCAUCACAAAUGCGGUAAAAGCUUCACACUUUGCAAAACAGUACAUAGCCUCCAAUUAUUGCUGAAGCGACACCAGGUCACAAAUGCGAGUCACCCCUUGUUCGCAAAUCCGAUGAAUUCUUUACAAAUGUAAAGAUCCACCCCCCUGUUCUUCUUCGCAUUUGCGAGCCUAACAUUGUAAUUGUGAGAGAUGUAGAUCAAUACCCACAAAUUUUGCAUCAGCAGUUUAAAUAAUUCCAAAACACGUCUGAAACUUGGCCGAGCCCCCAAGCUCCAAUCCAAAUAUUCACACAAGUGUAAUAAUAUCUUGAAAGCCGCUCUCUAACUCAAAUCAUCAAAAUAACAUCAAAUAUCAAGAAUCGGUCAUCAAAACUCAAGAUUAAAAAGUUUAAAACUAAAUUUUCUAACUUUGCACAUAAUGCGCUGAAACGACCUCGGGUCACUCGGAACCCCAACCAAACAUACAAGUCCAAUAAUAACAUACAAGCCUACAAGAAUUGUCAAAAUAAUGAUAUGAUAUCGUUUACCAAAAAUAAUGACCAUGGUCAACUCUAGACAUUUUUAAAACAAAAAACUACAUUUUCUUUAAAUUUGUACAUUUGAACUUUUCAGAAAAUGAUACAGACCAUGCGCGCGAGUCAUAAAUCCUCAAAUGAAGCUAUUGUAGAUCUUGGAACACAAAUAAAGGAGUUAUUUCUCAAAAGAACCUAUUGACUCGUCACAUGAAAUUUCAUUUAUAGAAAUAGAUAUCAAUUUUGUUUUGGAAAUUUGUCAAUACCAUUUAAUUAUUCACAAAUAGUCGGAUUAGCAUGACCUUGCAUUACAUUUACUCUAUCCAAAUUAUUCAAUUGCUCACAAAUCCUACUGAAUUGGCAUGACUUUGUGAAUAUUCAAUUGUUCAUCCAAUUUACUAUAUUUUCAUCAUAUUGUGUUACUUGUAUUUGAUCUAUUUGUUAAGGUUUUCAUAAACUCUACUCAAUUGGCAUGAUUUUGUGAUUGUUCUAUUUUUCAGCAAACUAUAGCAUAUUAAUAUGACUUCUUUGUUAUCUACUUCACUCUAUUUGUUAUAUUAAUAAAUUCUAGCCAAUUGGAAUGGCUUUAUAGUUGUUCCAAUGUUAACCAAACUCUAACAUAUUGGCAUGAAUUUGUGUUAUCUACAUUUGACUAACUUGUUCGAUUUGUCCACAAACUCUACCAGAUCGGCAUAACUUUUUGAUUGCUUAAUUGUUCACCAAAUUCUAUCAUAUUGGCAUGACUUUGUGUUAUUUAUAAUCAUUCGACUUGAUAAAUUUUUUCACAAAUUUUACCCAAUUGGCAUGAUUUUGUGAUUGUUCAAUUAUUCUAUCAAAGUCUAUAAUAUUGGCAUGACUUUGUGCUAUGUGCAUUCGAUAACUUAUUCAAUUGUUCACAAACUCUACCAUUUCAGCAUGACUAUGUGAUUGAUCAAUUGUUAACCAAACAUUGGCAUGAUUUUGUGUUGUAUGCAUUCGGCUUAUUUGUUAAAUUAUUCACAAAUUCUGCUCGAUUAACAUGAGUUUUUGAUUAUUCAAUUGUUCUACCAAACUGUAUCAUAUUGGCAUGACUUUAGUGUUAUCUACGAAUUCUUCACAAACUCUAUCAGAUUGGUAUGACUUUGUGAUUGUCAAUUGUUUAACAAACUAUAUCAUAUUGUUAUGGCUUUGUGUUUCUGCAUUCAAUCUAUUUGUUAAAUCAUAAACAAUUUACUCGUUUGGUAUGAUUUACUUGUGUUGGUCAUGAACCAAAAUCGCACCAAAUGUCUUGAUGGAACUUAGCCCCAGUGUUAAGUAAGUCAAUAUCCAAACAUAGAGCAAAGUAAACAUAAUAAGAUAUAAUAUAAUGGUUAUAACAUAAAUACGUGAGAUGAGUCCUUCAAUGGAAUCAGACAUAGAAAUGCUAUGACAAUACUACACCAAAACCUAGUAUUACGGAGUUAUAAGCUCUAAAACAAGAUACAACAAAAUCUCUCAAUAAUACAAAUAUUAUCUUAAAUGUAAAUAACAGUAUGAUAAAAGAAAUAAGGGACUCCAAGGGUUUGCAGAUGACCAUGCAACACUACCUUAAGUCUCAUAUAUCUACUACUAGGCACCCUCUUGAGGUCCCCUCGAACCAAUGCCAAAAUCUGCUAAAAAAUAUACAUAAGUGUAGUAUGAAUACGAAACAACGUCUACUCAGUAAGUACCAAGGCUAACCUCAGUGAAAUAGUGACGAGGUUAAAUUCAUACGAUACCUACUAAUAAAUAAAUUUAUACAAUUCAUAUUUAUACACCAUAAGGUUAUGGAAAGAGAUAUGAUACUAUAAAAGAAUAAAUCAUAAGAUAUCAACUUAACAUGGAUAAUUCCAUCUCGUCUAUCAAGUCCAUAUCAUAUAUCAUAGGCAUGAAGUAGCAUGUCAGAAAAUAAACAUAAAAAGCAUACGGUAUGCAUGAUAUAGCACAAAUGAUUCAUUUGAAUGGUCAAAGCUACCACCCAUAUGCUCAAAACUCACCACAUCAUAUUUCAUAUCAUAAUCAACCAGAAAUGUAUCAAUUUCUCACAACAUGUGUGUAUGCUAUCAAGAGAGAAGCUUGAGAGGGCAAACCUAUAGGGAUGGAUCCAUAUUCAUACACUGCAGGAAAAAGAACUUGUGCCAUAACAAUAACAAUAUCACCAUAACUGGAUGACAAAAACCUCGUGCCACAUCAAAAUCAAUCCGCUCACCAUGUCUAAAUGUGCCAUAAUCAUAGCAAUCCGUAAUAAUAUUUCAUCUCCACAGAUUCAUAUGCUCAUAGAUAAUCAAUAAGACGAACAAGAAUAUGAUAAAUAAAAAUAUGGAUGUGUGCACAAGAUAGAAAGUAUGACUACGACUAAAUUGAGCAUACCAACAAUUUCACAAAUAGCUCUUUUUGGCAAAUUAAGAUGGAGUAAUUAUAAAUAUGGUUACUACCAUGAAGAAUAUGUUCAUGUAGUCAUACAAUCAAUUAAACAAAAUUAAUGAAAGACACAUAAACAAACAAGGGAUAAUGAAAGCCUAAAUUCUAACCCGGACAUAUAUAACCCUUAGCACCCAAAUAAACGCUCGUCAUCUCGCAUAUACAUUGCUCCCUCACAUAUUUUAAUUAAGCAAACAUGGUCAUAUCCUAAAAGUUAUUUUCUCAAACCAAGAUUAGGCAAGAUACAUACUGGCAUGACCUAAAUCCCAAUAUGUUGUAAUGGCGCCUACCAUAGUCUAGGCAAGCUGAUAAUCACAAAUAACUAUGCAUUUUAAAUUAAAAACAUGAUGGAAUAAGUUUAACAGGAAAAAUCUCAUAAAACCGAUAAGAUUAACUGCUACUCAAAUACAAAAUCUCCAAAAUCCGGGUGUCAUUGAGUUCAUGAGCUACUAAAUGAUAACAUAGUCAAAACUUCUAAUAAAACUAUCUAGAAAGAUAGAACAAUGCUAAAUCAACUAACACGAAGGAGAGUCGAGGUCCGCGGAUGCCAAAGCAACUACCUCAAUAGUCUCCAAGUAGGUAAUGUUCCAAGUCUAGCAACCACAGGGUCCAGAUGUACCUGGAUCUGCACACGAAGUGUAUAGUGUAAUAUGAUUACAACCGAUCCAAUAUACUCAAUAUGUAACAUGACUAUCCUUGGGUUGAAAGCGGUGACGAGCUCAAAAAGGCACAGUCCAAAUUCAGAUAAUAACAAUAUGGUAUAACGAGGAAAUAAUAGUACUACUCAGAUGAAAUCUCAAAAUCAAUUUAUACACAGUACGAAAAUAUUGACAUGCUUUCGAAUUCAACAAUUAAGCUAAAUACUGGUAAGAUAUGCCAAAUAUAGCUAGAAUGAGGAAUGUUACAUCUCUAUGCCUACAUAAACAAAUAUGGAUGUCAAAUCCAAUGCAUCACAAUGAUACUCACAUGUACUCACUCUUAGAGUACUCAAUCCUACUGUCACAACUCAUACUCAUCACACUCAGUCACUCAACACUAUACGGUACCUGUACUCACUGCUGGUAUGUCAAACUCUGAAGAGGCGGAUCCUGCCCAAGUGCUAAUAAAAUAUUGGACGGCGUGCAACACGAUCCUAUCAUGAAUCAAUAAUACCUAAUGCAGCGUGCAACCUGAUCCCAUCAUGAAUUAAUAAAACAUGUUGCGGCACGUAGCCUGAUCCCAUCAAUAACACUUGCAAUCCAGCCCUGAUGCCCCAACUCAGUCAUCAAACUCUGCAGCCUGUCGGGCUCAACAAUCUUAUACGAAUCAGCCCAAACAAUGAUGAUAUGAUGUAACAAUAAGUAACAACAAAAACUAAGAUAUGAAUGAUUCAACAACAUAAAUGACCUCAGCGGGUCCCAAUAGAAUAAGCAUAUAACAUAAACAUGAUUUCUAACAUGCAUUGCAGUUCAAUUACUCUAACAUGUAUGGAUUACAUGAAUAACAAUAAGGUUUGAUAUCUAUAUGGCACUACAUAAUCAACUAAGUCACAAUCACUGCGGUGCAAGACUACACGCCUAUUACCUAGCAUGCGUGUCACCUCAAUACCAACCACAUAACACGUAUUUCAAGGAUUCAUACCCUCAGAAUCUUUGACUAGUGAAUCUUUUGCUUUUCGGGUGGUGUCAAACAAAGGUGCUUGCAUUAAAGGAGAUGACCGCCUACAGGGCGUAGCUUGCUUCCCGCCUGAAAGAACCGCUCACUAACUAGCCGUUAGGUUGAUAACCCACAGCGGAAGGCAUUCUACCCAAUAAGGCCAUCCAGUUCCGUGCAAAUCCCUACUCCAACAAGCCUUUGCCUCACGAAUCGGUCCCCGAAUGACUCAAAUCUACCUACAAACAACUUAAUACAAUCAAUACAAGGUCUAGGAAUCAAUUCCAUAUUAUAAAGCUAGGUUCAUCAACAAAAGUCAAAAACUCAACCCGAAAAGUCAAUUCUAGGAUCACGUCUCGGAAUCCAACAAAAUUUAUAAAAUACGAACAUACAUUUAAUAACGAGUCCCACCAUACCAAAAUCACUGAAUUCCGACCUCAAAUCGACACUCAAAUCCCCAGAUCUUACUCUCUAUUGCAUGGGUAAAAAAUCCCCAAAUUCCAACUUAGAUUCAUAAUAAUUAAGUGAAAUAAACAAUGGGUAUUCAAAAUACAUGGAUAAAAGUGAUCAAAAAUCACUUACCUCUUCAGUCUAGGUGAAAACCUCUUAAACAAUCGCCUAAGUCCGCACCCCAAAGCUCUCAACAUGACAAGAAGACUCAAACCCUUGAUUUUAAAUAUCUGCCCAACCCUUUUCACUCCUGUGGACUCAACCGCCGCACCUGUGGCUCCAAUUCUGUGGAAAUCACUUAAGCACACGACCAACUGCAUCUGUGGACAAAUAUUCGCAUAUGCAAAACCGCUUUUGCGGUCCGUGCUUUGCUCAUACGAAUCCACGCUUGCGGAUUCCAAUCCCCUUCUACGAGUCCAGUCCUACCUAUCAAAAUAUGCAUCUACAGAGGCUCGUAGCAUCUGCGGGCCUGCAGAUGUGAAAAAUUCCUUGCACCUGUGACCACUGCCCAACACACACCGAACCGCUCAUGCAACCCCAUGCUCGCUUCUGCUGUCGUGCACAUGCGACACAUUCUUCGCCAGUGCAAUCGCACCUGACCUGAAAGUCUUAUGCAUUUUCCUCGAGUCAAAACAUUAAUCUGAUUACAGUUGAAUCACACUCGAGGCCUCGGGAACCCCAUCCAAACAUGCCAAAAAGUCCUAAAACACGUUACGAACUUAGUCGGCGAUUGAAAUCACAUCAAAUAACGUCAAAAACACAAAUCGCACUUCAAGCCUAUUCAAACUAAUGGAUUUCCAACUUCUACAAUCGAUGCAGAUACCUAUCAAGUCAAAUCCAACUGACCUCAAAUUUUGCACACAAGUCAUCAAUGACACAACGGACCUAUUCAAACUUUUGAAACCAAAAUCCGAGCUCGGUAAUGAAAAGGUCAGCUCUUAGUCAAACUUCUCAACUUUCCAAACUUUAACAUUCCCAACUUUAGCCAAUUCAAGCAAAAAUGACCUUCGGACCUCCAAAUCAAUAUCAGGACACAUUUCUAAGUCCAAAAUCAUCAUACGGAGCUAUCAGAACUAUCAAAACUCCAUUCUGGAGUAAUUUACAUAUAAGACAACAUCCGGUCAACUCUUCCAACUUAGGCUUCCAACCUUGGGACUAAGUGUCCCAACUGAUUCCGAAAUAUUCCUAGAACCAAACGAACUACCCCGUCUAGUCAAAUAACAAUAAACAAACAUAGAAUAAGCAAUAAAUAGGGAAAUAUGGCUUUAAUACUCAAAUCAACUAGCUGGGUUGUGACAUUCUCCCCCUCUCAAAUAGGUGUGGAUAUCUGCUCCGCAUCUUCCGCUCGGUCUCCCAAGUAGCCCCUUUGAUUGGCUGACCUCUCCACUGUACUUUCACUAAAGCUCCAUUCUUUGACCUCAACUUUCGAGCCUUUCGAUCCAAAAUGGCCACCGGCUCCACAUCAUAAGUCAAAUCCCUAUCUAAUAAAACUGUGCUGAAGUCCAAAACAUAAGACUAAUCAAUAAAUACUUUCGGAGCAUGGAAACAUGAAACACUAGAUGGACACUCGAUAGACUAGGUGGCAGUGAAAGCUUAUAAGCCACCUCUCCAGUCCUCUAAAGCACCUCAAAAGGGCCAAUAUAUUGAGGGCUCAAUGUGUCCUUCUUCCCGGCACUCAUAACACCAUUCAUGAGUGAAACUCUGAGUAAUGCCUUCUCUCUGACCAUGUAGGCAACAUCAAAAACCUUCUGAUGGGCAUAACUCUUUUGUCUAGACUAUACCGUGCGAAGCCGAUCCUGAAACAACUUAACCUUGUCCAAAGCAACCUGAACCAAGUCAGUAGCAAAUAACCUAGCCUCACCUGACUAAAACCAACCAAUAGGAGACCGACACUGCCUUCCAUAGAAGGCCUCAUACAGAGCCAUCUGAAUACUUGAUUGGAAGCUAAUUUUGUAGGCAAAUUCUGCAAGCGGCAUAAACUGAUCCCAAGAACUCCCGAAACCAAUGACACAAGCAUGUAUCAUAUCUUCAAAUAUCUAAAUAGUCCGCUCCUAUUAUCUAUCUAUCUUAGGGUGGAAUGUUGUACUCAUCUCAACCUGCAUGCCUAACUCUCGCUGCAUUCUCUCCAAAAUUGCUAUAUGAACUACGUGCCCUGAUCUUAAAUAAUAGACACCAGCACACCGUGAAGGCGAACAAUCUUGCUGAUAUAUAUAUAUAUAUCUUAACCAACCGCUCCAAAGAAUAGGUAGUCCCAACUAGAAUGAAAUGCAUAGACUUAGUCAACCGCCCCACAGUCACCCAAAUAGCAUUAAAACAUUUGCAAAGUUUGUAGGAGCUCAACUACGAAGUUCAUGGUUAUACGCUCCCAUUUCUAUAGAGGAAUCUCAAGCCUCUGAUGCAAACCAUCCCGCUUUUGGUGAUCGUACUUCACCUGCUAACAGCUCAAGCACCGGGCUACAAACUCCACUAUAUCUUUCUUCAUUAUCUUCCACAAUAGAUUACCCCAUGUCCUAAUACAUCUUUAUGGAACCUGGACGAAUGGCAUACCGCGAACUAUGGGACUCCUCUAGAAUCAACUCACGUAACCCAUCUACAUUGGGCACACAAAUCUGACCCUAUAUCUGCAAUACCCCAUCUUCUCCAAUAGAAACCUCUUUUACAUCACCGUGUUGAACUGUGUCCAUAAAUACAAGCAAAUGGGGGUCGACAUACUGACGCUCCCUGAUGCGAUCAUAUAAAGAAUACCGAGAAACCAUGCAAGAUAGAACCCGACUAGGCUCUAAAAUAUCUAACCUCAUGAACUGAUUGGCCAAGGCCUGAAUAUCUACUGCAAGUGGUCACUCACCAAUAGGAAUAUAUGCAAGACUACCCAUACUCAAUGCCUUCCUACUCAAGGACUUGACCCCACAUUGGCCUUCCUAAGAUGACACAAAAUGGUAAUAUCAUAGUCAUUUAACAGCUCCAACCACCUUCACUGCCUAUAAUUUAAAUCAUUCUACUUGAACAAGUGUUGAAGGCUCCGAUGAUUUAUAAAUACCUCGCAAGACACUCUAUAGAGAUAAUGCUUCCAAAUAUUCACUGCAUGAAUGAUGGUUGCCAACUUUAUACCAUGAACGAGGUAAUUCUUCUCAUGAGGCUUCAACUAACGUGAAGCAUAAGCAAUCACCCUACCCUCCUACAUCAAGACACACCCAAUACCAAUCCAAGAAGCAUCAUAGUACAACCUGAUGCUGAAGGUAAAACUAGAACUGGAGCGUUGGUCAAGGUAGUCUUGAGCUUCUAAAAGCUCUCUUCACACUCAUCCGACCACCUGAAUGGAGCACCCUACUAGGUCAACCUGGUCAAAGGUGCUGCAACCAGUGAGAAACCCUCGAUGAGCCGACGAUAAUAUCCGGCCAAGCCGAGAAAACUCCAAAUCUCAGGAGCUCAAGAUGGUCUAGGACAACUCUGAACCGCCUCAAUCUUCUUCAGUUCUACCUUGUUCCCCUCAUUGGACACCAUGUGCCCCAAGAACACCAUCGAAUUGACCCAAAACUCACACUUGGAGAACUUGGCAUAAAGCUUCUCCUCCCUCGACAUCUGUAGUACAAUCCUUAGAUGUUGUGCAUGCUCUUCCUGGCUAUGUGAGUACACCAGAAUAUUAUCAAUAAAUACUAUGACAAAUGAAUCAAGAUAUGGCUAAACACACUGUUCAUUAGAUGCAUGAAUGAUGUUGGGGCAUUGGUUAGCCCAAAAGACAUCACAAGGAACUCAUAGUGACAAUAGCGGGUCCUGAAUGCCAUCAUCAGAAUAUCAAAGCGCCGAAUCUUCAACUAGUGAUAGUUACUCCUCAAAUCAAUCUUAGAGAACACUUUAGCUCCAUGAAGCUAGUCAAAUAAGUCAUCAAUGCACGAAAAAGGAUACUUGUUUUUAAUUAUAACUUUGUUCGAUUGUCUAUAGUCAAUGCACAUCUGCAUAGUACCAUCCUUCGUCUUCACAAAUAGAAAUGGUGCACCCCAAAGAGACACACUAGGCCUAAUAAAACCCUUAUCAAGAAGCUCCUAAAGCUGCUCUUUCAAUUCCUUCAACUCUUCCUAUGCUAUACGAUAUAUUGGAAUAGAAAUGGGCUGAGCGUCCGGUACCAAGUCAAUACCAAAAUAAAUGUCCUUUUCGGGAAACAGGUUUGCAUAAAACACAUCCAGAAAGUCUCACACCACCAGUAUAGAAUCAAUGGUAGGAAUGUCGGCACCAACAUCCCUCACAAAGGCCAAAUAUGAUAAGACCCCUUCCCACAAACCAACCAACUUACUGCUAUGAAUAUAACAAAAUAAAGCCAUCACGUUAUCAUUAGGGCAUUUAACAUAAGAUAAUCUCACUUUAUGUGCAAUGCACCUAGCCACAGUUAUCGGUUCUAAAGUGACUUUGAGGGUACGAAGGUCAGUUGGCAUCAUCCCAUUUUGUUCAUUUCAAUCCUCUUUUUUCUUUGCUUUUCUAGCACUUUCUUGAUCAUUUUCCUUCCUCUUUUUCUAAUUUCACUAUUUUCUUUCCUUCAUUUCUCACAUCCCACAAUUUCAUCUCUUUUUUUUCUCUCUUUUCUCCUUUUUUUCUUUUCUUUUAACAGUAAAAAAAUGAUUCGAUCGAACCCUAUGUAGGUUUCUUACGCAUUAUGAUGCCGCAUGAAUCAGAUCUUUGCGUAGUUCUGGAAGAACGGGAAUAAAGUAAACAAACUAACGUUCUUUUUUCUUUUCUAAUUUUUUUUACCUUAAGGACUACUCUGAUGAGAAGAGAGAAAUAAAAGAAGCAAAUCCUUUUUUUUUUGAAUUUUCUAGGCUUAAUAUUCUAUAACUUAUUGUAAACUCAAGCUUAACGAGCAUAUAUUUCUUGCUUUUUUUCUUUUUGAGACAAACACUCUAUGGGAAAUUAUUAAGGAAAACCCUAGAAGAGAAAAAAAAAUAUUUUUGAUUCUUUUUUUUAGGAAGAAGAUCGAACGAAUAAACCAUAUAAAAAUAUUUUGAAUUUUCAAUUGAUAUCUUGAUGCAGGAUUUUGAAACAAGCAAUGAAAAAGAUAAAACAACAUGUUUUUGGAUUUCAAUUUGAUUGCCUAAAGGAAGAAACUUUAAACAAAAGAUAAAGUAUGUUUUUUUUCUAUGUACAAUUUCCUAAAGUUCUUGGGAAAAUAAAAGAAUAUUUUUUUUCAUUUUUCAUUAAGUUCCCAAAGAAGAACGUCAAAAGAAAAUCUUUUUGGAUUUUUAAGAUUAAUGCCUUAAAGAAAACUUUUUAAAAAGUACUAAAAGGAAUUUGUUUUUGAAUUUUGGUCAUAAUAUAGUAAAGGAAAUAUAAAAAUAAUUUUUAUUUAAAUCCUAGAUAUUAAUUGCCUAAAGGAAAAACCACCUCAAAAUACUUUUUCUCAUUCCUACAAUUAGUAUUCUAAAGAAAAUUCCUAACGGAAAUAUAAAACACAAUAUUUUAAUUUUUGUUUUGGAUUUUGAUUCAUUACACACCAUUUCAAAUGCAAAAUAGAAAGUACAAUAAUAAUAAUAAAGCACGACGACAUUACUAUACAAAACUAAAAGGUAAAAGACGAUAUAAAAUAAAAAAAACAGACUCAAAACAUAAAAAGAAAAGAAAAUCUUCUUUUAAUCCACUCCCAAAUGAGCGAUCCUGACUAGAUGUCCUGGGGCUCUGUCAUGCUCAAACUCCGAUAAGUAAAUCCACGUCUGUAUGAGAAAAUUUAAACCAAAUAGGUUAAAUACCUAGAGCGCUAUGUGAGACAAUAACCCUUCCUACUGGAAAUAUGCAAGACAUGACUUAGGCUAUUUUUGCAAAAUGACAUAUUUGGCUAAAAGACGGCUAGAAGUGCAAAAUUUUGGCUAAGACCCCGCAAAGCCAAGAACCUAAGAUUUACUAGGAAGACCAGACCCUAUGUGGGUUUCCUACGUAUCACGCCCCAAAAGACGAGAAUCAGGUAUGCGUAGUUCAGGCAGAUUGGAUACGGGCGAGAAUUAAAAAAAACAACUAAUUUAGAGAAAACAUAUUUUUUGUCUUCUUUUUUUAUAAAAGAAAAAUGAUGAGACAAGUAGCUAACAGUGCUAAAUUAUGCUCUCAAGGAGAAAAACUGAUCUAAGAAACCAUGGAAACAGACAGUGGCAUGUAACUCCUUAAACAUCCGGAUAAUUUGUCUUUCACUUGGCAAUCUAAAAAAAUCGAACGAUCUUCACAAUUUGGUUACAUAUAAAAAUCAGUUGAAGGAAAGCAAAUUAACAAUGCUGAAAAUCCCAUUUCUCUAAAAAUUAUGAAGUAUCAAACUCUGUCUCAUCCUUAAGAUCGACUCGGAAUAGUAUUUGCCAAAAACGAAGAUUUUAUAUAUAACUUCCUAAUAACUUUUGAAUUAACAUGAAGCAGAAUCUUAACAUUAAAGGGUCGGGAUAUGAAGACAGCUCAAACAGCAAAAUCCAGUUAGAUAGGUAAUCUGCCACGACAAACUUGAAUUAACCUUUCGAACACUGUUAGCAUUUACAAUAUUUCGAAAUCAGGCAACUCAUUCAACGUUGUUCACAAAUGAAAUCAGAAAAGUGGCAAAUCAAUGAACUUCUCAUUGAAACAGAUCUUACUAUAGCUUGAAAGAGAACGUACCUAAUUAUGCAAGGACGAGAUUUAGAAGACAAAGAAGCCAAAUAACGAUUGAAACAAAAAAUUGGAGCUCAGCUAGCAAUGUGGGAGCAACAACAACCAAACAACUCCCCUUUCCGAGUUAUAUCCAAACCCAAAACCCAGCUAAGCACUCCAAUUUCGAGCUUUUCGAGUGAUGAAAAAGUUCUUUGAAGGCUCAGCUCUCCAAUUGAAUUUUUAAGCUACUUUCAAUUCUCAACAGCUUUUCGUUACUGUAUUUUUUGAGAGAAGUGUAGUGUAAUAUGAUGAGAGAUUUUUGUGCUCGAGAGAAAAGCAAAAGAAGCGGCUGAGUUUUUCGUUUUGAUGAAGAAGAAGAUCAAGAUCCAAAGGAGUCCUUCUGCGUCGUUCUUCUAUAUGCGUCCCUCUCUCAUUUGUUUUAGCUC
This 125189-nucleotide long non-coding RNA is filed under the name Nicotiana tabacum (common tobacco). RNAcentral describes it as "long non-coding RNA (NTAB_LNC003169)". The record is from RNAcentral. Lineage: Eukaryota; Viridiplantae; Streptophyta; Magnoliopsida; Solanales; Solanaceae.